Molecule: long non-coding RNA, 99795 nt
Filed under: Citrus x clementina
Lineage: Eukaryota; Viridiplantae; Streptophyta; Magnoliopsida; Sapindales; Rutaceae
Description: Citrus clementina (C. clementina) long non-coding RNA (CCLE_LNC002244)
Source: RNAcentral
UUUUUUUUAUUUUUUAGGUUUAAAUUAGUAAUUUAAUUCUUUUUUUAUUAAUGUCUGAAAAAGGAUACAUUAUUGUAAAAAGGAUAAUAUUGUAAAAGUAAGUUAAAAGAACAAAAAAUAAUGACACGGGUGUCAGUAAUUUAACGGCAAGAAUAUUUUAAAAUAUUUUUAAAAAUAUAAAAAUUAAACAGACAUUAACCUCAAAAUAUAGUGAUUAAACAAACUUUUACCCUUAAUAUAUGUGUUUUGACUUCUUUCUAUGUUACAGAAGUAUUCACACAAAAUAUAUAUAUAUAAUAAAUUUAUAAAUUUAGAUCAAAACAAAGAUCAUGGAUCCCCCCUUGCCCAGCAUUAUGGGUAUUGAUCAUGAGGGAAUUUAGUUUUCUCUCGAUGCAAAACUUUGAAAAGGAAAAAUCACACACACAUAUAUCAAAAUAACUUAAGUAAUAAAAUAAGUGUAGGGAUUUUUUUUUCCCAAAGAAAGAAAUUUGCAAAUUGUAUGUAGCUAGUUGUAGAAAAGUAAUUGGAAUGGGGGCGAGAGAGACUGCCGAAGCAUGAAUUUAAGUGGGAAUGGGCUGGAGAUGAAUAUGCAAAAUCGAUCAAGAUUGUCUUUAGUCUAUAGAAUCCCGUGACCACUUCUCUUUAUUUUGACAACUACUUCCGCUGUUCUUCUCUUUGUCUUUUUUAUAUUUUCUCUUCCAUAUCUUCUUUCACAUUCUGUACUUGUUGAUACAUUAUUAAUGAAUUAUGUGUCAAAUAACCUAUUUUAUAUAUUCAUAGAUUUCUUUUUGUAGGACGCAUGGCCUACGUAAAUAAUGUAACGUCGUAUGACAUUAUCACUCAACAUAAAAUAUUGUACACGAGACCAAAAAUGACUAACUGUAGUCAACAAUUGCACCAACGCAUUAAGAAGCUUUUCACAUUUAUUGGACUUAUACUACUUAAUUGAGGAAAAUCAUAUUCUACUUUUUGAAAAUCAUGGAGAUUAAGCUAGGUUUAGUUGAACAUGAUGUUUUAGCUUUGUUAUGUAAAAGCCAAACCGUGUCUCAUUACAGAACUAUACAUAUAUCAAACUAGGUCCUCGAAAUUUCGUGAAAAAAGCAAAAAUUAAGAAAGGCAGUAAAAUCCUUGCUAGCUAGAGAAUGCGUCUUUAUAGAUAAGUGGGCAUUGACUUAAUAAUUGCUUGAUAUUGUCCUCUUGUCAAAAAUUUGGUUGGUCUCAGUUAAAUGAUGGUUGGAGGAUUUGGAAGUAUUCGAUCGUGAAAGAUCAUAUUUUGACUCUUAGUUCAUGGUAGGCUGCAUGCACACUACUUUAGCUGAAGAUAAUAUGAUCAAAAGAGAGAGAAUUGACAGCAAUUGAUGACAAUCACAAUCCCUUCUCUUACUAUUAGUAAUAGAUUUUUUUUUUCAAGUUGAGAUUUAAUCCUGGAUACUUAAGUUUGUAUUUUGUAUGAUGUAGUAUUUAUUUCAUGUAUUAUUCAUUGAUUAAAUUUAUAAAAUUAAUUAAUAAUAAAAUUAAUUGAUAUUAUACGCACGGAUUAGCUAUCAAGUUACAGUUAGGUGCAAUGUACUCUGAUAAAUUUUGGCACGUAAUUUUCACCCCACUUCAUUUUUAUAUUCCUAUUUAUUCUGACUUGAUCAUAUUUGUUAAUAAAUAUCGAUGAAUUGAUUAGAUAAAUACCUAAAUUAUUUAUCAUUAAAAAGUUUGAAACUAUACCCCAUAUCAUUUUCAUGGGGUACAUUUGGAAGAACUCAGAUGAAUCGAGAUCUUCGGUCUCAUGCUCGAUCUAGCUCUUACAAUAUGAAAAUAAAACUAUGGGAGUAUGAGCGAAGGUGAAGUAUUUGGAAGAAUUAACUUAAUUAAUUGACUCCAUGAUGAGCGGAAACGCGUACAGAAAUUAAUUUAUGUGUCCGUGACUUUGAUUUUGUUUUCUAAAGUAUAUUUAAUUAAUUUAAUUAAUUCAUACAAUAAAAUUUCUUAUUCAAAUGCCCUCCACUCCACAUAUCAUUUAUAUCAACCUUGAUGAUCUUUUUCUGUCUUAACAAAUAAAAAAAAAGUAAUAAAAAUCUAAAAAUGGAGGCAAUGAAAGAAGAUGGCUUUAAGCCUACUACAAUUGCAUGAGGCAGAGGCAAUUUGCUGCCAGUCAUCAUCACUUCAUCUUCUGCCAAAAUAAGACAAAUUCAUGGACUCAGGAGUGGAAAAAAAAAGAAGGACAUUAAAUAAGUUAAUUUAUUAUUUACAUUAUUUCUAAAACUAUCAUUUAAUGUUUCAACCACCGAACUGUUAACAUGUAUAAAAGAAAAUUGAAAAUCCUAACCAAAUCGAAGGUUAACCAUCUAUUUUUCUGUUCAUGCAUGAGCAAUUAUUUGCCAUUUCAGUUGCUUAAUAUUUAUCGAAGAAGCUUAUAAUUCUUAUGACAAAUGUCAAGAAGUGUCAUUUGUGAAUGGCAAAAGCCUCUUCCUAUAAAAAUAAAAUUUGUUUCAUCAAAUUAAGAAUAUUUUAACAUUCAAAGAUUUUGUUUAAAUUUAUGAGAAAUGAUAUUUAUCUUACGGCUAAGUUAGUAUGGGCGUCAGCUAAUUUAAUUAGUAAAAUCUAUUGAGUGGACAUUAGAUGUCUUGGGCUCCAACCUUGCUCACAUCAGUUGAGAAGAAAUUAAAUUGUCACUAAAAAAAAUUUAGUAGACGUAUGUGGAAAUUUUUUUUCCUUAGUUUGAAUAAAUUUAUAUUAGUCUAAACUCUAAAUAAAUUUGAAUGUCUAAAUUUAAAUGACUGUUUUUUACCCGAAUCUCUUAAAAUAAGUAUUAAGCUGUUUGUUCUUUUAACUUAAAAAAUUAAAAACUUGUACUUUUAAAUUUAUACCCUUACUAAAUUUAAAUGUUAAAAUAUAAAAGUAAAAGUAAGAUAAAUUAGACAAUGAUAAAGUACUUCCUAAUCCUAAAGCCUAAUUUCAAAAUCAUAGCAUGAAUUAAAACCCAAUUCAGUAAAAAAAAAAGGAUAUUAUAAAUGCUGAUUAUAUAAUUACAUAAAAAGUUUAAGAAUCAUAACUAUAAUGAUAAUUCAUGAGAAAUUGAAGAACUUGAUGAAUGAAGCAACUUAGAAAAUUGAGGAGGGAUGUUGAAAAAAAAUCAAAGGCUAAAUGCUCGUUUAGUCCCUAUAUUUUUAAUUAAGUGCCUGUUUAUUCCCAUUAUUUAAAAAAGUACCUUAAAUGUUAAAUAUUUUACACUUCUACUCUUACAUUUUCUAUCAUUUAAUGACAAUACCCUUGCGGUAAAAUUCUUUCGGAUAUUAGUAAAAAGAAAAAAUGAUAAUUUAUCAAACUAACCUUAAAAAUAACAUAAAAAUUUACACAAAUUUUUAUAUUAUUAUUUUCCUUUGAGGAUUAAUUUGCAUUAAUUUUUUUAUAAAAUGGUUAUUAGUAAGAUUAUUACGUAGGUAUAAAAAUACUAGUUCUUUCAUACUAAUAUUUAUUGGUUAAUUUGCUAAUAAAUAAUUAUAAGUUAAUUUGCUAAUAAAUAAUUAUAAGUUAAUUUGCUAAUUAGAUUUUUUAUAGAUAGAUUAAUUAAUGUGAAGAAUAUUUGUGGAAGUGUAUUAUUGUAAAAAGCAAGAAAAAAUAAGUGUAAGAAUGUUACAUAUUUAACUAUAUGGAUGUUUUAAGAUAGUUUUUAAAAUAUAGUGACUAAGCAUGAACUUAAGUUAAAAUAUAAGAACUAAACGAAUACUUAAAGCAGAUUAAUUUCCUUUGAGGAUUAAUUUGCAUUAAUUUUUUUAAUAAAAUGGUUAUUAGUAAGAUUAUUACAUAGGUAUAAAAAUACUAGUUCUUUCAUACUAAUAUUUAUUGGUUAUUUUGCCAAUAAAUAAUUAUUAGUUAAUUUACUAAUUAGAUUUUUUUAUAGAUAGAUUAAUUAAUGCGAAGAAUAUUUGUGGAAGUGUAUUAUUGUAAAAAGAAAGAAAAAAUAAGUGUAAGAAUGUUACAUAUUUAACUAUAUGGAUGUUUUAAAUUACUUUUUAAAAUAUAGUGACUAAGCAUGAACUUAAUUUAAAAUAUAGGAACUAAACGAAUAUUUAUCCAAAAUCAAAUAUGAGUUAAUGUUAAGCUCUGUUUGGGAUUGAGGUAUUCUAACUUUUAAAUUACAGUUGCUUAAAAAAAUGUAAAUAUGAAAUAAAAGUUAAUAAUAUGCAGUAAAUACAAUUUUUAAAUAAUGAUCUUGAUAAAAUUAGUAAUGAUAUAAUAAAUUUUUUAUCAUGCAAUUGUAAAAUCAAAUCAACUUAGCUUUCAAUCUACAGCAGUUAGUGUUUACCAAAUAUUUUUGUACUGUAACUUUUAAUCUAAAGCCGCCCAACCUCAAUUCCAAAUUGAGCCUUAGCUGAGUACAAAUGCGUGGAUUCUUGAGGUAGGUAUGAAAAAUAAAUAUUAAAUUAGAGGAUAAUUUUUACAAUAGAAUUUAGUUGGCUUAUUAAGAUUUUUUCGUUCCAUCAACAGUCAAAAUAAUUAACUUAUUUUAUUCAACUAAAAAUCUAAAAAAUCUCAUUAAAAUAUAAAACCAAACACCUCUAAUUCACUGAAUAAAUUGAGUCAAGUCACUUUAAAUCAUUAAGUUAAAAAAAACCCUCAUUUAGUAAAACAUACAAUAAUAAAAUUAGAACAUUACUAGAAAUUAGAAUGAUGAGAAUGAAGUUCUUUAGCUACAAUGCCCGAACCAAUUUAUUCAAGAGGACAUUAAAGGAAAAUAUCAUCGUCACGCCAUAAAUUGGGAUUCAUUUGCCAUUAACAUACAAAUUACUCAUUAUUCUUGCCCUAUGUGCAUGAUAUGAUCUUGAUUAUUAAUUCUCAUAUUAUGUUGUGAUUUCUUGCCAUACAUGUAUGCGUCAUAAUAAAUUAAUUAGAUCUUGCCAUAAUUAGUGUAUAACACAAUUGUCUUAAGUUUUUCAUAUACACAUCACUUAAUGGUGUUAAUUUCUCCCGUUUGUUUUGUUUGUCAAAAAGAUGACAUUGAUUAAGAAAGAUCUUCCAUAUAUCGUUUACCUUUAACAAUUUUGUUGUUAACUUUUUGUAACUUAAAAUGCCUUUAUAAUUAAGAUAGUCAAAAUUAAUUAUCUGCCACACAUUUUAAAAAUUUAUCAUAAAUAAUAUGGUAUUCAUUAAUUAGUUGAUGUGAUAAUAUAACAUAGUUAAUUCGCUUAAAAUCUAUGAAGAAUUAAUAAUCACAUAAUAAAUAACCAAUCACAUGCCAUAGCAUUGUGGAUUCUUUCAAGCAGGAGGAUGUGAUAAUAUCCUUCCUUGUAGAUAUGAAGACCGAUUGUACACAUAAGAUAAGGUAGAAAUGCAAUGAAGUCAAAUAUUGCUGGCAAAGCAAAUCAAGGACGCCUGUCGUCAUUUUGUGGUUAAGUUGAGUUGAGUUGUAUUUGUGGGGGCCAAUUUGGCGGUUCUGUUGCGAACCUUUUUCUUUGUCUGUUUUAGCUAAACGGGUAGUAUAAAAUCAAGUCGUAAUUAAUUAAAUGAAUCCAAAGAGGACCCAAACAAGCAGCCUGGCUAGUCAGAAGGCUCACCAAGUAUCACCGACCAUGUUGUUCUUGAGCCGUCCAGCCAAUUGUCAUUUUAAUUUUAUUGCCCCUUUUUUUUAUUUAUCCGCAAGCAUGCAUGUACUAGAAAACCAUACACUCACAUUCAAUCAUACAAGCCAAGCUAUUGCUAUCAUUAAAUUUUGAUUAGAAGCAAACAAAUUUUCUCUUUUUUUCUCGUGAGGGGUCUAUUUAAAUGACUAAAAAAUAUUGGGUAAGCGCAUGACGUUGGUUGCAUUGUGUUGCCAGUACGUUAUAUCUGUUGAAGACGUUAAUUUGGAUUUGUUUACUUUGUUCAUGAUUUGAUGUUUAAAAAUUCAGCUAUAUCGAGUAAUUUCAUAUCCAUAUGAGAUAUGGAAAUGAAUGAGAAUUGAUUUUUAAUCAAAAUGUGAUCAUUAUAUCUAAGAAGCCUUUGAAGGAAUAAUAAAAUUUAUAUAAUUUUCUAAUAAGUAGGAGUCCUGCCUAACACCCACUUUUUUUGGUGGUUUUUAAUUAAAAAAAAUUAUACAAUUCUCAUCUUCAAUGCAUUGCCAUGUAACGAAGUAAUUUAAUUUUCUGUCAACAAUAUUUCUCAUUAAACUAAAGAUCAAUUAAAUAUAUAUUUAAUUCAUUAUACGAAAAGAUUACUUUAAAUUUUUAUUUGAAGGUCGAUUCUCUUCUUAAUGUUGGUAUACAAUUGCCGAUUACAUAAUAAAUUAUACGAUUAACUCAUUUCUUUUUGUCAAUAAAAUUUCUUUUAUGUGGAAAAAGAAAGUGAUUAAACGACGCAGUAACUUGUUCCUAAGAAAUAUUGUCCUAUACUGAAGAUAUUCACAUCACGUGGAACAUGUGAUAGUUGUUGGAUAUUCUUCUAUCACGCUGUCGUAAUUCUUCAUAGCUUCUCAUUUCUUACCUUUGAUGUGUGUCAAUAUACGCCUUCUCUUUGCAAAAGUCAAUUUUUGAAACAAUAUUCUCUCAAUUAGUUACUUGAUUUCUUGUUCUUUCUCUCUUUUUCUUCCCUCCCUUUUCUCUCUCUUUUAUUUUUUAUUUUUUAGUCAUUUUCACUUGCAUAAAUAUUUAGUUUAGCUCAAUAGGGACAAAGUCUUUGUCAAAUAACUUUCUCUUCACUUGGACUAAAUAAAUCUACUUCAUUGAUAUUAAUACUUCCACCAAACUUGCCACCAUUGAUUGAAAUGUUAAAAAUGAGAGUGAAUAUUGAUUCUUUGAACUUAAUAUUGAUCCUUUCAAUAUUGAUUCUUUGAACUCAAAAUUAACUGGAACUACCAACAUAAAAAUACACAGAUAUUCAAUAAUGGUUUGAGAAUAGCAAUAUAGUUAUUUAAUCUAAAAGGUGUAUUCAAAAACACAUAAUUUACACCCAUGUACAAAAAACUUUAUCGUAUAAUGCUGAAGUUAUUACCUCAUCAAUAAAUAUAAUUUUAUUAGGGCAUGCGCGAAGCACUAUCCUUAAUACUAAUUUUUCACUCCUCGAAGGAAGAUUUUCUAGUGCAAAAAAAAAAAAACAAAAAACACAAAUCAAAGCAGAAACAAAGUUUUUUUAAACCAAAAGAUGCAUCGAAAAAUGCAGAACUUGUACUCACGAAUUAACAAGUUGUAUCUCAUAACACUAAAGUUGUUAAUUGAUCAGUAAAUAUAAAAUUUUCGAGGCAUGUAUGAAUCACUGUCCUUAAGUCCACUUUCAGCUCGUCUAAGGAAGAAUUUCCGAUGCGAAAAGACACAAAUCAAUGCAGAUUAACCUACAUGAUAUAGUGAUACUAUUGUGAGAUUGCACUCCGACCAUAAUAAUUUAGAACAGUAAAUUAAAGAAAAAAAAUUGAUGAACAAAAAUAUAAGACAGAAAUAGAGAGCAAUAGUAGCAGUUACCUUAAAGGUUUUGUAUAUCUCUCCUAUAUAGAAAAACCUUUAAAGUUAUUUUCCUAAUUCAAUUUGAAUUACCUAUCCACUUUUCAUUAUUUUAUUUGAAUUAGUCAUAUAUGUGUCUCACAAUUAAAUUCAACUUGAAUACUUCAAAUUACAUGUACAUUUGAUUUAUUUAACUCUAGUUUGUAAUAUAUCAAACGCAAGGCUGUUUUUCCUUAUAUUGCUGGAGAAAGGAUUGAGGAGCCCCUGUUUUAUUCCAGAAGAAGAGAGAGCCUUGUACAUUAAUUAUCGGGCGCUCAAGAAGGUAACCUAACCAUCAAGAAUAAGAAUCCACUUUGAUUGCAGACUUCUUUGCCCUAAAAAAUAAAAUAAGCAUGAGAUACUUCUCGAAGUUGGAUUUACAACCAGGCUGCUACUACUAUCAGGCGCGUAUCGCAGAAGGAGACGAGCCAAAGACAACCUAUGUGACAAGCAAGAAACCAUACUAAUAAAGGGGCUUUUGAUUGUUGCCUUUCGGACUAGCGAAUGCCCCUGCGACUUUUCGUACCCUCCACAAUGAGCUAGUUCACCUGUACUUAGAUGACUGGUGGUACACUUCGAUCGUGGGGUAUAGCUAUUUGUUAAACGACCGCGUUAGCCACCUACGGACAGUUUUUAAGAAAGAAUAACCUCUGCGUAAAGAUAAAAAAAGAGAAAUUAUCCUUUGGAUAGACAGAGAUCCUAUUCCUAAGGCAUUGACAAUACUAUAUUUACUAAGAAUCUCUCUCUUAGUUAGUUAUAUCUUUUCGAAAAGGAAGAGUUAGUCAAAGCUCAAACACAAUUUUUUUAACUCGAAAAAAGUUUUCCUUUCACUUGGUUUCAUUAAAAUGUUUCUUUGGAAUAAGGCUCAAAACAUCUGAACAGUACUUGAAGCCAAAAUGAGAGUAACAUCUCUAAUUAUCGUCAUGUUUCUUCUUUUACAAUGAAUUCGCUUCUAUAUAUUUUCUAUUGUUUUUAGUUUAAUCUAGUCAAUAACAAAUGGACUAUAAAUAUCUACUUAAAACUUUCCAAUUCAAAGUUUGAAAAAUGUAUUUAAUUUGUUCAAAGCGGAAACAUAGUUUUUAACCCAAAAGAUGCAUCCAAAAAACACAGAACUUGCACUCAUGAAUUAGAAAGCUGUAUGCCCUAAUGAUCAAGUUGUUACACAAUCAAUAAACAUAAGUUUGUAGAGGCACGCAUGAAUCACUAUCCUUAAUUUUUUUGUAGCUAAAUCACAUAUAGAUUUAACUUAUUCAACUCUAAUUUGUAACUAAUUAAAUCAAGCACAUAACUAGUUUCAAAUCAAAUAUAAAAUAAUUGCUGUUAGUACUUUCCAACAAUGUGCGACAUUAAUAUAUUGAAAUAUCCAUAUACAAUUCGAACAUGUAAAUCUUUAUUAAUUGAUGAUAAAAUGUCUAAAAAUGACUCCUAAUCAAAUAUUAAACUUCUAAAUUUGUUAACGACAAUGCUAUAUUUACUAACAAUAUCUCUCUCUCUCUCUCAUUCUUUUCUUUAGUUAUUUUUUUGAAAGGAGGGUUAGUCAAAGCUCAAAACAUAAUUUUUUUACUCCUAUCUCUCGUAACAGUUAAAAUCGAAUGACUAACAAAUUAAGGAAAGUGAAAGGCCACACAACCAAACAAGUACUGGAGAUAAAAGUGUCUUCCUCAAUUUGCGUGAGAAAUAGGAAAAAUUUUCCUUUCACUUGCUUUCAUUAAAAUGUUUCUUUGGAAUAGGCUCAAAAUAUCUGAGAAUCACAGUACUUGAGGGCAAAAUGAGAGUAACAUCUCUAAUUAUCGUCUGUUUCUUGUUUUCCAACGAAUUUGCUUCUAUAUAUUUUCUCUUGUUUUUAGCUUAGUCUAGUCAAUAAAUGCGCUAUAAAUAUCUACAUGAAACUUUCCAAUUCAAAGUUUGAAGAAUGUAUUUAAUUUGUUCAAAGACAUAAUAUCUAUUCGAUCGGCGAUGUUUGGUAAUGCCAUAAUGGCACUUAAUUCGGAAAAUAAAAUUAAAGGACAUGAACAAUCGCUAUAGAUUAAUCGCCAUGCCCUAACCCCAGUACCCCACCAAUAUCUUGACCCCUUAUGAUAUCGGAUUCAAAUGACGCAAUGACUUGCCAGAAUUUGUAUAAAAUUUUUCAUCAUCAAUCAAAGUACAAAUACUCAACUACUCAAAUAAAUUAAUAUUUGCUGGUUUAUUUUAGUUUAGUUUGAGCUUUGUAGCUUCAUAAGUUUGCCCGACUUUUUAAAUUAAACAUCUUAACUCUGAUAAUACUAGUUUACUUAAUCAAAGUGAAAUCAGUACUCAGUAUCCCUAAAUAAACUAUCGCGAAGUUGUCAUGGGCAAAUCAAAUUAAUUUAUUUUCUAAUUUGAAAUUGUAGCCACUUUUUUUAAUAAAAAAAAAAAUGGGUUUACCGAUUCUACACCAUUUUAUAAUUUUGAGGAUUAUAAUUUUAAAUUUUAUUCCACUUUUAGUAUAGUUUCAAAGGUCGACUAAAACUUAUUUCUACUUUUUAUUCAGAGGAUUUUUACUCCAUCCAUCAAAUUACAAUUUGAGGAUUAUAUUUAAUUUAUUCACCUUAGUACACUAUAAGGUCAACUAGACUAUUACUAGUCUACUAUUNNNNNNNNNNNNNNNNNNNNNNNNNNNNNNNNNNNNNNNNNNNNNNNNNNNNNNNNNNNNNNNNNNNNNNNNNNNNNNNNNNNNNNNNNNNNNNNNNNNNNNNNNNNNNNNNNNNNNNNNNNNNNNNNNNNNNNNNNNNNNNNNNNNNNNNNNNNNNNNNNNNNNNNNNNNNNNNNNNNNNNNNNNNNNNNNNNNNNNNNNNNNNNNNNNNNNNNNNNNNNNNNNNNNNNNNNNNNNNNNNNNNNNNNNNNNNNNNNNNNNNNNNNNNNNNNNNNNNNNNNNNNNNNNNNNNNNNNNNNNNNNNNNNNNNNNNNNNNNNNNNNNNNNNNNNNNNNNNNNNNNNNNNNNNNNNNNNNNNNNNNNNNNNNNNNNNNNNNNNNNNNNNNNNNNNNNNNNNNNNNNNNNNNNNNNNNNNNNNNNNNNNNNNNNNNNNNNNNNNNNNNNNNNNNNNNNNNNNNNNNNNNNNNNNNNNNNNNNNNNNNNNNNNNNNNNNNNNNNNNNNNNNNNNNNNNNNNNNNNNNNNNNNNNNNNNNNNNNNNNNNNNNNNNNNNNNNNNNNNNNNNNNNNNNNNNNNNNNNNNNNNNNNNNNNNNNNNNNNNNNNNNNNNNNNNNNNNNNNNNNNNNNNNNNNNNNNNNNNNNNNNNNNNNNNNNNNNNNNNNNNNNNNNNNNNNNNNNNNNNNNNNNNNNNNNNNNNNNNNNNNNNNNNNNNNNNNNNNNNNNNNNNNNNNNNNNNNNNNNNNNNNNNNNNNNNNNNNNNNNNNNNNNNNNNNNNNNNNNNNNNNNNNNNNNNNNNNNNNNNNNNNNNNNNNNNNNNNNNNNNNNNNNNNNNNNNNNNNNNNNNNNNNNNNNNNNNNNNNNNNNNNNNNNNNNNNNNNNNNNNNNNNNNNNNNNNNNNNNNNNNNNNNNNNNNNNNNNNNNNNNNNNNNNNNNNNNNNNNNNNNNNNNNNNNNNNNNNNNNNNNNNNNNNNNNNNNNNNNNNNNNNNNNNNNNNNNNNNNNNNNNNNNNNNNNNNNNNNNNNNNNNNNNNNNNNNNNNNNNNNNNNNNNNNNNNNNNNNNNNNNNNNNNNNNNNNNNNNNNNNNNNNNNNNNNNNNNNNNNNNNNNGAAAAAAAAUAAAACUUUUUUUUAGGAGAAAAUAGAAAUUCAACCAUUUUAAAUUUUUUUUUUUUUGGGGGGGGGGGGGGGAGAAAGGUAAAAUAAUUGUCUUAAUUGUCACAAAACCCUAGUGUUUAUUAAUUAGACAAUUACAACACCAAUUUGUGUGAGGUGUGGAUAUCACAAUCAUUGGUCGCGGUCACGACAAAACUGAAGGAAGGGGCCACAGUCACCGUUGGAUUCUAUAACUCAUUAUUAAAUUUCUAUAACUCAUUAUUAAAUAGGGAGGUCAAAAUUUGACUGUCUGACUAGACCAGGACUCCCAGACCUUUCUUUGACCAUCUGACUUUUCAUUUAUAUUUCUACUUAACACAUGAUGAAAUAAGACAAGCAAUUAACUCUUUGUUAUUCUUGUUGAGGUUGGUGUUGUUGUUAUUUCAAUUUUCUUUCCUUUAAUUUUUUUUUUUAAUUUCUUCUUCAUCUUCCAAUUAACAUGCAGUGUGUGCCAGAAUCCCGUGAAUAUUUUUGAUCCUUCAGGAAUUACAAACUCUGCAAGAGAAGUUGACUCUCCAUGCGUUAUAUUUACCUCACAAAUCAUAUAUAUGAUUCUGUCGUCCUCCCUUUUAACUUAUCUCUGCAUGCAUGUGAUUCACAUAUAGUUCGGCCCCACAUGAACACAUAUAAUAUCAUAUGAAAAUAUAUGCAUGAAAAUGUGAACGUGACAGGCCAGGAAAGACGCAUAUGUGCAUGUUACAAAAUGGUAGUUGCAAUGCAGAUGAAGAAACGGCGGUGGCAUUAACUAUUAAAUGGGGAUUUCAUUUAAGGCAGCGGUGAGUUUGUUUUAUUUGAUGAGACAGACAAUGUGCUUGUGUGUGGGAUCUUCUUUUACAUAUAUCUAGGUAUAAUCUAAUUGGUGGGAUUAAAUUCUCAGAUGAGUGAUUUUCAAACAAUUUUAUUUAACUGGACUACUGAGUUCGAACUCGAUAAACAUGAUUCAAAUUUUCUCUCUCAAUUUUGUUUUACAUUAAUUAACAUCAUUCGAGAUAUAGAUCAGUCUUAGAAUGGGAUGGGAGUGUAUAAGUCAAAAAGUUUAUCGGAUAAACGCUAAAAUAAUGUGGUAUACACUACGUACACGUACCUCCUAAGACUUUAUAGCAAGCGUCCUUAGUUAAAUUAAAACAUUACUUAAAGUGUAACAAUGAUUAAUACCUCGAAACAAAUUAUAAUUAUAGAAUUAAAGAGACAUUAAUAUAUAAAUAGGCACUAAAACCCUAAAUAUUUAUUUGAAAUAAAGUGAUUGCCAAAUCUAAGAGCCCCUUAUAAUCCCAUUCAAAAAAAAAAAAGAGAGAGAGAAUCAAAUAAAUAAUUAUAUUUGACCCGCUAAUUUGUCUUAUCAACUUUCAUUUCUUAAUUAAGCUCACUAAAAAUUCGAAAACAAAUUUCAAAAGAGAGAUGUUGAGAUCAUAAGAGCAAAAAAGCCUAAGACCGCCCCAAUUGGCCAGUGCAAGCCCAAAUUGAUUGGAAAAUUAAUUAAAACUCGAGAAGGCCCAACCAUUAUACAUAACAUUCAGGAAUACAUAAAGAAAUACCAACACUAAACACAACCAUGCUCAUUCACAACUUGCAAGCAUUUACAUUGAGGAUGCCACCCUGCCUUUUUAUAUGAAAAAUAAUAAAUUAAAAAAAAAUUAAUGGACAACAAAUGGGAUAUAGUGAAGUUUUAGUUGUGUUCUUUCCUCUUACACGGGGACAGUUCUCUUAUCAGAAAAGGUCCUCCCAACCUUUAGGCCAGUAUUUUGGCGGCUACUGCUACUACUGCACUUUCUUGGUACUGACCUUUGCGUUAUCCUAAUGGGAAUUCCUCCCAAGUCGAAGUCUUCCUUUAAAGAUUUCGUCAAAAACCUAAGUUCUGCAUCGGAUAGCAUUUUCUUCCCACUCAGAAAGGCAACAAAUGUGGGAGGCCGAGCCUUCACUUGAGUAAAAUAUUUAAUCUUAGGCUGGGCCGACUGAUCUUUCCAAGAAUGCCUGCCCAUAACCUGAUCACCAAACAGCCACAGCAAGGGAAAGAGCGUGUUUUAUAACCAACAUCACACACUUACAGUAUUCAGAAAGGGAAAGGCCAAAAGCCAAAGGCAUUUGAUGCUGACCUUACGCAACCAACGGUUAAGACGAGAUGUAGGCAGCCUUAAACACCAUUUUUGGUAGGUAUCAAUGACCUGGUGCAUGACAGCUAUCCGGCCUCUUCCUUCUAAUGCUGAAGUGAACACAACAGGUAUUCCAGUUACCUGCCAGAAAAACCAUGUGUUCAUGCUGUUAAGUCACAUAGUGUGUGAUUUACUCUUGAACGUAUAAAGAUAAGACAUAACAGGGGUGCCCUUUUAUGCAUAUAAUGUCAGUAACAGAGGAUCAUUCUGGACUGCCUACUUUCAUUCAUGCAUGUUCUUUCUUCAAGAUAUUUUUUGUACCCCCUAAUUCUUGUACUGAGUUUUUAUUAAAGUGACAGCUCACUUCAAAUUGCUUUUCUCCGUAAGAAAGUUUUGAAAUCCAAAUAUCCAGACCAAGAUAAACUUCCAAGCAUCAUAGAAUUAACACAAAUUUUCAUAUUUAGAGACCUCACCAGAUAAAUCUCCAAAUUAUCACUACCUUAAUAUUAAAUCAUUCAUGCACAAAAAGCGAGAGUCGUUUUAAUUCGCUGCUAGCCCUUUGAGCAAACCAACUCCUCAGUUUUUAUUAGGAAAUCAUUUCCAAGCAACUAAUACUUCUUACACUGCUUUUAAAGGAAUAUGUGUGCAGGUAUAAAGAAACAAAAUCCACUCCAGACAGAAGCAAGACAUCUAAAAUAAGAACCUGAUUUAGCUAUGAUCAAAUGCUAUUCAAUUGGCAGCCUGGGAAUUUUACCAUUGAACUACACUAUGCUCUUGAGGACAAAACAAAAAAUAACUAAUAAACCACAAGGGAUAUGAGUACAUAAAAAUCCAUAAAAUGACGAACCUGAGGUAUAACCAUCUGAAUUUCUUGUGGAACAGCUUCCUUGACCCUUUUAUACAAGGCUGAGUUUUGUCUCCCACUUAGAAGGUCCAUCUUGUUCACAAUUACAACCAAACCACGUCCUUCUUCCACUGCUCGUCUCGCUAUAACAACUUCUGCGUGUGUCAUACUACGUCUAGCAUUUGCGACCUGAUCAUUGUACGUGCGGUGAACAUAUAAGCAUAUAUAUCAUCAAUAGAGAAGAAUCUGCUCUCAAGACCAUGUUUUGUAUAUAAUUUUUCACAAUUUGUAUUAUCAUAUUGUGAUGUGCCAUUGGUUUAUGUUAAACAUGUCAUCCACCGUAGUAGAGGACUCACAUGAUCCUACAAGAAUCAAGCAUAUUAGAAAAUUUUCUCAGUUUUAACAAUUCCAUUUACAUUCACAAUCACAAAGAACCAUUAGGCUCGGAAAUAAUGAUGGCACAUCGAAACUUCAUUGACACCAGAUAGGAUUGGCUUCAAGAAGCACAUGCUCAUAGCUUUGUUAGAACAAUGCAGAAAGAAUACCAGUCAGGACACACCUCUUCAGCAUCAAGGACCAAAGCAACUACAUGAGCCCUCAUCAGAUUCUUUCUUGAUUGCAUAACACUCAAUGAUGCCGGUCCUUUCUCUUUCUCUCUUUGCAGCCAACCUGCAGUAUCAACCUGAAUAAUGGUAAUUCACAAUAACAACAAACAAUAAGAAAUUUUGACAGCAAGGAAGAAUCCUAAAGUAGUUAUGAACUAAUACCAAAAAUGCAAUUUAUUACCCAAAAACUGAGACCAUAUGGCAUACUUUGCCUGGAAUAAUUAAUUCAACUUACGUCAUGACUAAAAUCCAAAAGUGAGCAGAAAACUAAACAAAAAUGCAAUAAUAAACAAAACCCUGAGAUUCGAGAGAUAUCACUUCUCUAUAACAGGUGUUUAACACAGUCCGUAAGGUUAAAAGACAGCAUACAGAAAAGGACAGAUUUAUAAGCUUCAUAGAUGUAUAUUUAAUAAACUCAACACAACUAUAUCAUGAUGUCAAAUAAGGAUUAAGAAAAUCGAGCAUGUACCAAAUAUACAGUUCUUCCUUGAUAUUCAAAAUGCACUCUCACUGAAUCUCUUGUCAAACCAGCCUCUGGACCCACCAGAACACGAUCUUCUUGUAACAGAGCAUUGAGCAAAGUUGACUUUCCAACAUUUGGCCGUCCUACAAUUGCUAACUGUAAUGGCAACUUAGACUCAUCAUCCUCAGGAGAGGUAACAUCCUGAGUGGAGCUAUUGUUUUGAGUGCAGCUAUCUACAUAAGUCAAAAGGCAAGAAGGGGAAAUAGAAGAAGAAAAGAGUGGUCAUCUAAAUGUCCAUUUUGUCAAGAAAGCAAUUUAUAAGGGUAAAAAAUUUUUAUAAAUAGAUUGCCCAUGCCAUCUUCUUGUAACUUUACUAUAUUAAGAUGGGAAUCAAUAUAGGCAUCUGCAAGUUAAUAAAACCAUUCUUCAUCAAAUAGUUUUAAAAAAGCAAUUUUUUUAAGAUAAUAACAAUGAUUUGUUGAUAAAAUCUUCAACACAAUGGAAUCACUUCUAUUAAAAAGCAUCCAUGGAACUUCAAAAGUUUCAUCUGAGCAAAAGGUUAUAUAUACAUAUGAUGAAAUAGAAAUGAGAUAUGUAAAUAUAAAACACAAACAUGUCUAUUCCAUGCCACUGGAGUUGUCAAACCACAUCAAAAGUCUUGCGUAAGCCAUUAAAUGCAUUCCAGGCCACUGAGACUGGACUAGGUAUAACACUCCAAAAAAUGCAUAUAUGCAAGUUGCACUGCUCUCUUGCAAAUAAACCUGACCAUUAUCUUAAUUUCCAAAGACCAAAAACUCUUUGAACAGAAAUUUAUAAUAAUUCAUGCUUUAGCAUUGCUUAUGAAUAUUUUUAUUAAGCACUAACACAAAACCAUUUAUAGCGGACUAGUCAAUGCUUCUUGAAAAAUCAGAACUUAAGCUUUCUAAAACUUCCUUGAACUUUUAAGCAAAACAUACAGAAUAUUCACUCAACAUGUUUACAGGAAAUACCAGGAAAAAGAGAAGUGUAAAUGAUCGUACCAUUUAAAACUCGAAGCAUAUAAUCUUCAACCGAAGGGCGAAGAGCUUCAUAUAGUUCUGUCAUACCCAGUCCAGUCUCGGCAGAUAUAGCAAUGGGGUCCCCAAAUCCUAACAUUAGGGAUUCAGCAGCAGCUCCAGCAAGUGAGCCAGUGCCAUUAUGAAGUGAUUCACAUUUAUUCAUCGCUACUAUAGGUUUGAUUUGUGGGGCAUGUUUACGUAACCACUUUCCAACCUCCAAAUCUAAAGGAUGCAAUCCAGAUCUAGCCACAAGAAAACACCAAGAAAGGAUUCAAAUUUUUGCACCAAAAUUAGACAAGAACUAGCAAUAAUAUACAACACCUUAGGAAUGCUUUUCAAUCAACACCGUACAUAACAAACUUUCAGAAAUACAGAGAAAAGCUCAACCUGAUGUAAAAACUAAAAUUCUGCAAUCAUAUUAGAAACGACAUGUAAAAUCAGAAAUUUUUCCAUUUUCACCGGACAAAUUGUUGUAUUUGAUGAAUAUGCAUGUUACACCAUUCUAGUCUCAUUCAAAUGAAUUUAAAUUUCAUAAAAAUCGACUGCUCCUAAUCAAAAAUUUGUCAUCAUGAACCUUUGAUUGAAAAGUCAAGUCAAACACUCAUGGAUCACAAAAUAUGCAGAAACUCAUCUAUUAAACUUACCUCACAUCAAUCAUGAAAAUUGCAAAUUGAGUCUUUGCAAGCACGUUUGCAGUCAUCCCUGCUGUUCUAUCAAGAAUAGACCCAGAAGUCGCUUCAGUUUCCAAACCCGCAGAGUCCAAGACCUUAAACCGCAAAUCCCCAAGUUUAGCAAGUCCUUCUCUGAUGUCCCUAGUAACAUGAUCAUCUGGAGUGUUGUAAACCAAAGCCUCCCUCCUCCUAAUCAACCUAAAAACUCAACAAAAUCCCAUUUCACUAACAUCCAAAACUCAUAAGUUUACAAAAAUGAAUAAUAAAACACAAUAUGCAUACUAACCGAUUAAACAAAGCUGAUUUGCCCACAUUAGGACGGCCAAUGAUCAUGACAGUAGGAAGCAAAUUAAUGUCAAUCUUGGUGAAAUCCACUGGCUUCUCAUACAAAGGCUUAACCUUGUGGUCUUCAACUACACCAUCAGGCUCAGGCUCAACAUGAGUAUCUUCCAAAGCCUCAUUUUGAACAACCCCACAAAAUCCCCUGGGAACCUCAGGCAAUAAAUUACACUUCAAGCUUGAACCCACUUGAUAUAGUGAUCCUGAGAACCAAUACAUGAUUGAAACAUUAACAAAUAACAAUAGAAAACACAUGAAAUCAUAAAAUGGAGAUCCAAGAAACCGGGAAAAAAAAAAAAGCACCAGCGGCUGAAGCUCUAAUAUGGGAGUAAUUAUUGAGAGUGAAAUUGAACGGCUUGCACAAGUUCACUGGGUUUGUUGACGAAGAGAUGCUUCUGCCAAAGAGACCAAAACCAAGUGAACUCUUUCGGGCCAAAACGGCCCGAACCCAUGAGUGAAACAUCUGUUGUUAGGUUGCAACUGUAACUAUUUCCACAUGCCGAGAAGAAACGGAGGCUCUGCGCUAAUUUUUGGCGGCGAAGAAGAACGCUUCCAAACGAUGUCGUUUAAGAAAAACAACGAUUUUUUAAUCUAUUAAAAUGACAUUUUUAACCCCUCUGUUUAAUUUGGUCAAAUGAAUUUUUCGUAAUUAACUUUUUAAAGUUUAAAAAUAAUUUUUUAAAAUAUUGUGAUAAAAAUAAUUUAUUGUGACAAGUUUUCUUAUUUAUAGUAAAAUCUCAAUAAAUUAAUAAUGUGAGAUCAUACAAAAUUUAUUAAUUUAAAAAAUAUUAAUUAAUCGAUAAAUUAAAAAUUUAUUAAUUUAUAAAGUGUAUAAACAAGUCAAUAAACUUAUAUUUAAUCAACUUAAAAUUUAUUUUAUUUUACCAACUUAUUUAAUUAAAAAUGAAUAAAUCCACUAAAAAUAGAUUAAAUUAACCCAAAGAAUUUAAAAUUUUUACAAUUUAGAAUUCAAUCCUAAAACUUCUAGAAAUAAUAUGUGAGAUUAGAGAAAAGAUCCAACUAUAUUUUAUUUUCUUUUCUCUUUCAUAUUAUUAUUUGAGGAUUCGUUGUUUCGGUUAACUUAAUAAUUUCUCUAUAAUUUAAGAAAACCUUUUUCGUUUUCAAAUAUAACUAAAAGACUAAUAUAAAAUAAAUUGUAAUUGAUGCCGUCAAUGCUGAUUUUUUCAAGUAAGCAGUUACUUUUAAUUUUUUUUUUUAAUGGAAUUAAUGGACGAAAAAGAGAAGCGGUGGAAGCCGUCGCCGUCAUCUUCAUCAUCACCAUCAGCAAAUUGGAGCGAUCUCCAUCUCGAACAAUCUCUUAGUUUUAGAGCACCAUUUUGCUCUUCACGGCGUACGAUUAUUAAACUAAGAGCACGCAUCAUCAUCAUCAUCCACUGCAAUUCCUUGGCUCAUGUUCCCUUUAAAACCAAAACCAAACGUUAAUAAUAAUGUACAUGCAGAUGGCUGCCGCUUCUACAGAGUUGAUGAAAGAAUGUUUUACACUAUAAAUAACUGUGUUUACAGGGAUUUUGGUAAGCGGCGUUGUAUCGGAUCAUCUCACGGUUGGCUCGUGCUCUUAGAUUGCGGACCCUUAUUUGUUGAAUCCAUUCUCCGGUACCCGGAUUCUGCGGAACUUUUCCGGACGUUGUGGGUCAUCACGGCGAUGGCUGCAACGUAAUUUGAAGUGAUCACAAAGAUAUAUAGUGCUGCCGCACCGACGCGUUUCAUGACAAUCAAGGAAAUCAAAGAUUGUUUCUUCCAUGAGUCCAUUCUGUCAGCGAGUCCCUACUUUCAGGAUAAUGACUAUGUAGCUGUAGCCAUCUACAAUGAUAGAUCAAAAUGGUUCAAUAUUUCAAGGCCAAGAACAUUAUUGUUACUGCUAUAUAGCGAUGUUAUUUGGGUAUCUCAAAAUGGUACUAGUUCUGUUUAUGCAUUAUCACUAAGUCCCGGAACAGGACGGUCGAUUCGAAGCAUGGGAUUUCACGAAAUUACAGAAUGAUUAUAAUGCUCCUCCUGUAAAAAUAAUGGGUUUGAAUUUGAAGCCAUCAUUUCCAAAGUCAUGGGAUGUAGAUACCAAGCCAUGUCAUGUGGCUGUAAACUCAUACUUGGUAGAAUCUAGGCAGUGGAGAUAUUUUGCUUCUUUUUAUUUUGUUUAUAGCCUCAAAUUCCCUUUUUUAUUUACAAUAAAUCAAAAUUUUAAAAUAUAAAAUUUGAAUAAAAUAAUCAAAUAAAAAAUAACUUAAUUUAUAUAAUUAAAAAUAAGAUUUAAUUAAAUCAUAUUUUCCUACUAAGAGUCUCAUUUUACUCUAACUAUUAUUAUUUAAUUAAGCAUAAUUGAAAUAAAAAUAAUUGUUAAAGUUAAAUUACACAUAAUUAAAAUUAAAAUAGCUAAAAUUAAAAUAAUUAUAAAUUAUAAACUUCUAAAAAAAAUUAAAUACAAAAAAAGAAAAGAAAAUUUUUCUAAACUUCUGUCUUCUGUUCCUCCCUUUUAGGACUCUCCGCUUCAUUCUCUAAUUUUGCCAUCUAUAAUCCCUUCCUCUUUUAUAGACAACUAGCAAUCUUAUUUUUUUCUUUUUUUCUUAUUUAUUAUUUUUUUAUUUUUUAUAAUAAUGACAUAAAGAAAGAAAUAAGGGAUUGUCAAAAGUGGCUGCCACCACUUCACUAUCCCUUGUCGAUUGGCUUUUUUUUUUUUUUAAUGCAAUCCAUUUUUUUUUUGUCUUCUUCAUUCUUUAUUCUUAAAAUAUAUCUAUAAUUAAGAUAAAAUUAACAUACUACAAUUUAAUUGAGCAUAAAAUUAUAUUAAGGGGGCAUUAAGAUAAUUUAUGAGAUAUGAGAGCAUAAGUUGAUACUGUAAGUGAAAAAAUUAUAAUUUUAACAUUUAUUAAAUAUAUACUUUCUAGUGUUACCCACAUCGUGCAACCAAUAUUAAUACAAUAUACAUGGUGAGUUGUCAUUCGGCUGAUUUAAUACUCUGUGAGCAUCCAAUAUUUUCUCUAAACAAAUAUAAAACAUAAAUGGUAUAACUAGAAUUUUAGUUCGUUGGAGGCCAUAAUGGAAAAACUAUUAACUUAAUUAAUAGGAUGGCAAUGAAAUGAGAUAUGCCAAUCUCAGUCUGUUCUCAUAUAUUCAAUUGGUACAAAAAAAUUAUCUCAUUCCUAUUCCGUUACAAUAGACAAACUGUUAAACUUAUAGGCAAUCUCAUUCUUAUUCUGUUACAAUAGACAAACUGUUAAACUUGUAGGCAAUAACAAACUUCUGUAAAAAAUGAGAGGGUCAAUCAUAAAAUUCACAUAAAUUGAAUAAAAUUUCAAGGGAAAAAGACAUCUACAUUUCCAAGGUUUGAAGAAACAAUGGCGAAACCCCAAAUUUUCAAAAAACGACACUAACAUGCCCAAGGUUUGGAGAAAUGGUCAUGAAGACCCCAAGUUCUCUAAAAUGGAUACUAAGACUCUUUUUUGACCAUAAUGUCAUUUGACUCUAUUAACCAAAAAAUUGACUCUAAUAUUUUAAAAUAAAUAAAAAUAUAAUAUUAAAAUAAAUUUAAUAAUAUAUACAUUUGAAAAUAAUUUCCAUAUUAAAAGAUAUUUUAAUAUUUUGCAAUCUAUUAGACAUAUUCUAGUAUAUUAAAUUAAAUUUUAUUAUAAAUAAAAAAAUAAUAUUAAAAUAAAAUGUAAUAAAAUUUGAAUUAUUUAACUUUAACAAUAUUAGUAUUUGAGAUUCUUUUUUUUAUAUUGUAAAAUGCAUUUAACCCGAAUACUUAUUUAAAAUCUCUACAAUAAAUGCAAGUAUAUUAUUAAAAUAAAUAUAAUAAUUUUAAAUAUUUAAAUUUAUUUGAAUAUUAAAAAUAUUUUAAUAUAUCAGUCUACUAGAGAGAGUAUUAUUUAUAUUUUAUUUUAUUUAUUAAAAAUUUUUAAAGUCAAUUUUUUUGUUGUUACAUUCAAAAGAUAUUAUGAUAAAAAAGAAGUCUUAUAUUGGUAUCCAUUUUCUGAAAAAACUUAAGGGUGUACAUGAUUGUUUUCCCAAAUCUUGGGGCAUAGAUAUCCUUUUUUUCAAAAUUCAAUACAAAAUUUUAAUUUUUCUCAAAAUUUAUCUUGGCUUAGGGGGAUCGAUAGGGCCACCCCAAAAGUGUAAAUGGUUCACGAUUGAAUAUUACACGCACACACAUUUUGAUUAGUCUUAACUGAUAUUGACAUCAUAAAGAAAUAUAUGUAUAUCAAAUAAGGUCUAAAAACAUAUAAAUCAAUCAUCAAUCUUAUUAGCUCAUCAUAUUAACAAUUAAGACCCAAAAUAAACUAGAAAAACAAUUUCCUAUACCAUGGAUCAACAACUUAUUAAACAAAAAUCAUCAACGUAUAUAGAGUCCAAAAUUCUCCAAAUUAAAAUUGCUAAUUGAGCUACAAACCUCAUCCGAUAAAUGGGGAAGAACCCAUAAUUGUCUUCAUUUACUUUAGAGGAAAACUGAGAAAGAGCAAAUCGUGCAGAUACUUUUGGAGUUUGAUGAAUGCCUAAGAUGUCAAGCUUGUGAUAAAUGUUGCCAACAUACUAAUUCUCAAUGAAGUAUACUUUAUUCCAUCACUUUGGCAAGACAAUAGUUUCAUUAAUUCCAACAAAACAAGUAUCAUCUUCCAGUCCUGCAACCUAAUUCCAGCAACCAUUAUGAGACUGAAAGACUCUCAACUAUAAGGCUCUUGGCGGUGCAUAAAAACUAAAAGAAUGACUAUAUGCAUGCUAUAGUUCUACACCAAUGGAUCUCGGAAUUAGUAAGAAUUUUAUAUCCAUCUUAUGUAAGUAAAAAAUCCUCCUACUUUUAGGAUCAACCUUCACAUACCAAUUCACACUUGAAGAUUAUUCUCUGCAAACUUAAAUCACCAAGAUUCCAUGCCUCAAUGUUGAAAUCCUCCAAUGAUGAUCACAUAUUCUUAAACGGUCACAUAUUCUUAGAACAACAACACGUUUCUUAUCAUUAAGCAAAGCAAUGCAAUAAACAAAUGAAGGAACACUGGGUAUUGCAUAAUUGUUACUUUUUUUACUAUUCUCGUAUGAUCAUAGAAUCCAAGAUCAAAUCUUUUUUUGAAAUCAAUAAAUGAAUCUAUGAGACUAGGCAAGUUAAUAAUAGUUUUGGCAAAAGGGUUAAAAAACUUGAUGUUAAAUUCACCAUCAAUAUACAUGAUUCUAUCCUUUGCACUUUCAACACAUUGUUUAAGAAAACAUGUUGGAUUAUCAUAUUCAUGCCCCAAUUGUUUUUUCUACUAAGCAAAAUCAACCAACAACGAAGAGUUAGAGUUUGAUGAAGAAGAAGAGCUCUCACUUAAAAUAUGAUAUGGACCGACAAUGAAAUCAUCAAGAUAUUACUUCUUCUUAUAUCUUCGAUCAACAGAAACAAUGACAUUUUAUUACAAGAUUUCUUAAUCUAAAAACCAUCUUCUUGAUGUAAACAUUAUUAUGCAAGAUACUUGGCAUGGACAUUCCAACCUAAGGUUUACUGUAGCUUUAAUCAUGUCGUCCUUUCAUUCAUUAUUAGCUUGUGCCAUUACAUUAUUCAAUCUUUCUUCUUCUUCUUCUUCUAUUGUCCUUGAACAAUUCUUGAUGAUUUUCCCUUCAUCUUUCUUGAAAACAAGUUUAAAAAAGAUUAUGAAUAAAGAUUUAUUUAAUGAGGGUUUUUGUUAUUUCUAACAACAAUGAGAGUUAUUAUAUCUGCUCUCUCCCUUCAAAUUAUGUUAUUGUUUUUUUUCAAGAACGGAGGCCUUGCUCUCUAGUUCAGGUUGGUAAUGUUAUUAGUUUUCAUUUUUUUCGAGGAAAAAACUGUACAAAUGUGUGUGAGCAUAUAUUAUUGAUAAGUAACACUAUUCAUCAAAAAAUUUAUCCAAAACUUUUCAUCCAAAGCAAUGUAAAAGAUGGCAUUGGUGUAAAGUGUGUAAAAAAUCACCUUAAAAUUUUGAGAAAAUUUUAUAUACAUCACAUCACAUAAUCUUCUCAUUUUUGCUACAAUUUUUGCAAUGAUUUCUAGACUAAGUUGCACUCUUCUUAUCACUCAAAUAGACAGUAAGAACAAUUCGAUGUACUAGUGUCAAUUUAAUUUAAGAUCAGUUAUUGAAUUGCUCAUUCAAUAAGAAUUCUUCAUGUUAUAUGCUUAAUUUGAAGACUCGAAUCUUCACUAUGUUUAUCACGAAAUUUUUGAGUCUCAAAUGUAUACUACAUAAUUUCACUACCUAAGCAUCUUAAAAGUAAAUCGGAUUCAUGAUUUAAUGUCUAUAUAAUACGAUGCACGGAAUAAUACAUGUACAAUAGAUAUGCAUGAUAAAUGAACUACUUUGAAAAAGUCCCAUAUAAAAAUUGUUAAUGAUGAUCUCAAUUUCUAAAUUAACAAUCAUUGAAUUUUAAUUUUCUUUAACAUUUUCUUUUAAUGUAUUUUUAUUUUGUCAGUUGAUGAUAGAGAUGAGAAUGGGGAGGCGAGAGGAUCGACAUCCUAUUACCCAUCCAUAAUGUUAUGUUUAAGUGUGUGUGUGUGUAACUCCUCAUGUCCCCGUUAUAAUAAUAUAAAUAUAUGAGGGGAGGGAAUGAAGAUAUUGAAGGAUACCCAAUCCUUCAAUAAUUGACAACUUUAUCUUUCAAACUUAAUAUAAUCAUAUUAUAGUAAAACCAUAAAAUAAUAUUUCUAACGCAAAAAUAUCAAAAUAAACUAAUGUCAAUUAAAACAUUGCCGUCAAACUCUGUUGAUAUCAUUGAUAUUAUAGCAUAAUCCAUAUGUGAUUUGUCCACAAUACACGAAUAUUAAAUAUAAAUGAUUGUCGAUUUAAAUAUUUCGUCAAACUAAGUUAAUAGCAUCAAUAUUACAACGUAAUUAAUAUGUGAUUCGUCCACAAACAAAAAAAAGUGUUGUUUGUCUAUAUAAUAGAACCAAUGACAAAUUUUAUUCAUGUCUUUACAGUAUUUUUAUAAAUAUUACAAUUUUUUUUUGUUUACAAACAUAUUAAUAUAUUUUAAAUGUAUUUUAUUAAAAAUUAUGGAAAAAUAUAAUAAAAGUUAAAAGGAUUUGGAUCAUUUCUUUUUAAUCUUAUUUUUUCUAAGAUUAAUUUUGUAGGAGAUUAUAAUAUUUGUCACUUACAUAUAAAAUUUUCCAUUUUAAACCCAAAACACAUCGUUUAGUAACUAAUAACUAUAAUCCUAAAACUAAUGGGAGUUUAAUUUUAACGUUCGACUUCUUUUUUGUCCACUUUCUUUACACGUUAUAUAGCCUCUUUCAUCUCUCACUGCUUCUUCAAAACCAGAAACUUAGGGUGCGAUUGGAAUUGAGGUGUUGUAUUUUAAAAGUUAUAGUUGCUGUGGAAAAAAAAAACUGUAACUAUAAAACAAAAGUAAAUAAUAUGUAGUAAAUAUAAAAUUUAAACAAUAAUUUUAACAAAAUUAUUAAAGAUAUAAUAGAUUCUCCAUUAUACAAGUAAAAAAUCAUAUCAAUAUAGUUUUUAAGUUACAACAGUUAGUGUUUAUCAAACACUUUAUUGCUGUAACUUUUAAGUUACAGCUGUCCAACCUCAAUCCCGAACGCACUCUUAAUUUGAUAAUGAAAAAUUCCACUAAUUAAAAAAAAUGGCUGGUUAAUUUAAUUUAAUUUUUUUUUUUCAAUUUUGGAACUCUCUUGUUUCGCAUCUCAGUUCCCUUCUGUUGGAGAAUUUAUGAACCGUAGGAUUUCAACAAUGAAAAGAAAACAGAAAAAAGGAGGGGAAAGUAAUCCUAGAUAACUAUAAUUCAAAUAAAUGUUGAGUGUUAGAAAAUGCAUAUUUAUAAAGGAGAAAACCGUCAUUUUACAUUUUAAGUCUUACUAACAACCCUUACUUUUAUAUAUUUAACCUUCUUGUGAUUUAAUUACAUGUGUUUUAUUUUAAUUAAGUAUUUUAUGUAUUUUAGGGGCAUUAUAGUCAUUUCACAAUAAAGGAGAGAUCAGACGGCAAAACGGACAUCACUUUUGAACUCAGGACGGUCGAAAACCUUAGGAGGAGCAUAAAAGGAAAAAUGGCACUAUUCACAUGUACGGUACUAUUCACGUGUACGGUACUGUAUACGUUACUGUUCACGACACUGUUCAUAUAGACGGAUGAUGACGUGGCAUUGACCGAUGAUGUGGCAUUGACUGAUGAGGUGUCACGAUCCUGUUGGACUAAAAUUCUUAUGUACUGUUGAUGGUGACGUGGCAGCAUAUCAGUGGACGAAAAAUCUCGCGUACGGUGCAUGCAUCACACAGGAUUAUUUUCAUCCAAACCGCGUUACUGUUCAUCCGGGUCAAACCGCGUUACUGUUCAAAGUCGGGUCAAACCGUGUUACUGUUCAUCCGCGUGGUCAAACCGUGGACUGUUGACUGAUGACGUGGCGCAAUCCUGAGCGUCCAAACUGUUUUUAAUCCGAUGGCCAUGAUUUACUCCAUGUAUCUAUAAAAAGGGGGCCUCCCCCCCCUAAUUUGAGAUCUCUGAAUCCAUUUUUGGGAUCCAUUUUCUGUAAUUCCCUCUCCAUCUUGUAUUUUCUUCGUAUUUUAAUAAAUUCCCAUUUUGCCCCUAGUUCAACUAUGAGUGGCUAAUUUUCUUUCAAGCUUGGGUUGAAGGUGAAGUCUCAACAUGUGUCAUGGGCUUAAUUUGGUAAAUUUAUUUUCUCUUCCCCUCUAAUUUUUGUGGAUGUUUUGACUUCUCGUCGACAAAUAAUAAUAGUCUUGUCUAGAUACCGCCUUGGUUACACCGGCUCUCUAGUAUAAGGUUAUUAUUAUUUGGCACGAUAAGCCCUUAGCACCAUAUUGAUUAGAGCGUGGUUCAUGAGGUGUGGAUUCCCCCCUCAUGAUUUAAUUGGCAUUAAUACGGAUUAUUUAGCCCAUGAUGCAUGUUGAUACGGAUCCGGAUACCCAAGUGCGUCAUUUCAAUAGAAUUCUCUUCAAUUUCUUCUCGCCAUUUCAAUACCAAUUUUAGAAUUUAUUCUCGCCAUUUUAAUUUAAGUUGUAGCAUAUUUCAAAUCAUUUCCACCAUAAUUCCAACCACCCAUUUACAAAAUUAAUUCUAUAUAUAAUUAAAAUCCACCUCCUCGUGGGAUCGACACUCGUCACCAUUGAUCUACACUACAAUAGAUUCGUGCGCUUGCGAGUACAUUAAAAUUUGCACAACAAGUUUUUGGCGCCGUUGCCGGGGAGGUAAGUAAUUUUAAUUCAUAGAAUUAAUUUUUGUGAAUAAUUUCUUUUAUUUGUUUUCUUGUAUUUUUUUUAUUAUUAAAAAAAAAAGAAAAAGAAAAAAAAAGUGAAUCUACAUUUAAAGGUUAGUAUUUCUUUUCUUUUUCUCUUCUUUAAAAUUCUGUAAUUUAUUUUUCAAUUUAUUUUUCUUUGUAAUUUUUUUUUUGUUUAUCUUAUUAAUUUAUUUUUAGUUAAUUUAUUUCACGUAUUUGUUUUUGUGUAUUUUUAUAGAAAGGUUUUAAUAGCGCAAUAAGGUUAGUAUCGUAAUUUCUCCCUCUUCUUUAUUUUUAUUUGUUUUGUUCCCAUCUUUAUUUUUUGUUUUGUUUGCAUCUUUAUUUUUAUUUUAUUUAUUUUGCAUGCAUGGUCGUAGGUCAUUAUUACCUAAUCUUGAACCUAUAGACCUUGAAUUAGAAAAAACACUUCGCACACACAAACACGUUAAAAAUAAAAUGGAUUUACAAGCACCACAGGAGAGGCCAUUUAAGGACUAUUUUAGUCCCUUAGCUAAUUUGAGCACGUCAUGCAUAAGAUACCCAAAUGUAGCUGCUAGGAGUUUUGAAUUAAAACCUAGUGUGUUAAAUUGUCUCCCUACAUUUUAUGGCCUAGAAAAUGAGGAUCCAUAUAAUCAUUUGAAUGAUUUUCAUGCCAUUUGUCAAACAUUCAAAUAUGAGAAUUUUUCAGAUGAUGAUGUUAAACUUAGACUAUUCCCAUUUUCUUUAAAAGAUAGAGCUCGUUCAUGGCUUAAUACAUUGCCUGCUAAUAGCAUUGCAUCAUGGGAACAAAUGGUUACAAAAUUUUUAAAUAAAUAUUUCCCAGUGCAUAAAACCAAUGCUAUUCGCAGGGAAAUCUCGGAGUUUACCCAGAAAGAUGACGAGCAAUUUUUCGAAACAUGGGAGCGAUUCAAUGGGCUACUCUUGAAGUGUCCACAUCAUGGGUACGAGAAAUGGCACCAAUGCCAAUACUUUUUGGAGGGAUUAUUGCCGAAUGUGCAAGAAUGGCUAAUGGCAACAAGUGGAGGAGAGCUAAUGUUAAAAAGUGCAUCAGAGAUUUGGGAAUUCUUCCAGCGACAAGCAGAUAAUUCCCAACAACGGAGUCGAUCACUCAGGACUACUAGAAGAAUUAAAGGAGUGAAUGAGGUUCAAAUUGGCGAAUCAACUUCAGGAAUAAAAGAAGUCAAGGAGAUGGUUGAAGGUCUUGCUCGACAAAUAGCAUCGUUAUCGACUGCUAAAUCAACUGAACCACAUGACCUUGACUCAUACUCAGAUCAAGCCAAUGCCAUAGGUAUAAUGAGAAAACCAUCAAAUUACAACCCAUACUCCAACACAUAUAAUCCUGGAUGGAGAGAUCACCCUAAUUUUUCAUGGUCUCAAGGAUUCCAACAGAAUGGACCAGCAGCUCCAGCUCCACCAAUGCAACAAAUUCCUCAAGUUCCUCAAGCCUCUCAGCCACCAUUUAGACCAUACAAUCAGAACAAGAAUUACUCUCAGCCCAGACCAUGGGAGGAUUCAUUCCAGAAUCUUAAGAAUCUUACUCACUCUACGAUUGAGCAACAGAACCGCACCAUUGAUGGACUACGAAAUGAGUUGAGAGCAGGCUUCAACUCACAAGCUCAAUCGGUUUCAAGCCUCGAGAAGAUGGUGGGACAACUUGCUUCUUCAGUUCAAACCUUGGCAAUGACCGUUGAGAAAGGUAAGUUUCCAAGUCAACCAGUGCCUAAUCCUAAAGGAGUACAUGAAGCAAGUACCAGUUCACCACAACAGCAUGGAGAGGUCAAAGCAGUAAUGACCUUGCGAAAAGGAAAAGAAGUCGACAACAAGGUGGAGAUGCCAGUGACAAAAGAAAAUCAAAUUGUACCUGUGAAUGUUGAGGACUCAUCACCGGAGGAAAAAGAAGAAACCAACCCACAAGAAUACAUUCCGAAAGCUCCAUUUCCUCAGAGGUUAGCGAAAGGCAAGAAGGGAAAAUCCACAGGUGAGAUUCUUGAAAUCUUCAAACAGGUAAGUGUUAACAUCCCUUUGCUUGAUGCUAUUAAACAAGUUCCAUCUUAUGCCAAGUUUCUUAAAGACCUUUGUACUAAAAAGAGAAAUAUGCAUGUUCAAAAGAAGGCAUUUUUAACAGAAAACGUUAGUUCUAUACUCCAACAUAAAAUUCCUUUAAAAUGCAAAGACCCAGGCUCCCCCACUAUCUCAUGUAGUAUAGGGAACCACACAAUUGAGAAUGCUUUGUUGGAUUUAGGAGCUAGUGUAAAUUUAUUGCCUUACUCUGUGUUCGUGAAACUUGGACUUGGAGAAUUACACCCAACUCCAGUGGUGUUACAACUUGCAGAUCGGUCCACAAAAAUAUCUCGUGGUAUUGUGGAGGACGUGCUUAUCCAGGUAGACAAAUUUUAUUUUCCUGUUGACUUCAUUGUAAUUGACACUCAACCAAUACAGGAUUCAAGGAAGCACAUCCCCAUUAUUCUAGGCCGACCUUUCUUGGCAACUGCGGAUGCUCACAUUCAAUGCAGGACCGGAAAUAUGCAGUUGUCCUUCGGCAACAUGACUAUGGAACUGAACAUCUUCAACAUUGCCAAACAACCUCACAGUGCAGAUGAUGGAAUUGUUGAUGUGGAUUUAAUAGAAACAAUAGUUGAUAAUACUUUUCUUUCAAACCUUAGUGAUGAUCCUUUACAGACAUGCUUAACUCACUUUGGUUUUGAUUUUGAUAUUGACAGAUCAGUUGAUGAGGUCAACGCCCUGCUUGACUCAGCACCAUCUAUGGACACUAAUAAAUGGAAGUCAAGAGUUGAGCAACUAGCACCAUCAGAGAAGCAACUCAUUCCAUCAUCAGAAUCACCACCGAAACUCGAGCUCAAACCAUUGCCCAACACUUUGGAAUAUGCGUUUUUGGGAGAAGAAAGUACUCUGCCGGUAAUCAUCUCAUCAUCCCUAAAUGACGAACAAAAAGGUAAGUUGUUGGAUGUUUUAAAAGAGCACAAAGAAGCAUUAGGAUGGACCAUAGCAGAUAUUAAAGGUAUAAACCCAGUAGAUUGCAUGCAUUACAUUCACCUUGAUGAAAAUGCUAAAACUACUAGGGAGAUGCAACGUCGGUUAAAUCCUAACAUGAAAGAAGUUGUUAGAACUGAGGUCCUUAAGCUAUUAGAUGCAGGUAUCAUUUACCCCAUUUCUGAUAGUUCAUGGGUCAGUCCUGUGCAAGUUGUCCCCAAAAAGUCAGGAAUCACAGUAGUUACGAAUGCUGAUAAUGAAUUGAUACCCACUAGAGUAACUACAGGAUGGCGUGUAUGUAUUGAUUAUAGGAAGUUGAAUUCUGUCACACGUAAAGACCAUUUUCCUUUACCAUUUAUUGAUCAAAUGCUUGAUAGAUUAGCAGGCCAUGAAUUUUAUUGCUUUCUAGAUGGUUACUCAGGAUAUAAUCAGAUUCCCAUAGCACCAAAAGAUCAAGAGAAAACUACUUUCACUUGCCCUUUUGGCACAUUUGCAUAUAGGAGAAUGCCAUUUGGAUUAUGUAAUGCACCUGCUACAUUUCAACGAUGCAUGUUGAGCAUUUUUUCUGAUAUGGUUGAACGAUUCCUUGAAGUCUUUAUGGAUGACUUUUCUGUCUUUGGUGACUCGUUUGAUCAAUGUUUACAUCAUCUAACACUAGUUCUGCAGAGAUGUAUCGAGAAGAACUUGGUCUUAAAUUGGGAGAAAUGCCAUUUUAUGGUAAAACAAGGUAUUGUUCUCGGUCACAUCAUUUCGAGCAAAGGUAUUGAGGUUGACAAAGCCAAGGUGGAUCUCAUUUCUAAUCUUCCUCCACCCAAAACAGUCAGAGAAGUAAGAUCUUUCCUUGGGCAUGCUGGUUUCUAUAGACGUUUCAUUAAAGAUUUUAGCAAAGUUUCUAGACCCUUAUGCAAUUUACUUGCUAAGGAUGUACCUUUUAUCUUUAAUGAUUCAUGUCUUAUGGCGUUUGAAAAAUUAAAACAGUUGUUGACAUCAUCACCCAUCAUUCAGGCCCCAAACUGGAACUUACCAUUUGAGCUACAUGUGUGAUGCAUCUGAUUAUGCAGUAGGAGCAGUAUUAGGACNNNNNNNNNNNNNNNNNNNNNNNNNNNNNNNNNNNNNNNNNNNNNNNNNNNNNNNNNNNNNNNNNNNNNNNNNNNNNNNNNNNNNNNNNNNNNNNNNNNNACUUGGAAUUCAAAGAUAAGAAAGGGUCAGAAAAUGUGGUGGCGGACCACCUCUCUCAUCUCCAUUUUGACACAAUAAUAGAACAAUUACCAUUAAAUGAGUCAUUUCCAGAUGAACAAUUAAUGAGUGUGGAAGUAUUACCUUGGUAUGCUGAUAUAGUUAAUUAUCUUGUUACAGGUAAACUUCCAGAGCAUUGGACCAAGCAAGACAAGGCUAAAUUCUUUGCAGAGAUAAAGAAUUUCUUUUGGGAUGACCCGUAUUUGUUCAAGUAUUGUGCGGAUCAAAUUGUUAGACGAUGUGUCCCAGAAAGUGAAAUUCAGAAUAUCCUUUCAUUCUGCCAUGAACAAGCUUGUGGAGGCCAUUUCAGUGCUAAGAAGACAGCGACUAAAGUUUUACAAUGUGGUUUCUAUUGGCCAUCUAUAUUUCGAGACGCUUACACUUUCUGUUCUUCAUGUGAUAGGUGUCAACGAAUGGGGAGCAUUACACGAAGGAACAUGAUGCCACUAAAUCCAAUUUUAGUGGUUGAGAUUUUUGACGUAUGGGGUAUCGACUUCAUGGGACCCUUUCCCCCUUCUUUUGGCCAUCAAUACAUAUUGGUUGGUGUUGACUACGUCUCAAAAUGGGUAGAAGCAAUUCCAUGUAGAACCAAUGAUCACAAGGUGGUGAUAGGAUUUUUGAAAAACAACAUUGUCUCACGCUUUGGAUUCCCUCGAGCAAUAAUCAGUGAUGGUGGUGCCCACUUUUGUAACAAAGCAUUCAAAGCACUUUUGACAAAGUAUUCAAUCACACACAAAGUGGCAACCCCGUAUCAUCCGCAAACCAGUGGCCAAGUUGAGAUCUCCAAUCGAGAAAUAAAGCACAUAUUAGAAAAAACGGUGAGGCCAGACAGAAAAGAUUGGUCAUUAAGACUUGAUGAUGCAUUAUGGGCAUAUAGAACGGCUUUCAAGACCCCGAUUGGGAUGUCACCCUACAGGCUAGUGUAUGGAAAAGCUUGCCACCUACCUGUGGAACUCGAGCAUCGUGCAUAUUGGGCCAUCAAGAAAUUCAAUUUUGACAUGCAGCAAGCCAGCUCAGAAAGAAGAUUACAGCUGGCAGAACUUGAAGAAAUUCGCAAUGAUGCAUACGAAAACGCCAAGAUUUACAAGCAACGAAUGAAAGUCUUCCAUGAUAAGCAAAUUAUGAGAAAAUCGUUCACUCCAGGUCAGAAAGUGCUUUUAUUCAAUUCUCGCUUGCACCUAUUCCCAGGUAAGUUACGCUCUCGUUGGUCUGGCCCAUUUAUUGUUCAUACUGUUUUUCCACAUGGGGCAAUUGAAAUUAAAGACCCAAAGAAUGGUGUCACGUUUAAAGUUAAUGGUCAAAGAUUAAAGCCAUAUCUAGAGUACCAACCACAUGAAGAAGACACCGAAAUAAAUUUGAGUGACCCACCAAAUUUGAAUUGAUUUUUUUUUCUCUUCAUUGAUUUGAUUUUUCUUUUUUUCUUUUUAUUAUUAUUCUUUUGCUAAUUGAAAUUGUUUUUGCAUAAGUGUGUUUAUUUUACCAUUAAGUUUUCUCUUAUCAUUUUUAAUCAUGAGUCUCAUACUUAGACCGUUCCUCCUGAACAUUCUUAAACCACUUCAACGUGUCAAAACUCAUCUCAAAAGACAGAUUCAAUUUUGUAAAACACAUCGCAUUUGGGCUCUACAACCACCAGAGUUAGUAGCCUAUGUUGAGGGUUUAGAACACCAACUCAGAGACAUUGAGAGAAGUGUUUACGACAUCCAGUUGGAGCUUGAGGUAAAUUCAAUAAGAGGACGAUUUUAAUUUUCUUUGUGUGUUUUAAUUUGUUUUUCUAUUUGUGUGCUUUAGUUUGUUACCCCGGUGAAGUGGCGGAUAACGGUACUCCGUGACAAUCAAGUCGGUUACUUCAGUUUCCCAUAAUAACUGAUAUUCUGAGGCGAAGGUAUGGACAGAAACGAGAUUCUAGCGAAGCUUCACAAGCGAUUCCCUUCACUUCCUCAGAAUGCCCUCCUUACGAUCUAUAAAGCUCGGUCCGAACGCAUGCGAUUACUCAUGAGGAAUAACAUACCUGCUGACAUCCGUUGGUUAAUCGAGGCUAAAGUACGAUCGGCAGGUGAGUUAACUCCAAAAUUUAUUGCAUACAUGCCUGGUUGUGGUAAAGGAAAUUAUGCAAGAAAACGACGAGCUCGAAGAAUUUCUAUUGCUUGUCAUAAGUGUGCCAGAAUGAGUUGCAAUAAAAACCCAUGUUCUUUAGGAAUGGUGUCUGAUAACAGGGAAGAUAAGAUUCAAUUCAUUAGGGAUGGCUUGAAUAAGGAGUCAUUGGAUGAUAUCCUUUUGUCUCUUGAAACGCAUCCCAGUGGAUAUGUGCAAGGAGCGAUUCUCCAGUUAUGGCCAUUAUUCCAGAAAGAGCAUGCACGAUAUAGUCUCGGGAAUCUGACUAUAAACGACCCUGUUUGCCAGUUUAUAAGAGAACUGGAUAGGAAGCCUAUCCUCGACCCAUAGAGGGGGUUCAAGCCGUUUCUGGACGUAAAACCAGAGGAAGAUGUGAGCCACAGUCGCAACUACCUGUAAAUAUCCUUUUACUUUAUUGUUAUUUUAUUUCACUAUUGUCUUAUUGUUUGCAUUAUUGUCUUUAAUAAUUUUAUUACUGUUUGCUUUUUCCUUUUUACUGUUUUCUUUUUGACUUGCGAGCACGUGCUUUACGCGUUAUUUGACACUGACAUAUUACCUCAUACACAACCAUGACCCACUAUCACCAAGACUCUUAAAUGUGAUUUCUUUUUUGUCAAGCACUCACAAAUUGUUUUUGAGAAGUAUCACAAUGUCAGCUACUCCCAAUAGACAAUUCAAGAACAUUUGUGUGCUUUCUGGAUUUACCUAUGGCAAACAUAAAGAGUUCGUUGAGGCAGCCAUAGAUCUUGGUCGAAGCAUAGCAGCGAGAAAAUUACACUUGGUGUAUGGAGGAGGUAAUCGAGGGUUAUCAAAAAUGGUCUCAGAAGCAGCUUUUAUCAGAGGAAGUCAAGUGUUAGGCAUCAUCCCACGAGUCCUAAAACCAUUGGGCAGUUCGUCUGACUCAUCAACUGGAGAAGAGUUAGUCGUCUCAGGUAUGCAAGAAAGAAUAACUGAAAUGCUUAAUCAUGCUGAUGCUUUUAUUUUCCUUCCAGGAGAUCUUGCAACACUAGAGGCACUUAUCACGCUAGCAUCUUGGGCCCAUCUGCACAUCCACCAGAAACCCAUCGGUUUGUUAAAUGUCAAUAACUUUUAUGAUGGCUUUAUCGCAUUUCUUAACCAUGCAAUAAAAAACUAUUUCAUUCCCUCUAAUGCGAAAAAACUCUUUAUUUGUGCUCACACUGCUAAUGAGCUACUUGAUAUGUUACAAGCUUAUCGACCGGAGCCAGACCCCUGGACCUUUGUGUUGGAGCGUCCAAAUAAUGAUGGUAACAGUAGCCGCAGUAAGAAGUACAAAUUAGAUUUAACUCUCCGCCUGUAAAUAUUUUCUUCUGUGUUGCACCACCCAGGUGAUGUCUUCUAAACUCUACUUCUUUCAUUUCAAACAUUGAGGACAAUGUUUCGUUCUGGUUGGGGGGAGGGAAUAGUCGACAAUUGUGGAAUUUUGGUUAAGUUUUUACUAAUUUUUUGUUGUAGAAACUAACUGUUGCUAACUUUUUGUGUUGAAGAUGGCUGAAUAUGGAGUGUAGUUACUCUAGAAACGCAUCUUCAUUGUUUAAAAAAAAAAAUUCAAAAAAAAAAAAAACAAUUCAGACAUUUUCUUUUUCUUUAUUAUGUGUUUAUGUUUAUUUUUCUUCUUUAAUUUCUCCUCUAUAAAUAUACAUUUUCCAACUUUUGAGUCGAAGAUGGCUGAAUAUGAAGUGUAGUUCCUCUAGAAACGCAUCUUCUUUUAAAAAAAAAAAAAUCAUUUUCGUUUUCUAUCAUUUUACGUGUAACUUUUCUAAUUAGUUUUUAUGCAUCAUUUUCACAUUUCUGCAUGCAUAUUUUCCUUUCAUGUUUAGAAUAGGUUGGGGGGUAGAAUGAUGUUUAAAAAAAAAAAAAUUGUGUGAUUUGUUUUAACAUUGGAUGACAUGAUUAAUUUCAAAUUUUAGUAUUUGUAUUAUCUUUGGUCUUAAGUGAUGUUACGCUAUGUUUGCUACUUUACAUGUUGAUGUCGGAGACAAAUGUGAGUUGCUUGAAGGAAUGAACAUGUCAUAAUAAGUACCAAGUGAGUUUUUGAGCCUAUUAUUUUUCUUGGAGAAUAACCCUUUUGCCCACUCUUUAUACAGCUUAGCAGUUUAUUAUUUUAUACACGAUCUCUAAAUUACUUUUGAGUUAACCCUUAAAAAAAAAUUGUAAAAUAAAAAAAAAAGAGAAAAAAGAAAAAGAAAAAAGAGUGUGUUGCUACAUUUGGAGGCCCAUCUAACUAGUAGAUAUGGAAAAUUAUUUAGAGCCCUAAAAGACGAUGGAGAGGCCAUCUUUGAUCCGUUUGAGCCUUUCAAGCCAUCCCUUUUAUUUAAUAUCCAUAGUUAACCCUUUUGAGCCUUUAAAAAAAAAAAAAACAUUUUCUUUGUCAACUUAUCAUCUUGACCCACUCCGAUUUGGAGUAUUACCUGAUAUCUUAUAAGUUCCAUCACCUAUGUAUGUUUGAGAAAAUGUAAAUAAUUAUUUUGUUCAGUGAAGUUAUGCCAAAUAAAAGCAAAAAAAAAAAAACAAAAAAAAAACAAAAACAAAAACAAAAGUUGUUGUUUCAAAAGAAUAAAAAUAGGUGAAAUCCACCUUGCAACUUCAAAAAAAAAAAAAAAAAUUCUCUGUAUUUUUCUCAAACAUACACUUUGUUUUCCUUAUUUUCCUUCUUUGUUAGCCAUGUCCCUAGCCUACGUUUCGUCCUAAUAAAAGUCCUUCUUGAUUUUAGGGAACUAUAGUUUGAAGUAGAAGCUAGUUAUAUGGGCUAAAAAGAUGUAGUGAUGCAUAAUUAAAAAAAAAAAAAGAUAAAUAAAGUGGGUUGACUAACAUUUUAUUUGACUUGAGAUCGUAUUAUUUCUAAGCUGAGGGCAUAUUUAUUUCAUCUUGGUGAGAGCAUGUGAUAUCACUUCUUUAUUAUUUUCUCUCUCAAUUACCAUUCAUUGGAGUGACUAUUUUUAUUGGGAUUAAUUUAUUUGUGAGAGUGUCACUACUUCCAGUGAGAUUUUGGGGUUUGACAUGUCAUUCUUGAGAGUAGCUAAAACAAAGUCUACUGGGCUAAUUCAUGUGGAUGGUUGAUGUGGGUGUGAUGUUGCUUUAGACUGGAGAUAAUGCUUAUACUUUUAUUUGAUUGCUAUCAUUAAUCUGAUGGAAUAAAUACGAGUGUUUCUAUUAAAACAAAAAAAAAAUUAUUUUGAAUUUGAAUUUUGUUUUCGCUUUAUUUGCUAGGGACUAGCAAUAAGCUGGUUGGGGGGUGUGUUGAGUGUUAGAAAAUGCAUAUUUAUAAAGGAGAAAACCGUCAUUUUACAUUUUAAGUCUUACUAACAACCCUUACUUUUAUAUAUUUAACCUUCUUGUGAUUUAAUUACAUGUGUUUUAUUUUAAUUAAGUAUUUUAUGUAUUUUAGGGGCAUUAUAGUCAUUUCACAAUAAAGAAGAGAUCAGACGGCAAAACGGACAUCACUUUUGAACUCAGGACGGUCGAAAACCUUAGGAGGAGCAUAAAAGGAAAAAUGGCACUAUUCACAUGUACGGUACUAUUCACGUGUACGGUACUGUGUACGGUACUGUAUACGUUACUGUUCACGACACUGUUCACAUAGACGGAUGAUGACGUGGCAUUGACCGAUGAUGUGGCAUUGACUGAUGAGGUGUCACGAUCCUGUUGGACUAAAAUUCUUAUGUACUGUUGAUGGUGACGUGGCAGCAUAUCAGUGGACGAAAAAUCUCGCGUACGGUGCAUGCAUCACACAGGAUUAUUUUCAUCCAAACCGCGUUACUGUUCAUCCGGGUCAAACCGCGUUACUGUUCAAAGUCGGGUCAAACCGUGUUACUGUUCAUCCGCGUGGUCAAACCGUGGACUGUUGACUGAUGACGUGGCGCAAUCCUGAGCGUCCAAACUGUUUUUAAUCCGAUGGCCAUGAUUUACUCCAUGUAUCUAUAAAAAGGGGGCCUCCCCCCCCUAAUUUGAGAUCUCUGAAUCCAUUUUUGGGAUCCAUUUUCUGUAAUUCCCUCUCCAUCUUGUAUUUUCUUCGUAUUUUAAUAAAUUCCUAUUUUGCCCCUAGUUCAACUAUGAGUGGCUAAUUUUCUUUCAAGCUUGGGUUGAAGGUGAAGUCUCAACAUGUGUCAUGGGCUUAAUUUGGUAAAUUUAUUUUCUCUUCCCCUCUAAUUUUUGUGGAUGUUUUGACUUCUCGUCGACAAAUAAUAAUAGUCUUGUCUAGAUACCGCCUUGGUUACACCGGCUCUCUAGUAUAAGGUUAUUAUUAUUUGGCACGAUAAGCCCUUAGCACCAUAUUGAUUAGAGCGUGGUUCAUGAGGUGUGGAUUCCCCCCUCAUGAUUUAAUUGGCAUUAAUACGGAUUAUUUAGCCCAUGAUGCAUGUUGAUACGGAUCCGGAUACCCAAGUGCGUCAUUUCAAUAGAAUUCUCUUCAAUUUCUUCUCGCCAUUUCAAUACCAAUUUUAGAAUUUAUUCUUGCCAUUUUAAUUUAAGUUGUAGCAUAUUUCAAAUCAUUUCCACCAUAAUUCCAACCACCCAUUUACAAAAUUAAUUCUAUAUAUAAUUAAAAUCCACCUCCUCGUGGGAUCGACACUCGUCACCGUUGAUCUACACUACAAUAGAUUCGUGCGCUUGCGAGUACAUUAAAAUUUGCACAACAAUAAACAAGAGCAAACUUCUAUUUAUAUUGAACUUAUAUGUAUAACCAUAUUCCAAUGAGAAUUUUAUAUUUUCAAAAUUGAUUUAAUUUUGAUAUUUCUUUCAAAAUUGUUUUAAUUGUGAUCAUUGUACUGAAAUCAAAUACAAAAUAAGAAAAGAGUGGUUUAAAUAAUAAUGGCACGGGAGUGUUUACAUGUGUGAAGAAGAAAUAGGAGAUUAAGAUGGUAGACAAGGAAAAGAGAAGAGAUGACAUAAUUUAGGGUUAACAUCUAAUAGUUGCUAAUUAUUCUAUUUUAGUUAUUCAUUAAAUUGAUAUAUGGCGUUUAGGAAGAAAAAAUUAAAAGUAAAUUAAAUCUUACCCCUAGAUACACUUAAAUGGCAAGUGUCGUAAUCUCCCAUUAAUCUUGGGAAAAAUUAGAUUAGAAAUAGAAGUAAAAACAAUGAAAAUGGAGAGGAGAUAAAGAUUUCACCUGGUUCCCAUCAUUUCUUCGAAUAAAAAAUAAAUAUUAGAUUGUAAUUAUCCCCUGAUUGAAUAAAAAAUUAGAUAUCAAAUUAUACCCAUCUACUCCCCAAAUGAAAAUAAUCCCCAAAGAUCCCAUCCCCUUAGUAAUUUUUGACAUCCCUAAUUGGUGGUUUGCCCCAUGAUACAUGUAUCCUUGACAAAAAUAAAUAAAUAGAUGACAUGCUAGUCAUGUCGUCAGGCUAUAUUACAUAAGUUUGUUGGUGAAAAGCACAUGCACGAAUUAAAUCGGUUAGCUCAAAACAACAUACUCAAAUAUGUAAUUGAAAAACAUAACAUGAUUUUCUCCAUAGACUUUAUUAUUUCAAAAUUUACAUUGCAAUAAUAAUUUGGGUUCUAUUAAUUUGAAUUAGUUUUACGGUAGAAACACUGACGAUGACUGCAUAGUCAUAAAAAUAAAUAUUACAUAUAUAUUUAUUAUUAUGAUUUAAUGGUUAACAUACUUAUUCAACUAAAAGUACUGGUCCAAUUUAAUUACAGCUUAAUAUUUUAUAAGAAAUCUUUAAAUUACAUUUAAUAUAUCUUACAUUCACAUACAUAAACAGUAUAUAGUGUAAAGCCUACUGUUAACUUUACAUUUGCCUAUUUUAUAUAACUUACAUUCAAGUUACAAGUUUUACUUUUACACUUGAGGCACAAAAUUUUAAGUUUUCAAUCAUUGCUUAAGGGUGCGUUUGGAAUUGAGGUUGGGCAGCUGUAGCUUAAAAGUUACAGUACUAAAGUGUUUGGUAAACACUAACUGUUGUAGCUUUUAAGCUAUGUUGAUAUGAUUUUUCACUUGUAUAAUAUAAAAUUUAUUAUAUCUUUAAUAUUUUUAUCAAAAUUAUUAUUUAAAAUUUAUAUAUAUUAUAUAUUAUUAACUUUUAUUUCAUAAUUACAACUUUUUUUUCACAGCAACUGUAACUUAAAAUCUACAGUACUUCAAUCCCAAACGCACCCUAAGUGGUAAAGACCUAAAAGGGUAACAUUGUCCAAAACCUUUGUUUACAGUUUCCUCCAAUGGUAGGCAUUUAUAUUGGUCAUAAUUUUGAUGUUUUGUGAAGAAAGAAUAAUAAACUCCAAAAUGUAACACAGACUUCAAUACAAGCCCCCGUUUUAUUCAAUUUUAAAAAACAAUUAUAAUUACCCUAUAGCCCCGAAGUGGGUCCCUCUAAAUGGACAAAUAAGAAAUAACAUAACACAAACCCUUAAUAAAAACCUUUUAAAAAAAAUUAACAAAUAAUAAUAAUAUUAUUAUUAUUGUUAUAACUUGGCAAUUUUCCCCAACUCGCUAUCUUUAUAUGCACACAAAUCUCUAACCCAAAUUCAAACCCAAAAUUGUCUCUUGCCUCUCUCUUUCUCUUUCUCUUUCUCUUUCCUUUUUCUCUUCUGGGUCUCUUCUGUUUUCUGUUGUCUAAUUACAAAUUCAAUUCAAUUAAUUCAAACAGAUAAUGAAAAGCAAAACACGUUAAAAAAGAAGCCCUUUUUUCCCCCCAAAUCGGAAAACGGACGAAAACCCUAACUGAGGCUUCUAUCGUCAAAGCUUCUUUUUCUGUUCCAAUUUAACUCUUUUUGUUCAAUACUCGAAACCCAUUUGCUAGAAUUUGAAGAUAAUUGUUGAGAAAUUAGUUAAUUUUGCUUGCUAUGGAAGCGAUACCGCACCCUAUACCUAGAACUGUAGAGGAGGUUUUCAGCGAUUUUAAGGGCAGACGGGCUGGCUUGAUUAAGGCUUUAACAGCUGGUAAUGGCUUAAUAUUUUCUUCUCUUUUUAUUUGAACUAAAUUAAUGGGUUUGUUCUAUUUGAGCUUAUGAUUAUUUUUUUCUUGUUAAUUUUAAUUUUAAUUUUCUGGGUUGUUGCAGAUGUUGAGAAGUUCUACCAGCAGUGCGAUCCUGGUGGGUUUUUCUUUUCCAUACCUAUUUUUUGUUUAUUUAAUUGUAAUUGGACUUUUUUUUCCUUCUUUUUUUUUCUAUAUUUUUGUAUUAUAUUGACUGAAUGACUAGGUAUUUAAUAAUCAGUACGUGUUAUUUAUAGCUCUGUUUCAUGUAUAAGAGAGGCAAAUUAUGUUAUAGAAACCAACUCGUUUAUUCAUUUAUUUUUUUCAGUUGGAAGAAUUUUAAUGGAGACAAUGUCUGUGAUAUGAAUUAACUAAGUUCAUGCUUGUCUUGAGUGUUUUGAGAUUGUACAAAGUCCAUGAUUUGUCUUUAAUUAAAGAUGAAAUGCUUGUUUUAAGGUAGUUUUGCUUGUCAUAGCACUCGGAGGCUUACAUUUUUUUUUUUUGAUCACUUACACGGUUAGUUUCUGUUUUAUUCAUAAAUUUCUGUGCUUCCUCACUUGCGUCGUCAUUAACUCCUUCCAUGAUGUUUUCUUCUGUAAACGCACUUAUGUUUGCCUUUCACUAGUUUGAAGGACAUUUUUCAUUGAAAGAUCCAAAUGAAUUGAAAUUGCUGCUAUAAUGUAUUUGCUUUGCUGCUGAAGCAGGUCUGUGUAAAUAAACUAGAAAAGUCUUAAAGUGUUGUUGUACCCAUAUACUUCAGUCCAGCUGGCUUCCUAGCUGCAGAAAAUCUCAAGCUUUUUCAUUCUUGACUGUCAGGUUCUUGUGUUUAUUAUAUUGGUUGGAAGCAGAUGGUUAGUUCAGUGUGAAUUCUUGGCAUUUGGUUAUGUGGAAGUUCUGGACAUUUGUUGAUGAUUUAUUUGUUUGCAUGAUCGAUUUUCAAAAUAAUUCAUUUGGCUGCAUAAUUGUUGAAAAAUCCAAAAUUCUAGUGGUAUUUAUUUAUUUAUUUUUGGAUUGAUGCAGCUAUGUUUGUUGGAAGUGUGUUGUUAUCUUCUGUUGAGUCCUUGGCAUUAAUGUUUUAUGUAGUCAUCCAUAUUUUUUUCUUGAGUUAUGUGGUAUCUGUUAUCAUAUUAAUUUUGAUUGUCUUUUUCUCAAGUCAUUUUGUAUAAAUUUUAUUGUUUCUUUUAGUAGGCAUCGAUAUUUUCACUUUAGCCUUCCUACUUUCAUAUAUCUGCUGGAGUGGAAAGAUUGAAAGAUUAGUUUGGUUCACUUUUACAAUGAGCCACAUGUUAUUACAACACUGCAUCAUUUCAACCAAAUAGGGAAACUGCGACACAAGAAGAAUGCCCAUUGGAAAAUAGGGAUCGUGCAGCUGCCUGAUAGCAGAAAAUUCCUGAAUUCUUGGUGAUAGUGAUUAUUUAUGUUGGACUCCUGCUCUUAUGUCUGUGGAUCCGCCCAGUAUUUUCAGUUUGAUCCUUCAAUCUAAUUUCCUUAUGGUUGUAUGUUUAUUGACUUAUAUUCUGUCAUGGUAUUAUGGUUUGAUAUCCUUUUCUUAUCAGGCGAGUUGGCUAACAUGAAGUUCACUUUACUAUUUUCGUCAAUGUUUAUUGGAGUGCAAAGCUUCACCAUAUAGUGUGGUUUGUGACUGUUGUGUUGUCUAAUGUGUUGCCUUAUCUUCUUAUUGACUUGUUUGUAAAAAAUUAGAACUCUAAUUCUAAUUGUCAUUAUGUUUGGCUGCUAUACUCUAUGUCCAUGGUCAAAUGUCGUCCCUUUUUUGUUUGUUUUUAUGGUUUAUGUCCAAAUGUUGCUAGAGCAGUUGAUGUCAAUAAAAGAGUAUCUUCCUGGACUAACAGUCUCCUUCUGCAUUCUUAAUGUUUUAUGAAACCAAGUACUUUUUUGUGCUUUUAGUUAUUGGUAUGAUAAAAUGAGAUCUGAUUAUAUGAACAAUUCAAGGCAGAUUGCACAUUUUUAUUUAAAAUACUAGUAUUGUGCAUACAGAAAAAGAGAACUUGAGCCUAUUUGGGCUUCCUAAUGAGACAUGGGAAGUUAAUCUGCCUGUUGAGGAAGUGCCUCCCGAGCUCCCUGAGCCAGUGUUAGGUAUAAACUUUGCUAGAGAUGGAAUGCAGGAGAAGGACUGGUUAUCACUGGUUGCAGUGCACAGUGAUUCAUGGUUGCUUGCUGUAGCUUUUUAUUUUGGUGCACGCUUUGGAUUUGGCAAAAAUGAAAGGUAUUUUCUCUUUCAUGCCCAUUUACCUGCAUUUGCUGUAAUCUCCAGAGCCUUAGCAUUAGUAUCUGCUUUUUGGUAUCAAAUUGUUAGUUCUUAGUCCUGUCUCAUAGUUCUGCCACUGCUUUUCAACAUUACAAGAUGAUAAAGGGGAUAUGCAUAGAUAUAUCAUUAAAUUUUAUGGUUGAGAUUGUUUCAAUUGAAAGAUCAAGGCAGUAAGUCCAGGGGAGAGUAACAAUAUAUGUUUGAUUAUUUCACUUAUUUUUGUAAGAAUAUACGUUUGAUCAUUCCACAUAUUUAUCUUUUAUAAUGCUAAUUGGUGAUGAUUUGUCUUCUCUCAUAUUUGUAUUUAUAACUAUUUAUUGGUAACUUGAUCUACCAAUAUUAAGUUUAACAAGUCCAAUAAUGUUGUCUUGACAAUAAUUUAUGAUUGGUUAUUCUGUGGUCAACAAUUUAAGGUCAAGGCUUUUGUUUUAUACAUUCUGGACCAUUUUUUGCUGCUAGAGCUCGUCUGUCGUCUUGUAAAAUUCGGUUUGAACCACCUUGGUUACUAUGUUUCAUUCAUCUCAUUCAUGCUACAAAGUCAUAUGAUCAACUGUAUGACAUAUGAUGUUUGACAGCCUAUGCAUUCAAGUUGUCAUUAACGAAAGGAAGUUUAUGGUCUCCGACAAAGUCUUGACUCAUUCAGCCGGUUGACACUGCUCAAUGGAAUGUUAAUAAUCUAAUUGGGUAUCAUAGAUUUCUUGAACAAAAGACAUAGUAGGAGUAACUGAACAAUAUACUAUGGAACUAUUGUUGAAGUUAUACAUGAUAUGGAAAACCUGCGAUGCUAUGCUUGACCAGGAAGUUUAAUAAAGUCAAGAUGAAUGUCUGGUUCUAAUUUUUCUUGGAAUUGGAUCUUGCAGGAAGAAACUUUUCCAGAUGAUAAAUGAUCUCCCGACCAUCUUUGAAGUUGUAACAGGAAAUGCUAAGCAACCAAAGGACCCUUAUUUGUUGAAUCCAUUCUCCGGUUCCCGGAUUCUGCGGAACUUUUCCGGACGUUGUGGGUCGUCAUGGCGGUGGCUACAACGUAAUUUGAAGUUGAUCACGAAGAUAUAAAUGGCUGUAGCACCGACGCGUUUCACGACAAUCAAGGAAAUCAAAGAUUGUUUCUUCCAUAAGUCCAUUCUGUCGGGGAGUCCCUACUUUCAGGAUAAUGACAAUGUAGCUGUAGCCAUCUACAAUGAUAGAUCAAAGUGGUUCAAUAUUUCAAGGCCAAGAACAUUAUUGUUACUGGUAUGGCGAUGUUAUUUGAGUAUCUCAAAAUGGUGCUAGUACUGUUUAUGCAUUAUCACUAAGUCCCGGUACAGGAUGGUCCAUUCGAAGCAUGGGAUUUCAAGAAAUUACAGAAUGAUUAUAAUGCUCCUCCUGUAAAAAUAAUGGGUUUGAAUUUGAAGCCAUCAUUUCCAAACUCAUGGGAUGUAGAUACCAAGCCAUGUCAUGUGGCUGUAAACUCAUACUUGGUAGAAUCUAAGUCGUAGGAUAUUUUGUUUCUUUUUAUUUUGUUUAUAGCCUCAAAUUCCCUUAUUUGUUUACGAUGAAUCAAAUUUUUGAAAUAUAAAAUUUAGAUAAAAUAAUUAAAUAAAAAAUAAUUUAAUUUAUAUAAUAAAAAAUAAAAUUUAAUUAAAUCAUAUUUUCGUUUUUUUUUUCUAGGAAAAAAAGUGUACAAAUGUAUGUGAGCAUAUAUUAUUGAUAAGUAACACUAUCCAUCAAAAAAUUUAUCCAAAACUUUUCAUCCAAAGCAUUGUAAAAGACGGCAUUGGUGUAGAGUGUGUAAAAAAUCAACUUAAAACUUUGAGAAAAAUUUUUAUAUACAUCACAUCACAUAAUCUUCUCAUUUUUGCUACAAUUUUUGCAAUGAUUUUUGGAAUAAGUGCACUGUUCUUAUCACCCAAAUAUACAGUAAGAACACUUCAAUGUAUUAGUUUCAAUUUAAUUUAAGCUCAGUUAUUGAAUUGCUCAUUCAAUAAGAAUUCUUCAUGUUAUAUGCUUAAUUUGAAGACUCGAAUCUUCACUAUCUUUAUCACAAAAUUUUUUAGUCUCACAUGCAUACUACAUAAUUUCACUACCUAAGUAUCUUAAAAGUAAAUCGGAUUCAUGAUUUAAUUCAUGAUUUAAUAUCUAUAUAAUAUGAUGCAUGAUAAAUGAACUACUUUUUCAAAGUCCCAUAUAAAAAUUGUUAAUGGUGAUCUCAAUUUCUAAAUUAGCAAUCAUUGAAUUUUAAUUUUCUCUUACAUUUUCUUUUAAUGUAUUUUUAUUUUGUCAGUUGAUGGUAGGGAUGAGAAUGGGGAGGCGAGUGAUCGACAUCCUAGUAUCCAUCCACAAUGUUCUGCUUAAGUAUGUGUACUUCCUCAUAUCCCCGUUAUAAAAAUGUAAAUAUAUGAGGGGAGGGAAUAACAUUUCCGUCAAACUCAAUUAAUAUCAUUGAUAUUAUAGCAUAAUCCAUAAGUGAUUUGUCCACAACACACGAAUAUUAAAAUAAACGACUGCGAAUUAAAAUAUUUCGUCAAAUUAAGUUAAUAGUAUCAAUAUUACAACGUAAUUAAUAUGUGAUUCGUCCACUACAAAAAAAAAAGUGGUAUUUGUCUAUAUAACAGAAGCAAUGACAAAUUUUAUUCUUGUCUUUACAUUAUUUUUAUAAAUAUUACGAUUUUUUUUGUUUACAAACAUAUUAAUACAUUUUAAAUGUAUUUUAUUGAAGUUAUGGAAAAAUAUAAUAAAAGUUAAAAGGAUUUGGAUCCUCUCUUUUUAAUCUUAUUUUUUCUAAGAUUAAUUUUGUAGGAGAUUAUAAUAUUUGUCAAUUACGUAGAAAAUUUUCCAUUUUAAACGCCAAAUCACAUCGUUUAGUAACUAAUAACUAUAAUCCUAAAACUAAUGGGAGUUUAAUUUUAACGUUCGACUUCUUUUUUUCCCCCAUUUUCUUUACACGUUUUGUAGCCUCUUUCAUCUCUCACUGCUUCUUCAAAACCAGAAACUUAAUUUGGUAAUGAAGAAUUCCACCAAUUAAAAAAAAAAAGGCAGGUUAAUUUUAUUUUCUUUUUUUAAAAUUUGGAGCUCUCUCGUUUCUCAUCACAGUUCUCUUCUGUUGGAGAAUUUAUGAACCGUAGGAUUUCAACAAAUGAAAGAAAACAGAAAAAAUGGAGGAGAAAGUAAUCAAAGAUAACUAUAAUUGAAAUAAACAAGAGCAAACUUCUAUUUAUAUUGAACUUAUAUAUAUAUAUAUAUAUAUAUAACCAUAUUCCAAUGAGAAUUUUAUAUUUUGAAAAUUGAUUUAAUUUUGAUAUUUCUUUCAAAAUUGUUUAAUUGUGAUCAUUGUACUAAAAUCAAAUGCAAAAUAAGAAAAGAGUGGUUUAAAUAAUAAUGGCACGGGAGUGUCUGCAUGUGUGAAGAAGAAACAGGAGAUAAGAUGAUGGGUAAGGAAAAGAGAAGAGAUGACAUACUUUAGGGUUAACAUCUGAUAGUUGCUAAUUAUUCUAUUUUAGUUAUUCAUUAAAUCGAUAUGGCGUUUAAGAAGAAAAAAUUAAAAGUAAAUUAAAUCUUACCCCUAGGUACACUUAAAUGGCAAGUGUCAUAAUCUCCCAUGAACCUUGGGAAAAAUUAGAUUAGAAAUAAAAGUAAAAAACAAUCAAAAUGGAGAGGAGAUAAAGAUUUCACCUAUUCCCAUCAUUUCUUCGAAUGAAAAAAUAAAGGGUUAUUAUCAUUUUACUACUUCAAAAAUUAAAAAAUAUCAAAUAACCACAAGAAAUUUGUCCCCUAUCAUUUUUCUACUAUAUCUUUACAAAAAUAUUAUUUUACUACUUUUCCGUUAUAACCGUUAGUUGACCAGUUAGUUGACUAACAAAAUAUUAAUUUUACCCUUCAUGAUUAAAAAAAAUACUUGAAGCUUAUUUACAAAAUCAACUCUUCCACAUUUAUUCGAUCAUCCAAGUUUCAUUUCCAACAUUAGGAUAUAAAAAUAGAAUCAUUAAUAAGAAAAAUUUGUAAUCUAUUUAUAAAAAUGGAUACAAAAUACCAACAUAAUUCUUUUUACUAGAAUUAUAAUAUAUGGAUUAUAAAUUUAUCUUAUUAAUGAUUCCAUUUUUAUAUUAAUGUUGGAAAUAAAACUUGGAUGAUCAAAUUAAUGUGGAAGAGGUGAUUUUGUAAAAAAGCUUCAAGUUUAUUUUUUUUAAUAAUGAAGGGUAAAAUUAGUAUUUUGUUAGUCAACUAAUUGGUCAACUAAUGGAAAAGUAGUAAAAUGAUAUUUUGUAAACAUAUAGUAGGAAAAUGAUAGGGAAUAAUACUUCUUAUAAUCAUUUGAUAUUUUUUAAAUUUUUAAGUAGUGAAAUGAUAAUAGCCCAAAAAUAAAUAUUAAAUUAUCAUUAUCCCCUUAUUGAAUAAAAAAAAUUAGAUAUCAAAUUAUACCCAUCUACUCCCCAAAUGGCAAUAAUCCUCCAAAGACCCCAUCCCCUUACUAAUUUUUCACAUCCCUAAUUCGUGGUUUGCCACAUGAUAUAUGUAUCCUUGAUAAAAAUAAAUAAAUAGAUGACAUGCCAGUCAUGUCGUCCGGCUGUAUUAGGUAAGUUUGUUGGUGGCAAGCACAUGCACGAAUUAAAUGGUUAGCUCAAAACAGUAUACUCAAGUAUGUAAUUGAAACACAUAACAUGAUUUUCUUCAUAGACUUCAUUAUUUCAAAAUUUACCUUGCCAUAAUAUUUUGGGUUCCAUUAAUUUGAAUGACUGCGUGAUUAUAAAAAUAAAUAUUAUCUUUAUAUAUAUUAUUAUGAUUUAAUGAUUAACAUAUGUAUUCAACUAAAAGUGUUGGUCCAAAUUUAACUACGGCCUAAUAUUUUAUAUAUCCUACAUUCAAGUUACAAGUUUUCCUUCUACACUCGGGGGCUGAAAAUUUUAAGUUUUCGAUCAUUGCUUAAAUGGUAAAAACCUAAAAGGGUAACACUGUCCAAAAUCUUUGUUUACAGUUUCCUCCAAUGGUAGGCAUUUAUAUUGGUCAUAAUUUUGAUGUUUUGUGAAGAAAGAAUAAUAAGCUCCAAAAUGUAACACAGACUUCAAUACAAGCCCCCUUUGUAUUCAAUUUAAAAAAACAAUUAUAAUUACCCUAUAGCCCCGAAGUGGGUCCCUUUAAAUGGACAAAUAAGAAAUAACAUAACAUAAACCCUUAAUAAAAACCUUUUAAAAAAAAUUAACAAAUAAUAAUAUUAUUAUUAUUAUUGUUAUAACUUUGGCAAUUUUCCCCAACUCGCUAUCUUUAUAUGCACACAAAUCUCUAACCCAAAUUCAAACCCAAAAUUGUCUCUUGCCUCUCUCUUUCUCUUUCUCUUUCUCUUUCCUUUUUCUCUUCUGGGUCUCUUCUGUUUUCUGUUGUCUAAUUACAAAUUCAAUUCAAUUAAUUCAAACAGAUAAUGAAAAGCAAAACACGUUAAAAAAGAAGCCCUUUUUUCCCCCCAAAUCGGAAAACGGACGAAAACCCUAACUGAGGCUUCUAUCGUCAAAGCUUCUUUUUCUGUUCCAAUUUAACUCUUUUUGUUCAAUACUCGAAACCCAUUUGCUAGAAUUUGAAGAUAAUUGUUGAGAAAUUAGUUAAUUUUGCUUGCUAUGGAAGCGAUACCGCACCCUAUACCUAGAACUGUAGAGGAGGUUUUCAGCGAUUUUAAGGGCAGACGGGCUGGCUUGAUUAAGGCUUUAACAGCUGGUAAUGGCUUAAUAUUUUCUUCUCUUUUUAUUUGAACUAAAUUAAUGGGUUUGUUCUAUUUGAGCUUAUGAUUAUUUUUUCUUGUUAAUUUUAAUUUUAAUUUUCUGGGUUGUUGCAGAUGUUGAGAAGUUCUACCAGCAGUGCGAUCCUGGUGGGUUUUUCUUUUCCAUACCUAGUUUUUGUUUAUUUAAUUGUAAUUGGACUUUGUUUUUUCCUUCUUUUUUUUCUAUAUUUUUGUAUUAUAUUGACUGAAUGACUCGGUAUUUAAUAAUCAGUACGUGUUAUUUAUAGCUCUGUUUCAUGUAUAAGAGAGGCAAAUUAUGUUAUAGAAACCAACUCGUUUAUUUAUUUAUUUUUUUUCAGUUGGAAGAAUUUUAAUGGAGACAAUGUCUGUGAUAUGAAUUAACUAAGUUCAUGCUUGUCUUGAGUGUUUUGAGAUUGUACAAAGUCCAUGAUUUGUCUUUAAUUAAAGAUGAAAUGCUUGUUUUAAGGUAGUUUUGCUUGUCGUAGCACUCGGAGGCUUACAUUUUUUUUUUUUGGUUCACUUACACGGUUAGUUUCUGUGUUAUUCAUAAAUUUCUGUGCUUCCUCACUUGCAUCGUCAUUAACUCCUUCCAUGAUGUUUUCUUCUGUAAACGCAUUUAUGUUUGCCUUUCACUAGUUUGAAGGACAUUUUUCAUUGAAAGAUCCAAAUGAAUUGAAAUUGCUGCUAUAAUGUAUUUGCUUUGCUGCUGUAGCAGGUCUGUGUAAAUAAACUAGAAAAGUCUUAAAGUGUUGUUGUACCUAUAUACUUCAGUCCAGCUGGCUUCCUAGCUGCAGAAAAUCUCAAGCUUUUUCAUUCUUGACUGUCAGGUUCUUGUGUUUAUUAUAUUGGUUGGAAGCAGAUGGUUAGUUCAGUAUGAAUUCUUGGCAUUUGGUUAUGUGGAAGUUCUGGACAUUUGUUGAUUUGUUUGUUUGCAUGAUUGAUUUUCAAAAUAAUUCAUUUGGCUGCAUAAUUGUUGAAAAAUCCAAAAUUCUAGUGGUAUUUAUUUAUUUAUUUUUGGAUUGAUGCAGCUAUGUUUGUUGGAAGUGUGUUGUAAUCUUCUGUUGAGUCCUUGGCAUUUAUGUUUUAUGUAGUCAUCCAUAUGCUUUUUCUUGAGUUAUGUGGUAUCUGUUAUCAUAUUAAUUUUGAUUGUCUUUUUCUCAAGUCAUUUUGUAUACAUUUUAUUGUUUCUUUUAGUAGGCAUCGAUAUUUUCACUUUAGCCUUCCUACUUUCAUAUAUCAGCUGGAGUGGAAAGAUUGAAAGAUUAGUUUGGUUCACUUUUACAAUGAGCCACAUGUUAUUACAACACUGCAUCAUUGCAACCAAAUAGGGAAACUGCGACACAAGAAGAAUGCCCAUUGGAAAAUAGGGAUCGUGCAGCUGCCUGCAGAAAAUUCCUGAAUUCUUGGUGAUAGUGAUUAUUUAUGUUGGACUCCUGCUCUUAUGUCUGUGGAUCCGCCUAGUAUUUUCAGUUUGAUCCUUCAAUCUAAUUUCCUUAUGGUUGUAUGUUUAUUGACUUAUAUUCUGUCAUGGUAUUAUGAUUUGAUAUCCUUUUCUUAUCAGGCGAGUUGGCUAACAUGAAGUUCACUUUACUAUUUUCGUCAAUGUUUAUUGGAGUGCAAAGCUUCACCAUAUAGUGUGGUUUGUGACUGUUGUGUUGUCUAAUGUGUUGCCUUAUCUUCUUUUUGGCUUGUUUGUAAAAAAUUAGAACUCUAAUUCUAAUUGUCAUUAUGUUUGGCUGCUAUACUCUAUGUCCAUAGUCAAAUGUCAUCCCUUUUUGGUUUGUUUUUAUGGUUUAUGUCCAAAUGUUGCUAGAGCAGUUGAUGUCAAUAAAAGAGUAUCUUCCUGGACUAACAGUCUCCUUCUGCAUUCUUAAUGUUUUAUGAAACCAAGUACUUUUUUGUGCUUUUAGUUAUUGGUAUGAUAAAAUGAGAUCUGAUUAUAUGAACAAUUCAAGGCAGAUUGCACAUUUUUAUUUAAAAUACUAGUAUUGUGCAUACAGAAAAAGAGAACUUGUGCCUAUACGGGCUUCCUAAUGAGACAUGGGAAGUUAAUCUGCCUGUUGAGGAGGUGCCUCCCGAGCUCCCUGAGCCAGCAUUAGGUAUAAACUUUGCUAGAGAUGGAAUGCAGGAGAAGGACUGGUUAUCACUGGUUGCAGUGCACAGUGAUUCAUGGUUGCUUGCUGUAGCUUUUUAUUUUGGUGCACGCUUUGGAUUUGGCAAAAAUGAAAGGUAUUUUCUCUUUCUUGCCCAUUUACUUGCAUUUGCUAUAAUCUCCAGAGCUUUAGCAUUAGUAUCUGCAUUUUUGGUAUCAUAUUGUUAGUUCUUAGUCCUGUCUCAUAGUUCUGCCACUGCUUUUCAACAUUACAAGAUGAUAAAGGGGAUAUGCAUAGAUAUUUCAUUAAAUUUUAUGGUUGAGAUUGUUUCAAUUGAAAGUUCAAGGUAGUAAGUCCAGGGGAGAGUAAAAAUAUAUGUUUGAUUAUUUCACUUAUUUUUGUAAGAAUAUACGUUUGAUCAUUCCACAUAUUUAUCUUUUAUAAUGCUAAUUGGUGAUGAUUUGUCUUCUCUCAUAUUUGUAUUUAUAACUAUUUAUUGGUAACUUGAUCUACCAAUAUUAAGUUUAACAAGUCUAAUAACGUUGUCUUGACAUUAAUUUAUGAUUGGUUAUUCUGUGGUCAACAAUUUAAGGCCCCUCCAGGUUUUUGUUUUAUACACUCUGGCUUGUAAAAUUCGGUCAGAACCACCUUGGUUACUAUGUUUCAUUCAUCUCAUUCAUGUUACAAAGUCAUAUGAUCAACUGUAUGACAUAUGAUGUUUGACAACCUAUGCGUUCAAGUUGUCAUUAACGAAAGGAAGUUUAUGGUCUCCGACAAAGUCUGACUCAUUCAGCCGGUUGACACUGCUCAAUGGAAUGUUAAUAAUCUAAUCGGGUAUCAUAGAUUUCUUGAACAAAAGACAAAAAUAGGAGUAACUGAACAAUAUACUACGGAACUAUUGUUGAAGUUAUACAUGAUAUGGAAAACCUGCGAUGCUAUGCUUGACCAGGAAGUUUAAUAAAGUCAAGAUGAAUGUCUGGUUCUAAUUUUUCUUGGAAUUGGAUCUUGCAGGAAGAAACUUUUCCAGAUGAUAAAUGAUCUCCCAACCAUCUUUGAAGUUGUAACUGGAAAUGCUAAGCAACCAAAGGACCUAUCUGCUAAUCACAAUAGCAGCAAAAGCAAAUCGAGUGGAAAGGUUUGAGGAAAUUGAAAUUGGAACUUAAUGGUUUUCAGUUACUAUUGUUUUUAUCAAAUUCUUUUCUCUCACGGUUUGGAUGUUGCCUUCGAGCAGUCUCGUCCAGCUGAAUCACAAACCAAAGCAGUGAAGAUGUCUCCACCACCGAAGGACGAUGAUGAUAGCGGUGAUGAAGAAGAGGAAGAUGAUGAACAGGGUGCCACCUGUGGAGCAUGCGGGGAUAACUAUGGCACUGACGAAUUCUGGAUCUGCUGCGAUAUCUGUGAGAAAUGGUUCCACGGCAAAUGUGUAAAGAUUACACCUGCGAAGGCCGAGCACAUCAAGCAGUACAAGUGCCCCAGCUGCAGUAGCAAGAGGGCUAGAGUUUAAGAUCAGUUAUGAAGUUGGGAAUUGAACAACGAUUGAACAAAGCAAGACAAGAUUAGAACUUUUUUCGUUACAGUUUGAGAGUAAAACAGAGUCAGAUACCUGUUUUAGUCAAUGAAUUUGCAACUCCUGUUUAAUUUUCUCUGGAAUUUGUGUUUUGAAAUAGCUGCUGGCAUUUAGAAAUGCAAAUGUUGGAGCAAGUUUUCUGGUGGUUUGAUCUAAAGUUCUUGUUGUGAAUGUGUAAGCAUCAUUGACAAAAGGCUCUUCCUAUUCUAUGACUGUGUCCUUUGUUAAAGGAAAAGAUUGGAACAUUCCUCAUUGUAGCAUCAAACAUGCAAGGAAAUUGAAGCAUAACUUGGCUUGAGCAUGAAGUCAUCAUAACAUGCUCCCAAAUUUUGGUGCAAAAUUAUUGUCCGCCAAUUGCUACCAAUUGGAUGAAAAAGUUCCAAUUUCAAGAAGCAAUCAAAUAUUGUUUUAAAUAAGUGGAUGCAAGUACAAACUAAUAAUGGUGAGGUGGUCUUCUGAUUGUCCACAAUCUAUUGCUAAAUUUAUGUUAAAAAGUGGAAAAGUGAUUUGAUAAUAUUUCACCAACUGUAAGCAUCCAAAUGUGGGGAUUUUGGUAAAAGAAUGUUCCAACUAUUUACGUAAGCAAACACACUAUAACUAUAACUAUAACUAUAUAUAUAUAUUCUAAUGGAGGGUCUUGUCUUAAAUGAAUCACUGAAGAGUAACAUGUUUACAUUUUGACUUUCAAUGAUUUCAUUAUGGACACACUCAAUGAUCAUCACCAAAAAAUUUUUUUAAAAAAAGUUAAGAUUUAACAAAACACACAUGCAAUUGGAGAGCUUUAGAAACAAUUAAGACAUUUUAACUCAACGCAUUAAUCAUGAUAAUCAUUAGUUCAUGUGGAAAAGAAAUUUUUGAUCGCAAUUAUGAAAUGAAGACAUAAUUAACUCACGCAACUUUAUAUUCCAUUUUAAUUGAGCAAAAAUAUCGAUAUUAAUUAAUUAAUUCAACUCGUUAGGUCCCUUCUUUUUUUUUUGUAAAUGGAGGAGCUUAAGGUUAAAAAGCCUCCCUCAUAUCUAAAAUCUACAAAGAAACAAUGAAAUAAAAGACUUGUGGGAUCAAGUAGGCUUUUCAAUUCGUUCAAGGCCAUGGGGACCUACUCUUUAAAGUUUCUAUUUGUUGCAAUUGCAUUAUUAGGCUUUGAUGCUGCCGCUUGGAUAAGCUUCUUGUGGUAUUAAUCAAAAUAGAAAAUGCAUUGUCAUGCUAUAAAAUCCAACAGUAGAAUUCCACCAAAAUCAAACAUGUUUUGUUUGUCUGCAAAAAUUCUAUCAGAAAAAGCACAAGAAACCAAACACAACCAAGAAACUGCAUUGGCCCUGUCUUUAUAAAUCUGCUUAAAGCCAUAAAUGGUUUAGGGCUUAGCAAAAGGUAUUGGGUUUUUUUUUUAUUAUUAGUAGUAUUGUCGUGCAAGCUCAAGUGAUGAUUAAUAUUCAAUUGACAAAAACCUAAAGAAACCAAAAGUUGCAUGUGAUUAAGCAUUUGGCUGUAGAUGGGUUAAAGCAUGUUGUGAGUAGAAAAUUUAAUGUCAUUAAUCUCCAACUGAUAAACAAUUUAAUGCUUGACUAACCAAUCACGUGCUAAAGAGGAAAAGAGAUCUGAUUUGGGAAUAUCUUAAAGGAUUAGUUUAAUUGGGAAAUUAUUAAAAUUAAGAAGAGUUGUGAAGAAAAAAAAACCAUGAUAGAGAUUAGAGAGAGGUCUCAUUGUGGCCUUGGCACAUGCUUUGGUUGUUAAAUAGAAAAUUGAUCGAUCGAUCACCAAAACUUGACCAACACCCAUUUUUGUCUACGUUUUGAUUGUGAUUGAUAAGCCAUUUUCAAUUGCUAACGUAUGGAUACUGCUUCAACAUGGAAUCUAAAUCUUGAUCUUGAUGGUGGAGAGAAAAUUGUGAUUUGUUUUCUAAAAAUGAAAAACAAAAUUAAGAUACAUAUGACUCAUAUGUAAAUAAUUACAUGAAACGUGAAAUUAAUAAUAUCAAACGUUAUACAUAUAGAUCGUAAAAAUGAUAAAUGAUAACACAAAACAUCAUAAUAGUAAUGAUGUACGUUGUCAAAAUUAGUAAUACAUUAACUAUAUUAAUUAUUUGGAUUAAAAUGGUAAAACUCUAUAUUGGUGUUAAUGUAAAGUCCAGAAUUUCACUCUUUUUCUCUCUUUUCUAUUUUUUUUCCUUUUUAAAAUAGAGAUCACAUUGUUGUGCGCUGCAUCCUCUAAAAGUUUUUUCUUUCUUUCUUUCUUUUUUAUUUUUUUGUCACAUUAUUCAUCAAAAGAAAAGAAAAAAAACCUCAUCAAUUUCUUCUUCAGAAAGUACUUUCUAGUUUCUAUGCAACUCUUCACCUUAUCUUGUCAUGAAUUCACAAGCUUGAUUCAUUCAAUAAGUUCAACCAUAUUGGUUGAAGAGAUGGCGAAUAUGCAUUUACUGAAAAAGCAAGGAACACCUAAUGACUUUGUGCCUUUAACUUUAAUAGAAGGACACUCAAAUGCAAAAUGAACAUAUAAACAGAAAAUUGCAACCAAUUAAUCAAUAGCUAUGAAAAGAUCAAACUACUGAAUUGAAUUGUUCUAUUCUCUUGUACAAAUGUCUCUAUUUUAUAUCAUUCAAAAUAAUAUUAUUAUAGUGCAUAUGUAUUUUACAAAGUGAAUAGUAGACAUUCCAACUUAAAAACUUUUUCAAAAUUUAUAUAGCUUCUUGACACUUGAAUCACAUAGAUAAACAAUGAUACAGAAUUAGUGUAAUAACAUAGUAUAAUAUUAAUAUUGAUGGAUGUAAAUAGAAACAUUUUACAAUUCUUUUUAAGUGGAUCUUUUAUAUAUAGUUAUAUACCAUUCACCACAUUACCAAUACAAUAUAUAUAUAUAUAUAUAUAUUAGCAAAAAUAGUAGUAUCAAUAUCUUUCCAAAAACAUAUUCUUAAAAGAAGUUUAUUUUUUUUCCUUUAUAAUGUUUUCUUUUUCUUUCUUGCAAUAAAUAUUUCCAUAAAUCAUUAAAAAAAUAUUGUGUAACAAAACAGACAAAAGACAAGAAGAGACCAAGAACUGUUUCAAGUGUAAAAAGGCAAAAACUGUAAAAUAAAAAAUAAAUAAAAAAUAAAAAAAAUGAAAGACAAAAAACACAACACAAAUAUCAAAAGAAGUAGAAAUCCCGGGGUCCCCGGGGCUUCCUCCACAGUCCAAAGUUCUCUUUCACACACACACUCACUCACAUUCCAAAGAUUCAACUUUCAACAAUUUUGAUUUGAGGCGCCAACUAAGAAAUAGGAGUAAAAAAUAAAAAAUAAAAAAUAGAAAUAAAGAAGUAAAAACCCUAGUGACAGUGAGUGAAGAAGAAGAAAAGGAAAAAUCAACAAAAAAUAUUAUUUAUAUUGUCAGGUACUGGUCCAUUUCAUACUCACACUGUCAAAAUCCAUUAUUUCCUAUCCACUCUCUCUUUCACUAAUCAUUUAUUACCAUUUUCGUUCAAAGUUUCAAUUUUUUUUCCUUUUUGUUGUUGGGUUUGUAUGAUUUGUAAAUUUUGUGUACGUGGGGUUUGAAGCUUUGAUGAGUGAAAUGGGAAUGUGGGUAUUGUUUUAAACUUGUAAAGUUUUGUUUUGGGGUUUGUGGGUUUUUUUUUUUUUUUUUAAUUCUUGGUUUGACCAAGGGAAAUGGCUGAAAUGAGAGGGAGGUUGCAGUUGAAGAAAGAGCUGACACAAAUUAGGAAAGCAGCCCGUUUGCGUGAUCCGGGGACCACAUCUUCAUGGAAGUCACCAUUGAGUUCAUCCAGAUCUCUAGCAGCAGCAGUGGCAGCAGCUUCUGCUUCUGGCUCUGCUUGGAAGAUCAAUAACAAUAACAAGCAAUUGGUUGAUGAAGACAACAAUGUGAGUAUUAAUAAUGGGAAUGUGAAUGGGAAAGAGAAGAGGGUGUUUUUGUGUAAUUGGAAGAAUCAGAAAUCUUCGAGUGAGACUAGUGCAGUUGCAAGAAAUGAUGAUGAUGAUAUUGAUGUCGAUGAUGAUGAGGAUGAAGGAUCUUCCUCGGUUAUUGAAAGUGUUGAUGAUAGCUUGAGUGAUGCAAGAAAUGGUGGUGAUUCAAAGAGUGAUACUUAUUUGGGUGAGAAUCGGGCAUCGUCGAUUUUCAGGUGUAGAGAUGCAAAUCUUGUGUCUGUGGCAACUCCAGCAAUGAAAAGAGCAAUGGCUGCCAAGAGAAAAAGUAAGAGACAUAAAACCCUUUCCGAUUCUUUAACUAGAUAUCAACAAAAACAAAUUAUUCUUGCUAGGAAUUCAGCGGCAUUAGGUUUAGGCAGGGAUGAGUCUGUUGAGCAAUCCGAUGAUACUGAAGAUUAUUGUAAUUCGGAGGAUUUUCGUAAAUAUUCUGGGGCUUCCCCAUUGCUAUUAAAACUUAAGCAUAAGAACUGGUCACAUUCGUCUUCUAAGUUGUUGAAAGGUGGUAGAAAAGAAGAUUCGUCUUAUAGUUACAGCACACCUGCAUUGUCUACUAGUUCUUAUAAUAGGUAUGUUAAUCGUAAUCCUAGUACAAUUGGAUCUUGGGAUGCCACAACAGCAUCCUUGAAUGAUAAUGAUGAUGCUAUGGAUGAUCAUUUGGAUCUCCCUGGUCGUCAAGGAUGUGGGAUUCCGUGCUAUUGGUCAAAAAGGACACCAAAACAUAGAGGGGUAUGUGGGAGUUGUUGCUCUCCUUCCCUUUCAGAUACUCUAAGGAGGAAAGGAAGUAGUAUUUUGUGUGGGAGCCAGACGAUGUAUCAUGGAAGGAGACGCUCGUCAUCUGUUUCUAACAAGAGGAGAAUGGCUUCAAGAAGUGCCCAAGGUGUUCUCCCAUUACUCGCCAAUAAUGGUGAUGGGAGAGCAGGGUCAUCUAUCGGAACUGGCCGUAGUGAUGAUGAACUUUCUACAAACUUUGGGGAGCUCGAUUUGGAGGCAUUAAGCAGAUUAGAUGGCAGGAGGUGGUCAUCAAGCUGUAGGAGUCAAGAUGGGUUAGAGAUUGUAGCUUUAAAUGGAGAGGAAGAGGAAGGUGUACUGGAGAAUAUAAGGAGUUUGAGCCAGAAAUACAAGCCGAUCUUCUUUGAUGAAUUGAUUGGACAGAAUAUUGUGGUUCAAUCACUUGUGAAUACCAUUUCAAGGGGAAGAAUUGCUCCUGUUUAUCUUUUCCAAGGUCCUCGAGGGACAGGGAAAACGUCAACGGCUAAGAUCUUUUCUGCUGCUCUGAAUUGUGUGGCUACUGACCAAACCAAGCCCUGUGGGUACUGCAGAGAAUGUAACGACUUCAUCUCUGGAAAAAGUAGGAAUUUUAUGGAAGUUGAUGGCACCAAUAAAAAAGGAAUGGACAGAGUUAGAUACAUUUUGAAACACUUAUCUGCUGGUCUUCCAUCAGCCUCUCCACGAUUCAAGGUUUUUGUUAUUGAUGAGUGUCACCUGUUGCCCUCGAAGACGUGGCUGGCGUUUCUCAAGUUUCUUGAAGAACCACCACAGAGAGUUGUGUUCAUAUUCAUAACAACAGAUAUUGACAAUGUGCCCCGUAGCAUACAAUCACGGUGUCAAAAAUAUCUAUUCAACAAAAUUAAAGAUGGUGACAUUGUAGCGAGGUUGAGGAAAAUUUCUGCUGAGGAGAAUCUGAAUGUUGAGCCGGAUGCAUUAGAUUUAAUUGCUCUGAACGCUGAUGGUUCUCUUCGAGAUGCUGAAACUAUGUUAGACCAGCUCAGUUUGCUUGGAAAAAGAAUCACUUCAUCUCUUGUAAAUGAACUUGUGAGUUUUAUCGACAAUGCUUUGUUGGCAUGGUUUGAUUCGGAUUUAGUUAUUAACACUACCAUAAUUUCAUGAAUGGGAAUAUGAUCAAUUAACAAAAAAACUAUUUUGUAAAGAAAAGCUAAACCAUCUCAAGUGCAUGUGAGUUUCAUAUUUUUCUGAUCCUUUAGUUGUACAUAUAAUUAGUUCAACUUACAUAUGCAAUUUGCUGACUUCUCUGCAGGUGGGGGUUGUUUCUGAAGAGAAAUUACUGGAACUUUUAGAAUUAGCGAUGUCAUCAGACACUGCAGAAACGGUGAAAAGAGCCAGGGAGUUGAUGGAUUCUGGGGUUGAUCCAAUGGUUUUGAUGUCUCAACUGGCUAGCCUCAUCAUGGAUAUCAUUGCUGGAACCUACACCAUUGGUGGAAGGAGUUGUGAGUAUUAUCCAUUUCACUUUUUCAUGGUUGUUUCUUCGGAAGCAGAAGCUCCAAAGAGAUAGAAAAUUUGUUCUCUAAUUAGAUCAAUCUGCUAUGUUUGAAAUCCCUGUUAACUCAAUUUUGGUAAGUUAAUAUUGGGAAUACCAGACCGCCUAGAUAUACUAAAUCAUAAAUUGGUAAUACCUAGCUUUUCAAACAAAUGCGUCAGAGAAACAUUUUUCUCUUUAUUUUUAUUUUACUGAAAUCUCCGUGGACUCAAGUACACAAUUUGUGUAUAAUGUCUUUGAGGCGACUAGAUGUCCCAUUUAUUCUCAUAAGGAAAAAUAUUGGUAUGUAUCUAUUAUCAUUGAUUUGUCUCAUCAUAUUUUUUAUAAGGUAAGUUUUAAUCUGCAGCAAUUUUCCAAAAAGGUUAAUUCUUUUAGUUACUUGUCGUGUAUUUGCAGCCAACUUAAACCCAUUAUGGAAAGUUGGUUAACAUUGUAUCCAGAACCUUGGUUUGCUGAUUGUGAUUGGUUACAUUGUAUCCAUUUUAUCCACCUUUUAUUGUUGUUCCAACUUUCAUUUAUUUAUCUUAGCUUCAAUUGAAAUGCAGCCAAAAAGAAAAGGAGAAACAUUUUGAGUUUGAAACCCAUUGUAAAAUUUAUUCUCUGCUGUCAGUUAGAAAUAUUACAAUUGAAAUUACUGAUAUGCAUUGUUGUUGUCAUUCUCUAGUAACUGAAGCAGAAUUGGAGAGAUUAAAGCAUGCAUUGAAGCUCCUUUCAGAGGCUGAGAAACAGCUAAGGCUUUCAAGUGAACGCUGCACGUGGUUCACUGCAACCUUGUUGCAACUUGGUUCAAUGCAUUCACCAGAUCUCACUCAGUCAGGUAGCAGUAGAAGGCAGAGCUCUAGGACUACCGAGGAAGAUCCAUCAAGUACUUCAAGAGAAGCUGUUGUUUACAAGCGGAUGUCAGGUCCUCAAUAUAUGCCUCAAAAUGCAGUAUCCCCUGCUUCCUUGCGUGAACCAGUUAAUGGAAAUUCCAGGCAUCUUGGAGAAGUAUUAUCACGAAUUGAUGGUCAUAAUUCUUAUUCCAAGCCCUCACAUAGCCGGUUGAAAGAUGCGGGUGCCUUGGCUGUCUCACAGAAUGGCAAUAUUGUUGGAAAUACGAUUAUUACAUGCAGAAAUUCAGAAAAGCUAGGUGAGAUCUGGGCACAGUGUAUUGAAAGGUGUCAUUCGAAGACAUUGAAGCAGCUACUGCAGGUCCAUGGAAAGCUUUUGUCUAUCUCUGAGGUUGAAAGUAAGUCCAAUAAGUUUUACUGGGAAAUUGAAUUACACAAUGUAAAAGAAUAUAUACACAGACAUAAUAUGUAUAUUCUUAAUCGUUAUUACUGUUAUUUGAUUCUCAAUCCUAUUAACUGAACACACACGCACACUACCAAGGCCUAGCUCCACUGGUUAGUGGACGGCCUUCUUAAAGGUUCGAGACUCAUGUAGUGUGCGUGCGUAUUUGAUUAAUAAUUUUUUUUUUAAAUCUUAUUUAAUUUAAAAAAUAUUCAAGUAGUCAAGAAGUGCUUCCAGGAAAUUUUGGGUGAAAAUAAUCCUUUGGGCUAUGAUUGCUAAUUUUUUUGUAAAUUUAAGCAUCUUAAUUUUUGAAGUUCUAUAAAAAUGAAAGUGGGUAAAGUGUCAUAUUAAGUGUAAAUUGCGAAACUAAUAAGGAUUUUGAUUUGUUAAGUACCUUGAGAAAUGGUAUAUACUGCUGUAACAAUAUUGUUUUUCUCUGUCUGUGGCUCCCUAUUUUUGGCCUCUACUAAUAUGGAUUUUGAUUUAUUAAGUUCCUUGAGUGGAGGUGUAUAGUUCCUUGUCUGUCUCCAUCUCUGGCUCCCUAUUAUUGGCCUUUUUGGUCCACAUGCUGUUGAUUCAAAUUUCCUUAAAGAUGUUUGCAAGUGUUUAAAUUUCUAUAUUUUCUCCUUGCAGGAGUUUUAAUUGCCUACGUUGCAUUUGGAGAUGGAGAUAUUAAGUCAAGAGCAGAAAGGUUUUUGAGCAGUAUUACCAAUUCAAUUGAAACUGUAUUGAGACGCAAUGUAGAGGUUAGAAUAAUCCUGUUGCCGGAUGGUGAGGCUUCUAUUCACCAUGGAAUUUCUAAUGAGUUACCUAAAGGUCUCAAAAAGACAGAAACCACUGCCGCAAUUGAGAGGGAAGGAAAGGCACUUUGCUCAAAUGCAAACGAUAAUUAUUCUGAUUCAGACUCACAGCAGAUUCCUGUUAAUGUAGCGAGGAAAGUAUCCAGAGGAAGUUUUAAUGAGUUGGAAGGUAAGUUUAAAGGAGAGGAUGAUCAUUCAAAUUGUUCUCCCCUUUUUGCUGACGGCAAUUCGGAAAUUAGUAGUACAAAAGGGAGGAGGCAGGAGAUUCCAAUGCAGCGAAUAGAAUCCAUAAUCCGCGAACAGAGGUUAGAAACUGCAUGGUUACAGGCUACAGAGAAAGGAGCCCCUGGAUCACUGGGUCAUUUGAGACCUGAGAAGAAUCAAGUGUUGCCCCAGGAGGAUAUCUAUCGACAAAAUCAUAUGGAGUCCCUUCUUUCAUCAGGAUUGUCUUCUCAGCAAUGGGAAGAUGAAUUAAAUCAGGAACUCAAAAUUUUGAAGCUCAAUGAAGAUAGAGUGCUCAAGAAGGAUGAGAAUGGCAAAAAGGGUGAAAAUUACCCGAUAUUGCCAAGCUUAUUGCAUGAUAGCAGUUUUAUGGGGAAUUUCAGCAAAGAGAACCAGUAAGUCUUUUACUGACAUCUAUUGUAAUUAUAUAUUAUUUUUUCUGUGAUACUUUGCACUCCUUGGGUCCCAAUCGAGAAUAGAUUUCCAAAAACUAAAGCCUAGAAAUUGAUAGAACAAUUAGGUUGCUUGAAAUUUGGUGUACUAUAUCCAGCUUGUUGCUAGGUAUAGGGUUGAUCUUACAAGAUCCAGCUAAAAGUCCAAUACCCAAUUCCAGAAGUUUAGAGAAAAGUGGCUUAAUCCAAUACUGAAGAAUUCAAGAUUGUUGAGUUUACCUUUUUCUUGAAGUACUAGAUUCUCACUUAGAUUGUAUACCUCUCAUGCUAAAUGCUGGUGUUUCUUUAGGGGAUAUGAAUCAGGGUCACAAGCUGGAGGUUGCAGUGGGCUAUUCUGUUGGAAUAACACCAAACCUCAUAAGAAGGGAAAGGUAUUUUAUCAGUAUUAAUAUGUUUCUUCCUUCAUUCUAGCAUUUUGCAUAAAGUCAUCAGGUUCUAUUUCUGUGUGUGAACAGGUCAAAGGAACCCCUGUUCGAUCACGAAAAGGCGGGCAUUUUUCAUUAUUUGUCGAUUGCACAAAGGCAAAAAAAAGUGAAAGCAGACUUAGAAGAUAAAUGGGGAGCUUAAAUUUAAGUAGUUGGGAAUUCAUCCUUUUGUUUUCUUUGCAAAUUUUUUUGUGUAUUUAUUUUCCAGUUAAACCAUUCUUCAAGAAUGCGAGCUGAGCUCAAAGAGAAUGAUGUAAAAUGAAAAGGAUAUGUUGGACUUUGCCAUUUGUUUAGCUGCAGCUAAUUUUUAUGCCAUGAAUUAUAUAUAAUGAGAAACAGUCUAAGAUGAAAGCAAUUCAGCUUUUGCACUGCCUUGCUUGCUGGUGUAGUAAAAUUAGUUUUUGCGAGUUGCUCAUGGUGCCAUUUCAACCCAUUCAUUUACGGAUCCGCUGAUAUACAUCAGAUAAUGCAUGUUACAGAUCUCAACACAACAUUUGAAACUUCUUACACUAAACUUGAAACAUCUAAUAGAAAAAUAGAAAUCAAACUUGAAUUGUAAACCAAAAUUUGAAAUGUUUAAUAGAAAACUUGAACGGUAUUUGUGUACCGAAUCCCAUUUAUUCACCAUUUAUUCAAGGUGUACCGUGGAGUAUGGACCCCAGUGUUUAGUUAAAAUUUCGGAAGCAAAAGUUCAAAAAUACAACACAACAGAUAAAAACUUCUAUUAAGAAGACUCUGAGCUCAAAUUCAAUAUCCUCUCUGCAAUUAACAAAUCAUCAGGGGUUGUAACCUGGAAUUCAGAAUACACAACACAUCAAUUUGCAGUUCAUAUAACUUCAAGGUCACCUUUUUCAUGCAUAGGAUGAAUUUUUUGAGGAAACUACUGUAUUUCAGGCUAAAAAAUGUUGAUUCUGUUAUAUGAAAAUGCUAAAUGUCAAUCAGUAAGGGGUAACAGGUGAGAUUUCCACCCAUUACCUUGAUGUUGGUGUAAGAUCCUUCGGUGAUGUAUACAGGAUGUUUGAGAUGCUCCACUAUAGAUACAUCAUCAGUAACUUCAAGACCUUCCCUGUAGACAAUUACAGUUUGCUAAGAACAUUUUUUCUGUAUAGAGGUGUGAACACAAUGAAUUAAAAUGGAACAACCGGUAAAUUGUUUUUAUCUGGAAAUCAUAGACAUCAGUAUCAGCAUGAUGGGUUCACAGUAAAAGAUUUAUAGAUGAGGAGCUUAAAAGCAAAUGCAGUACCUAUUGACAAGCUCAAAACCCUUUUUAAGCAAGUCAGGCUUAAUCACCUAUAACAAAAAAUUUAUGGAAGUUACAAAAUAAUAUAUCCAAUAUGUCAAAUUGUUAGAACAGAAAUAUCAUGCAGUCUCUUGCAACAGCAAACCUGAGGGGUCUGCAUUUCCCAAAGAGUUUUGCGGUCCAGGGUUCUAACCACAAAAGAUUCGCUAUUUGCCUGCAUGCAUAUAUUAGGGAAUAAGUUCCCAAAUCUAUAAAACCAUUUGCUUCCCCAAACUAUAUUCUCCAAUGCACAUCCGGAGUAUAAGAAGCAGAAAGCAAUGAAUUUUAACUGGAAUAAGAAAGUGAAGUAAAAAGACGUAUCAAAUCCCAAAUGGUACAAGUGCAAAGGCUAAUGUGCACCUCUUUAAUUGUAGCUUUGGCAGGAACACCAAGUACAGCUGCUCCGACCCGCAAAGCAUCCAUAAGGACCUAAUAGUGGUAAAAUAAUGAGGCACAUAGCCAAUAUUUUUCUGGAACUCCUAGAAAAUAUGGGAAUGUUUACUAGACCUGUUUACUAAACCAAACCACCAGCCCAUACCUUUUGCACAUCUUUAGAUAAUACCAAAGGUCUAGCAGAAUCAUGGAUGCACACGAGCUCAGAGUUAAAAUCAACUUCCUGGAUGCAAAAGCAGCAUAUAACAAUACAAAUGAAAGCUAAUGUUAAAUUAUCAGCCACUAAGAGCAAAUCAAAAAACUGGAUGAGAAAAAAAGAACUGGAUAUCAGGACACCAUAAUUUUUGACUAAUUUGUUACGAAACAUUUGACUCAAUAAACAAUUGAUAUAAUAUCUUAUUGUGACUUUAUUGGUGGGUCGUCAAGUUUAAUUUUUUGAAAAAAAAGAGAAAGAAAAAAGAAAGAAGCUAAUAAUCCACUUAUGCGUACCACCAAUCCUUGAGAUAAAUCAUUUGGUUAUAUUCUAACAAUUCAUGGCAUGAAGAAUUAAUAACAGAUAAAAUAUAAACCCAGAAAGAAGAAGAAUAAAGCAGUGUUGCUGCCAAAUUUCAAGCAAAAUCCAGUUUUCUUUAAGUUAAAUUUUAUGAGUAGAGAAAUUUAUUUGCUAGCAGUAACCAUUGAAUAGUUUUCAGUAAGUUUUUACAGGCACUAGAGGAAAAUUGAAUCAACAUAAGAUGUUGAAAAAGCAAGAACAUAGAUAGAGAAACUAAAUUUCCUCUUAAUUAUCUAUGCACCUGAAGUCCGCUGUAAACAGAAUCUUGCCUCUCCUUCCCCGGAAGUGAGAAUUUAAGGUCUACAUUGAUCUUCUCUUUGGUUUCUGAAAGAAAAAUCAAGAAAUUAGUUUACAUAUUUCUGGUAGCACUCAUGCCCAACAUUAAAAGGUGACCAAACUGGUAUACUCAUUAAUAGGAGAAAGCAUACUAUGCAAGCACACGAAGAGAGAGAGAGAGAGAGGGAGAGAGAGAGGACAGAAACCUUCAAAGAUGUCACUGUAAGAUGGAUCACAAACUACCACAAUUUCCUUCACUUCAACCAUGCGUGAGAAAGUGUAGAAACUGAAGAAAAAAUGCAUUUUAUUAUUUUCAGAAGAAAAAACGAGGAUCAGUCAUAAGCAAUGGAAACAACGACUAUUACAACUUUAAACACAUAACUGUUAUUUUGCCUGAGGGCCAGACCUCAGUAACUGAAUCCCACCCAGGGUACCUUUAACCCAAGGUACUAUUCUAAAAUAAACUGAGAAUCACAUUAACAACACUAUGGAAAUACUAUAAUGUUUGUUACUGGAUCAAGAAGAAAACUCCAUAUUCCCAGAAAGACCAACUCUCACAUUCUAUUUGAUUUUUCAUGCCGAAUGUAACUGAACAUAGGUUACAGUUUAAACACGGAAGUCCCUCUUAAACCAUACAUCAAUACUUUGAUAGAAAAAAUUAAUAUCUAACACAGGUUGUUGGAAUACUACAAUAUUGUUGAUGCAAGAUAUUGGCAUUUACCUAUACAAUGCAAUGGGUUGACCCAAAAGUGGUAGAUACUGCUUUGGCAUGUUCGCCUAUUGGGACAAACAUAAAAUAACCAUCAUCUGAAAGAAGAAAAUUAAGAACAAUAGGAAUUGAAGAACGUAAUAAACUUAUACAUACAAUAUGGAUAAUACCAUAGCAUUGUAUGCAUAUCCAAACAAUACAAAUAACAGCUCAUAUGAAAAUGAGCCUCUGGAUAAAAACAACAAGAUACUUACACCCAUUCGUUUGCCCCUCCCUCCAGCCAAAAGAAUAACUGAUACACUCUUAUCUUUAACAACGACAGAACCCUGAGAUACAAGAACAUAACAUGAUUAACUGCUAAAAAUGGACGUGAAGCAACUCAAAGGAAAUAAAUCCCACUUACAUUAUCAACUUUAGCAGAACAUCUAAUCCUGGAUGUUGCAAGCCUGGCCCUCCUUGUCAAGCCAAAGAACUGAUUUUUAUGCCCUGAAAAGCACCAAAUUGAAUAGAAAUCACAUCAAAAUAACAAGCAAAGGAUAUGCUCCAUUGCCCAUCAAAAGUUACCAGUUCUGGAGAAAGUUUGGUGGUUGUCCGGGAACAGUGAGAGAGAAGAAGUUGAAGAAGACAGAGCAAGGUUCAGCUGAAGCAGGCCCAUGAGUCUAAUUUGUCAGCUUCACCUUUCUCAGUCAGUCAAAUACCGAAAUUGAAAUAUGGAAAUGAAGAAGUGAAAUGCUGCUGAGAGAUUAAAGCAGAGAAUGUAGUGUGUGUUUGUUGACUCUGUGCAGACGGAGACAAAUCAAAACGAUCAUAAUUCUUGUGCUGUUAAGUUUUUUUUUCAAUUUCUUUAUUUCUUUAUUUAUUAUCUUUUUAAGACAGCCAUCUUUGAAAUAAACAAAGUUUCAUUCACACAGCUACCGCUCAAAUUCAGAGUGUGAUAAAUAAAUGAACCAAUGGUAAAUUUAGAUAAAUUAAAAUUUGAUGAUAAAAAAUAAUUGAAAUUUUAUUUUUUUUAUAUACUUUUGAUAUUUAACCAUAUUGAAUUUAGUUUUCUUACAAAAAUAUCAUCUAGGUCCAUGAGAAAUUGGGAUAGUUGCUAAAAUGUUUGAGCUUUUUCAUUGGGGGAAAAAGAAAAAAGAAAGAAAGAAAGAACAAGUUCAGAUACCUUGAAAAAAAAUUAGAGCAACAAAUACCUUUUAGCAUAAAAAACUAAUGAAAUAAGAGAUUCGGGUCCAGCUACGGUAUAGUGGUGGUACGGUAUUACUAUUACAUCCAGUCGUUGGAUCCAUUUAGAUGGAUGGAUCUAUUAGAAUCCAACUGCUGGAUGCACACCAUAGUUUUCUCCGAGAGAUUCAUAACUGAUUCAAUAAGGUCCACCUAAUUUUGAAUUUUUUUUUAAAAAUUGAAUAUUAAUGUUGAAAACGCGGCGUUCGCUAAAAGGGUACUAUAUUUGCAACUCCCGGACACUCCCACACUCGAUACAAUCCCACUGCCCACCAUAACCCGUUGACGUAAAAACCCUAAUUCGCCCCUAACGCAUUCUCAUUCGCCUCCCUCCUCCUCGCCCUCCACUCACUGUCACACUUCGCCGCUGGCUGCUGUCCUUAUCGCCGUCCUGUCGUCGCCAACAGUUGCAAAACCCCAAGGUUAGCUUCUUAUAUGCAACUUUUUCCAUUUUUCAAUUUUCAUUUCGCUCCAAUUUCUCUAUACAUGCUUCCAUAUAAUAAAGUCACAACAUUUCUCAGCUUUAGAUCACGAAAGAGGCUCAAAGUCCCCAAGUUUGAGUAGACAUAGGCUUAUAAUUAGGUUUAUUGCUUCUGAAAAUAUAAAAAUUCAAUCUUUUUCACAAGUCACCUUAUCUGUCUGAUGUAAGUACGCUUAGGAUUUACGGUGCUGUGGCUUUUUAACUCAUAGCUGUUGUGAAAUUGGUCGCUUGCUGUUAAGUACAGCUGUUCUGUAAGCAUGUGGAGUUGGAAAUUUGUGCUUAAGCAUGAUUUCUCAUAUCUUGAAUGUGUGAAUUAUCAUUUUUGAGUUGUUGUAUUUAUUCUAAAUGUUCGGUUUGAGGAUUAUUGUCCAUUUCUCUCUAGUUUAGUCAUUUUCCCAUUAGAAGUUUAUCUACUCAUGGGAAUGCAUGCAGGGUUAAAGAUGAAGAGGAUGAUAGCUCUUGGAUUUGAAGGUUCGGCUAACAAGAUUGGUGUUGGGGUUGUUACGUUAGAUGGAAGUAUUCUAUCAAAUCCACGCCACACAUAUUUCACGCCACCUGGGCAGGGAUUUCUUCCACGAGAAACUGCUCAACACCAUCUAGAACACGUUCUUCCACUUGUCAAAUCUGCUUUGAAAACUGCUGGAAUAACCCCAGAUGAAAUUGAUUGCCUUUGUUACACCAGGGGUCCGGGCAUGGGAGCGCCACUGCAAGUUGCUGCUGUUGUUGUCCGGGUUCUAUCUCAGCUGUGGAAGAAGCCAAUUGUUGCUGUUAAUCACUGCGUGGCACAUAUUGAGAUGGGGAGGAUUGUGACUGGAGCGGAGGAUCCUGUUGUGUUGUAUGUCAGCGGUGGAAAUACCCAGGUGAUUGCUUAUAGUGAAGGAAGGUAUCGGAUCUUUGGGGAGACUAUCGAUAUUGCUGUGGGUAACUGCUUGGAUCGGUUUGCAAGGGUUUUAACACUGUCCAAUGAUCCAAGCCCUGGAUACAACAUUGAGCAGGUAUGUGAAGAUUGGUUUAUUCAACAUUUUUCUUCUUUUCAGAAGGAUUAAAUCCAUUUAGAUUUUAUAUGUAAUUGUAAAACAUUUAGGUAAGGAAUGAUUUAGACCAGUUGAAUUUUUAAGUCUAUAUCUGGGCCCUACCUGUGAAGUGGUUUAAGCAUGUGUCUCGCAAUUCGAGAAUUGUGUUUCUAUUACCUGCUUAUCUUCUGAUCUUCAUUCAUCAUUUCCUGAAUCAUCAUCAUGGAAAUAUAUACAUGCAUUAGGUUAUUUAUCAAAAAUCUUUGGGUACUGGCUUGUGUUUAAUUCUUCGGUUGGUAGAUUGAGUGAUGGGACAGAAGGUCUUCUAUUUUGAAUUGCCUAAUAUGAUUUUCUUCUUUCCCAGCUGGCAAAGAAAGGGGAAAAGUUUCUUGAUCUUCCUUAUGUUGUAAAAGGGAUGGAUGUCUCUUUUAGCGGGAUAUUGAGCUAUAUUGAAGCAACUGCUGCGGAGAAGCUCAACAAUAAUGAGUGCACUCCUGCAGAUUUGUGCUAUUCCCUGCAGGUUAGUUGCAUUUUUUAUCCUUUAAUCCGUUGGAACAGCAUGAGCCAUAGCUUUAAAGACUGCAAUUAUAUCUAGCCAUUCUUCAUGGUCGUUAUAUGAAUCUAAUUGGAAAUUUACAUUUCGCUUGAUGAUGUGUUACAGGAAACUCUUUUUGCGAUGCUUGUGGAGAUCACGGAACGGGCAAUGGCACAUUGUGACAAAAAGGAUGUUCUUAUUGUAGGCGGUGUGGGUUGUAACGAGCGCUUGCAAGAGAUGAUGAGAACAAUGUGCUCCGAGCGGGGUGGAAGGCUGUUUGCAACGGAUGACCGAUAUUGUGUUGACAACGGAGCAAUGAUUGCGUACACCGGUCUGCUUGCUUUUGCUCAUGGUUCAUCAACUCCGUUAGAGGAAUCAACCUUUACCCAGCGAUUCAGGACGGAUGAAGUGCAUGCAGUCUGGAGAGAAAAAGAAGAUUCAGCUUGCAAGAAUGGUAGUCAUUAAGGAAGCUAGCUGAUUCAGAUGGUAGAUUUAGAGGUAGGAUCAUUCUGGCAGUGCCAGCAGUAAUUUAGUAUUAAGCUUGCGAAUGAAUUUUGAUUAAAGAUGUUGUAAAUUUAAAGUAGGAAGCAAAUUAUUUUGUGUUCAAGCAUUUAAAAUAGUUCGUAUUUUCUUCUUAGUAAUGUACAUCCACAAUUUUAAGGAUGAGUUAUAUAAAGCACUCUUAAUUAUAAUGAGAGAUGGUUUAGCGGACGAUGUUAUUUAUGUUAUCGUAUUACCAUGGACAUACGUUGGUUAAUUUACAACUUCAACUCCACUUAUGAGAUUUUAUUAAAUUAUGCCGAUCGAAAGAAGUUGUUCGCUAAAUUGUAAAUCCGUAAAUAUGAAAAUUUUUAUGGGCUAAUGGGCUUGUUUAGUUGAGAUGAGAUGGAGAAUGAAGGCCAGGCCCAAUUAAGCCCAAAAUAUACACAACGCAGCAAACUAAAAGGGCACGAUCAAUUUCGCAGUUUCCACUUUCCAUAUUCCUCCACACGACUGACAGAAGAAGAAGAAGCAUCGAUCGAAAGAGUUAGCGAGUGUUGACAAAAUAAGUGAAAGGAUGGGGCACACAGGCGAGUUCUUCAGGCGGAGAGAUGGGUGGAGAAAGCAUCCACUGCUGACGAGCAAUCUGCGUCAAGCCACCCCAGGACUCGGCAUCGCUCUCGUCGCUUUUGGAAUCUAUCUUGUUGGCGAACAAGUCUACAAUAGGGUCAUCGCUCCUUCUCCUUCUCAUUCUCACCACACCCACCACCAGCACUCCGCUGCGUCCUCUUCUCACUGAAGCUCUUCAGCUCUCCUGCUUCUCUCAGGUCUGUUGUUGAAUUGAAUUGCCCCCACAUUUGACUGCAAAAAUUUCUCUUUUUCUUUUCUGGGUUAUAUUGUUUAAUAACAUUUUGUUAGGUUUGUUUUCGGUGUGAUUUUUUGAGAUUUGGGGUUUUGCUGUGGAUUUUAUGAUAUGGGUAUGUGAUAAAUUUUUAGGUUUUUCUUAGUUUAGUUUAACAAUCUGGUCAGAUUCAUCCAUCGUGCUUCAGCUGCUGACCCUACACAUUUGAGAAUAAAUUCAUCUUCUUGCCUGUUUUUGAUAGAAUUAGCAUUCGUCUGUCUUUUUUUUAUUUAUUUAAAUUAUGAUAUGUUUGUUAACCAUGCGAGUCUGUGUAAAAUUUUGGAUUUUAUGGGUUUUUUGUGAAAUGAAUAUGUCUGAAAUUUAUGUUUUUAUUGAUAUUAAGAUCUAGACGGGUUCACCUGCUCUCUGGCCAGCUGGGUAGUACACUUCAUUUCUUUUGCAUUUUAUGUAUUAUGCUUAUUUCCUUGCUAUUGGUGCUAGAUUUCGGAUUUUCUGGUACUUUAUGACGUGUUUGUAUCUAGUUUAGGUUUUUAUUUGUAUUAUGGCCACAUUGGUUUCAUUGCUCUCAUCAUUUCUGAUUGCUAAGUCAUACUCAUUUGAUGUGCAUCAUAUGGUUAUUGUCUUGUUUAUUCACAUGAUCUUUAGUUGAGCCAAAUGUGUAGAGUUGUUACUGUUCAACAGGGGUUUCUAUUUAGUAAUCACUCCAUGUGAAGCAGUCCCUCUUUUUCCUUAUGCAAUGUUGCUGCUAUUUCAUUCAAUUUGACUAUGAUUUUGUUGUUUAUAGCUAAUUGAUCAUCAUUGAUGGAGGAAUGUUAGGAAAUUAAGUUGUAUUAAAUACUAAAUAUAGACAAUUUGGUUAGGCAUAAGACGAAUGGAAAAUGUUUGUUCUUAGAUGCUGGGCAGUAAGUUAUUUACUUACACUGAUGAAGUUAUAACUAACACUAGUUUCAUAUGGCUGAGUGAUUUACUUGUAUGGUUAUUUUAUCUGUUGGGAAUGCAGUUGUGGGGAUUAGCUGGUUCCACCGGCAAGUUCUUUUUCACUUUGAUGGGGUGUGUUAGGAAUGAAUGACAUUCAAACUGUGGAUUUGAUGCCAGGGGCUUUUCAACUCUAUGGAGGGCAGGGGAUAAGGGUCGCAAAGAACACCUUGGAGAUUGUCAUUUCUAGGAUGAGCAAUAAUACCCUUCUGAAAAUUCAUUGGUUUGUCAGUGUUUGAUUUAUGACCAUCCGAUUUCUGAUCCUACAAUUUUUUGGGCUAAUUUAGAAAUCAUAUGGUGUUAAAUACUGUAUCUUAUUUGGUAGUAUUUUACGAAAUAAUAUACGAAAUAAUAUUUGCUUAUGAUUGACUUUACAAAACAAUAUCCGGUGUGCUUGUAUUAACCCUGCUGUGUUUUCGGAAGGCUUGCAAGUAAUUUUACAGUACAGAGGGCUGCUUUGUUAUUCUGUUAGUUGGUUAUUGAUGUAGAACAGGCCGUAGCUUGGACAGUUUUUUCUUUAUUUUAAGUUUUUUUUUUUUUUUUUUAAUUCUGUCUGUAGAACUUUAUUGUGUUAAAAUAAUUUGAAUUUACACAGUUUGGUAAAUUCACGUUAUUUAGUGUUUUAGUAUAAAAGGGAGCUGAACCCUAUUUGUUUUGGUUGGUUGAUUCAUAAUAUUAAAAAAAAAAAUCUUUUUGAGAAGAUUUGUUCUUUCUUUACUUUCAUGUUGUGUCAGUUAUCCCCAUUAAAGUUUACAAUUGCCCUUUAUUAUUCUUUGACGAGGAGCUUUUGCGAAUCUGUGAUUUAAGCUGACAGAAUUGUUACAUGCAAAUUUAAUAUGACCAAACAGAUCCUCUAUCUAGCCCUCCUAGUUAUGUAUCUAUCUUGAUUAUUUUCUUAAUAGGUGGCUGAAGAUGGUGGUCACAUGUUGGAAGAGGAUUGAAGUUUGGACCUGUUUUCAUUUCCCAUUUUGUUAUUUGAUUUAAUAAGAUCAACUUUGCCAUGUUUAGUGUUACUUUGUUGUGUAUUAAGUUUAGUGUGUUAGACUUGAUCUGAUAUGUAGAUGUUUAAUCUUUUGCUUUUGAUAUCGUUAUGCAUUCAAUGGCUCUACAUUUGGUGCCUGAAAUGUUUCGAAUAAAGAAGUUUCCUUAUAUAAAUAUGUUGUCUUAUUUAUAUAUUUUUUGAUCAAGUUUUCUAUUUUUAUGCAUGACGUUUUUAUGGUUCGUUUCCUUAAUUUAAUUUUUUUGUACCAGUCAUUGAAAAAAGGAAUGUAACUUAAAAUGAUGACUUAAAUUUUCAUUCGUUUCAUUUCAUUCAAUCUAAAGGUGUAUAUUUUUUUGUCAAAAAUCUGCAAUGAGUCACCUUUAUUCUUGUAUUAUUCAAAUGAAUAGAUCAGCCGAAUGAAAGUUUAAUUAAAAGAUUGAAUAGAUUAAAUGGAUGAAAAUUGAAGUAAAAUGUUGAAGUUAAGGAGCCCUAAAAGUUAUAGAAGAAACUCGAUGAGAGUAACGUUGAAAAUAUGUUAUCUGUUAUGGUUAAAAAUAUGUUAUCCGUACUUUAAGAACUUUCGGAUUUUUAUGUAUGUGUGUGUAGUUCUUUUCUAAUGCAAGUGUCUUCAUUUUUUUUUAUAUCCAGACACAUUUUUUAAAUCAUAAGAUUUAAGAGAGUUAGGUUGUGUUUGUUUUUUUAUUUGAAAUUUGAAUAGGUAUGAAUUUAACUGAAGUCUGAAUAGGUCUGAAUGAAAAUAUCUUAGUGAUAUAUUGUUUUUUUGUUUUCAACAUCUAAAGAGAGAGAUUUAAAAGAUAGGAGUUUGACAUAAAUAUCAUUUUAAGUGGUGCAUAUAUUUGUUCUUCACAAUUUAUGAUUUUCACAGGUUGAUUAAUUUGGUAGCAUUAAAAAAAAAUACUAUCAUUGUUGAUCUUAAUUUAAUUUUUUAAUAAAAAAAUGUAAUAAUAACAUCAAAUUUUAUUAUAAAAUCAAAACUGUUAUUUUAUUUUUUAUUUAUCACAAUGGACAUAUUUUAAUUUGUUCAAUAUUUCAGUUUAGUUAAUGUUAUCAUGUGAAUAAAAAUUUAAACCAAUUAAAAAAAUAACUUCAAGAAUAAUAUAUAAAUAUUAAGUUUAUACAUAAUAUUGAAAAUACAUGAAUUAUUAAGGGUAUUUUUGAGAUUUGAAAUUGAAAUUUUACAUUUAGACUUCACACUUCAAAUAAAAGUGGAAUUUUUUCUACUUUUUCUAUUCAGAUAAAAUUGUUUGAUAAUAAGUGAUAAGUUAAAAAAAUAAAUAACCUAAAAUAAAUAAAUAUCUGAAAAAAAAUUAAAUUCAGACUUCAGACUAAAAAAUAAAUAGUAUCUUAAUUUUUAAUUAUUUUAAAUCAUAUAAUUUAAGAACGUGUCUGCAUUAUAAAAAAAAAUAUAAACGCUCGUACUUAAAAAUAAUUAUACAAAAGAGUAUGCGUAGAGUGGAAGGAUAUAAUUAUUAUAUCCUGAAUGAACAAACCAACAGGCCAGCUCGAUUUUUAUUAUGAUAAUUCCUAGAGCCGUUAAAUAAGAAAUUUACAGUUUAUGGCGGGGCCUCAUAAUAAAAAAUUAUUAUUUUAACUAGUGGAAAAGAACAAUAUAUUUAAAUUGGUCUUGGAGAAUGGUCGGUGAAUGAAGCCAAAUUAAAUUUGCACGAAAAAUCCAAGAACAUGUGAGACUUGCUGCAAUUAUUGUAUUAUGUGUCCUCCGCUAUAAUUCAAAGCAAAUGAAAUCCGUGACAAUAUAUAUGUAAUCAAGUAGCUGGUCCAAGGCGCAUUAAAAAAAAGGGGUAGCUGGUCCAAGGGCAAGUUGUGAAUUAUUCCAAUAUAAAAUUAUUUGAUUGUUAACGACGUUUUUUUAUUUAAAAUUAUAAAAUUAUUUUAAUAGAUAAGUAUAUUAAAAUUAUAUUAUUAAAGGAAUGAAAUAAAUAAGAAUAUUUUAAAAAAAUCUAUUUUUUUAAUAUAAAAACUCUACAACUUCAAAAGUCUAAAAACUUAAACUUUUGUUAAUAAAAAUAAAAUAAUUUAUUUAAUCUCUAAAAAUUCAACUCAAAAUUCGAUCAAACAAUACUAAAAAUUUUAAAAAGAUCUUUAAAAACGAAAUAAAUAUUUUUAAGCAUUAAAAAAGUUAUAUUAAACAUGCACUUAUUACAUAUAUAGACGGAUUAAACAUGCACUUAUACGAGGAACAUUACCCAGCCCCUGGGGACUUGGAACUCAUAUCCUAAAUGUUGAGGGCAUGCGUUCUCACCUAUGCCCCUAGAGGGAAGUCACUUAUCUAUGACGGUUACUUUGCCAUAAAUAUCUGUUUACGGAAGAGCAAUAUUCACCAUACAAAACCUCUAGUUGGAUAAGCCCUCUCCUUUUAACUUUUUUUUUCGAUUUUUUGAAUACACACACACACACACACGCACACAAAUCAUAAUUGAAGCGCCAUCGAUAUAAUUAGGAGAACUUGCAACGAGAGAAGCUGCUGGCAUCUCCCAAACAAGCUUGAAAAAGUAGUCAGUAAGAGUUGUGCACAGGAAAAAAAAAAAAAAAAGCAUGGGAAAUAAUAAUGUGAUGGGAUUGGGAGGUGGUGUCUUAGCAGCGAUCAUAGUGUCAAUAUUGGCUGCAUCUAGAAGCUUUGAAUGCAUCUAGAAGUUUUGAAUAAACAAGUUUUUUGCACACGGCUUUGAAGAUUGAAAAUGCCGAAAUUGUUGAGGAAGAAAGAAGACUUUGGCAGCUGCAAAAGAGGAAGAAGAAUGAAGAAAAAUCAAAGGCGGUUUAAAAUAUAAUAAUAUUUUAAAAGCCAAUUUUGGCUAUAUAAAGGGAGCUCUUCAUUUGGUUUUUAGCAUCUAAUUCCAUCGAGAGAGAAGCAUUGUCUUCCUUUAGAGUUGAGAGUUUUAAGAGUUUAAUAAACUUUUGAGUGUCUAGUGAGUUAGAGAGUUUGGGUGUAUUGGGGUUUUGGGAAGUGAGCUAAAAUACUACAACACUUGUAACUCCUUUUCACUAGUAAAAUAUUUCAUUCUGUCUUCGCCCGUGGAUGUAGGCUAAAAGCCGAACCACGUAAUUUUUGGUGUCCUCUAUUGUGCUUGUUCUUUAUUUUAUUUCCAAUUUUAUUUUAGCUGUGGUCCUGCUGCACCUACCAAUUCCCUAACAGUGGUAUCAGAGCUAUUGGUUGUAUUUUUGGAGUCAGGAACUGUUCACGUAAGGGGUACUAUUCACGUAUACGGCACCGUACACGUAUACGGUACUGUUCAUGUACACGGUGUUGUUCACAUAGACUGAACUAUUCACGUAUACGGUACUAUUCACGUGAAGCGGUGGAAGCGAUCCAAGAAUUUUGCGGUGCAAAGCAGGGAAUAGUGGUGUGAGUAAAGCAACUGUGUGGUUUUGUACAUGUCUAGGAAAGUUCUGUCACAAAGGCGAUAAGAGCUUAAGGAGUCUGGGUUUUAAGUGGGACCAUUGUGACCCCUCCAGUCUUUCCUGGGAACUUUCCUGGUGUGCAUUCUUACACAUACUCACAACUAUUCAAGGUGGUAUACUUGCUUGUGUGCAGUAUUUAUCAACAAAAUGGCGGCAAAGUAUGAAAUUGAGAAAUUUAACGGAAAUAAUUUUUCGUUGUGGAAAAUGAAGAUGAAAGCUGUAUUGAGGAAAAAUAAUUGCUUGGCAGCAAUUGGAGAAAGACCCAUGGAGAUAACUGAUGACAAGUGGAACGAGGUAGACGGCAACGCCAUUUCUGAUCUACACUUGGCACUUGCAGACGGAGUAUUAUCCAGUGUGGCAGAGAAAAACACAGCGAAGGAAAUAUGGGAUACUCUCACAAAAUUGUAUGAGGCCAAGUCACUACACAACAAAAUCUUCUUGAAGAGAAAACUCUAUACUCUUCGAAUGGCAGAAUCUACAAUGGUGACCGACCACAUCAACACAUUGAAGACUCUAUUUUCACAACUCACAACGUUGGGUCAUAAUAUAGAGGAAAAUGAACGUGCAGAGCUUCUACUUCAAAGUCUACCAGAUUCGUAUGAUCAACUCAUCAUCAACCUAACGAACAACAAUCCAGUGGAGAGUCUAGUUUUCGACGAUGUUGCAGCCUCCGUAUUAAAUGAGGAGAGCAGGCGGAAAAAUAAGGAAAACAGACAAGCAAGUUCGCAGCAAGCGGAGGCGCUAUCAGUGACGAGAGGGAGAUCAACGGAACGUGGCCCCAGUGGGAGUCAAAAUCAGGGUAGAUCAAAAUUCAGAGGUAAGAAGAAUGUUAAAUGCUACAACUGUGGCAAGAAAGGGCACGUUAAGAAAGAAUGUUGGAGUAACCAGAAGAGAAGAGAGGGCAAAGAACCUGAGACAUCAAAUGCUCAGGGGUGUGUAGCAAGUACCUCGGAUGAUGGCGAAAUUCUCUACAGUGAGGCAACAACUGUUUCAGAAGGCAGAAAACGACUUUCUGAUGUCUGGCUUAUAGACUCAGGAGCUACCUGGCACAUGACCUCUAGGAGAGAAUGGUUCCACACAUAUGAACCUAUCUCAGGAGGAUCUGUAUAUAUGGGUAACGAUCAUGCCUUGGAGAUCGCUGGUAUUGGUACUAUCAAAAUAAAAAUGUUUGAUGGUACAAUUCGCACAAUUGGAGAGGUACGACAUGUCAACGGCCUGAAGAAAAAUCUAUUGUCUUUGGGACAAAUGGAUAGUCAUGGGUACAAAACUCAUGUGGAGAAUGGAAUUAUGAAGAUCGUUAAAGGCGCGCUUGUAUUGAUGAAGGUAGAAAAGAUCGGUGCUAAUCUAUUCAUGCUUAAAGGAGAAACACUACAGGAGGCUGAUGCGUGUGUCGCAUCAAAUGGAGAAGAGUCAACGAUGAUGUGGCAUCUCAAACUUGGCCACAUGUCGGAACAAGGUUUGAAGAUUCUCUCUGAGCGAAAAUUGCUUCCAGGGCUCAAAUCGGUAAGUUUACCAUUUUGCGAGCAUUGUGUUACAAGUAAGCAGCAUAGAUUAAAAUUCAGUAGAUCUAUUGCUAGAAGUAAAUGCAUUCUCGACUUGAUUCAUUCUGAUGUUUGGGAAUCACCGGAUAUAUCCAUGGGAGGUGCAAAGUACAUGGUGACUUUCAUUGAUGAUUAUUCCAGAAGAUGUUGGGUGUAUCCAAUUAAGAAAAAGUCAGAUGUAUUUCCUGUGUUUAAAGAAUACAAAGCGUGGGUGGAACUUGAAUCUGGUAAAAAGAUCAAGUGCUUGAGGACAGAUAAUGGUGGAGAAUAUACAGACGGCGAGUUUCUUGCUUUCUGUAAGCAAGAAGGUAUUCAGAGACAGUUCACGGUGGCAUACACUCCUCAACAAAAUGGAGUGGCAGAACGGAUGAACAGAACUCUUACAGAAAGAAUAAGAGCUAUGUUGAGGACUGCUGGUCUACCCAAUUCAUUCUGGGCAGAAGCAGCCAAAACUGCCUGUUAUAUAGUAAAUCGGUCGCCAUCUACAGCUAUUGGGUUGAAGACAGCGAUGGAGAUGUGGACUGGAAAGCCAGCUGAUUAUUCCUACCUACAUGCAUUUGGAUGUCCUAUGUACGUGAUGUACAAUGCCCAAGAAAGAACAAAGCUGGAUGCAAAAUCUAGAAGAUGUAUCUUCUUGGGGUAUGCUGAUGGAGUAAAGGGGUAUCGUCUGUGGGACCCCACUGCCCAUAAGAUCGUCAUCAGCAGAGAUGUUAUCUUUGUAGAAGAUCAACUGCAAAGAAAAGAUGGAGAUGAUGGCACUGUAAAAGAAAAGUCUGAGACUGUGCCAGUAUAUGUCGAAAAUAAUCCAGAAAAUUCAGAUUCUUCUGAAGCAGCACCAGAGCACGAGGAACAAGAACCAGUCGAGUCCGAGGCUCCAGAAGUUCGUCGGUCAACUCGUGAGAGACGACCGCCAACGUGGCACUCGGAGUAUGUCACAGAGAUCAAUGUUGCAUACUGUCUUCUAACAGAGGAUGGAGAGCCUUCAACUUUCCAUGAAGCUUUAAACAGUUCAGAUGUUGCUUUGUGGAUGACAGCAAUGCAGGAAGAAAUUGAAGCUCUACACAAGAACAAGACAUGGGAACUUGUACCACUACCACGUGGAAGAAAAGCCAUUGGAAACAAAUGGGUCUACAAGAUCAAACGUGAUGGUAAUGACCAAGUGGAGCGGUAUCGUGCGAGAUUGGUGGUGAAAGGAUAUGCUCAGAAAGAAGGUAUUGACUUCAAUGAGAUAUUUUCUCCGGUGGUUCGACUCACAACAGUCAGAAUAGUCUUGGCAAUGUGUGCCACAUUUGACCUACAUCUAGAGCAGUUAGAUGUGAAAACUGCAUUUCUUCAUGGAGAACUUGAAGAAGAAAUAUAUAUGCUCCAACCAGAAGGUUUUGCAGAAACAGGAAAGGAGAACUUGGUUUGCAGGUUGAACAAAUCUCUAUACGGUCUCAAACAGGCGCCGAGGUGUUGGUAUAAGAGAUUUGAUUCCUUCAUCAUGAGCCUUGGAUACAACAGACUCAGUUCAGACCAUUGUGCAUAUUACAAGAGGUUUGAAGAUAAUGAUUUCAUCAUUUUGUUGUUGUAUGUGGAUGACAUGUUGGUAGCAGGUCCCAACAAAGAUCGAAUCCAAGAAUUGAAGGCACAGUUGGCUAGGGAGUUUGAAAUGAAGGACUUGGGACCAGCAAACAAGAUUCUAGGGAUGCAAAUUCACCGAGACAGAAAUAACAAGAAGAUUUGGCUUUCGCAGAAGAAUUAUUUGAAGAAAAUCUUGCGGCGCUUCAACAUGCAAGAUUGUAAGUUAAUUUCUACCCCACUUCCUGUUAAUUUCAAAUUAUCCUCAAGUAUGUGUCCUAGUAAUGAAGCAGAGAGGAAGGAGAUGUCUCGAGUACCGUAUGCAUCAGCGGUGGGAAGUUUAAUGUUCGCUAUGAUAUGUACAAGACCGGACAUUGCACAAGCAGUGGGAGCAGUCAGUCGAUACAUGGCGAAUCCUGGUGGAGAGCAUUGGAUAGCUGUGAAGAGGAUUCUGAGAUACAUCAGAGGAACCUCAGAUGUUGCAUUAUGUUAUGGAGGAUCAGAGUUUACUGUCAGAGGCUAUGUAGAUUCAGAUUUUGCAGGAGACCUUGAUAAAAGGAAAUCCACUACUGGUUAUGUGUUUACACUUGCGGGAGCAGCUGUAAGCUGGGUUUCAAAACUGCAGACCGUUGUGGCUUUAUCUACAACAGAAGCAGAAUACAUGGCAGCUACACAAGCUUGCAAGGAAGCUAUUUGGAUACAAAGAUUAUUGGAGGAGCUCGGGCACAAACAACAGAAAAUUCCUGUGUUUUGUGACAGUCAGAGUGCCUUGCACAUUGCAAGGAAUCCAGCCUUUCAUUCCAGGACAAAGCACAUAGGAGUCCAGUAUCACUUCGUUCGUGAAGUAGUGGAAGAUGGAAGUGUGGAUUUGCAGAAAAUCCAUACCAAAGAGAACCUAGCAGAUGUUUUGACCAAGCCGAUAAAUACUGAUAAGUUUGUCUGGAGUAGAUCCUCUUGUGGCCUAGCAGAAACGUAGGCAACAUGAUUAUGGCGAAGCAGAAAGGAUGGUGUGGAGAUUGAUUGAUUUUUCAAUUUAAUCUCCAAGUGGGAGAAUGUCAAUAUUGGCUGCAUCUAGAAGCUUUGAAUGCAUCUAGAAGCUUUGAAUAAACAAGUUUUUUGCACACGGCUUUGAAGAUUGAAAAUGCCGAAAUUGUUGAGGAAGAAAGAAGACUUUGGCAGCUGCAAAAGAGGAAGAAGAAUGAAGAAAAAUCAAAGGCGGUUUAAAAUAUAAUAAUAUUUUAAAAGCCAAUUUUGGCUAUAUAAAGGGAGCUCUUCAUUUGGUUUUUAGCAUCUAAUUCCAUCGAGAGAGAAGCAUUGUCUUCCUUUAGAGUUGAGAGUUUUAAGAGUUUAAUAAACUCUUGAGUGUCUAGUGAGUUAGAGAGUUUGGGUGUAUUGGGGUUUUGGGAAGUGAGCUAAAAUACUACAAUACUUGUAACUCCUUUUCACUAGUAAAAUAUUUCAUUCUGUCUUCGCCCGUGGAUGUAGGCUAAAAGACGAACCACGUAAUUUUUGGUGUCCUCUAUUGUGCUUGUUCUUUAUUUUAUUUCCAAUUUUAUUUUAGCUGUGGUCCUGCUGCACCUACCAAUUCCCUAACACAUAGUUAUGAUGAUACUCUUCUUCACAGCGAAUCAAUCUUGUGCUGCAGGCAACGGCACCAACAUUACUAAUUUCCAUAUUGAUCCUGAUGUGUUGUUCUUUUAUGAUGAUCCAGAAUCGGAAUUGGCUGCUGCCGCGACUGCAACAAACGUAUUGAAUAUGAAAUCCUUGAAGCUGCCUCCGGUGUUCGAUUGCGGAAAAGGCCAAGGCCCAGCCUAUCGCUCUUGUACCCCUCCUCCCCAGGGUUCCAAAAGGGGUGAACAUUGCCCACCUAACGGCGCGUACAAUCGAGGGUGCCAUUAUUAAGCCUUAAGUCUGCACUGCUGCAUCCAUGCAUAUGCAUUAAUAAAUAAAUUAAUUGAAACUUGUAAUUUGAUUAGCACUAAUUAAUUCGUUGUUAAAUUAGCUAAGGUUACUCCAUCUUGAUGCUAUCGUUCAUGUUCACUCAUUUCAAUUCUACCAUACUCGUCCUGAAUUUAUUAACUUUCCAUGUGCGUGCGUAUUAACAGCCUGGAGAAGUAAUUAAUUAAUUGAUUAACCAUUGAUGGCAUUUUGCAUGACCUACUCUUAAUUACCGGCCUCUCGAAGGGAAACCCGCUACGAUAUAAAUCAAACAACUGAACGUACAACUUCAUUACAUUUCCCGCAAUAAUGCCUAACAUUCAAUGAUUUAUCUGCUCCCUCCCAUCAUGCCUUAAUUAAUUGUUACCACAACAUCAUCCCGAAUUUUGUAAUUACAAUUAAUUAUAUAUGUUAGCUAUUUUUCUUUUUAAUAAAUAAUUUUACAGACACAGACACAAUUAGCGUGGCAUAUGGGAGGAUGUUUAGUUGAAACUUGGAAGCGAUAUCAAUUAAUCCAUCAUGCUUUUGUCCAACUUCUACAGAUCUUCACGAUUAUGAAAUCUAUUAUUUCUUUUCCAUUCACUUCUUGUGAUACAUUGUCCGCCCCACGUGUUAGCCUUUAAUUAUGCCAUCUUGCAACAUAAAGCCCAUUGUUUGAGAAUUAAUCUCAGUUAAAGGGGCAGCUGAGACUUGAGCCAUGAACUUUGAUGGUCACGUAGGUGGUGUCGUCCAUGUGCCAAGUAUAAAUCAAUCAAGCUUUUAAGUAAUUAUUGGUUGGGCGAAAAUGAAAGCAAAGUGCAUAUUUAUGACUAGCUGUAGAAGAGAGCGAAAGGGCAGAACGAGCGUAUAAAGGGAGCUUUCGAUGACUUGGCUCAAAUAAAGGCAGUUUUAUAUUUAUACACGGAUGGUGCAGUCAGUGACUUGACUAUAUGUGUAUUUCCUUGUUUUUUUUUUUUCUUUUUAAAUACCCAAAACUAAAAAACAGGGCAUGCACUCUGUUUAUAUUUCUAUGAAAUCGUUGUUCAUUAAGCAAAUUUCUUCCUCUAAGUUCAGAUAAUUUCAUGAUUUGUCACUGACUGCACCCAAUAAAAAGAUAAAGAAUCAAAAGGACAUAUUUUAUGUGUAAAUACACAUCAAAUCUCUUUUAUCAAUCAAAAUUUUAUUAUUAUUAAUAAAAUAGGCUGUAUAGCAUAUUCUAUUUUCUCCCUCAGCUAAGAUACUAAUAUAUUACCAAAUUAAUUCGUAAACGGAAAUUAAGAAAGUUAGAUCUCCAGUGAUUGUCCGUGCAAUCUCUGACUUGGCGGCACUGGAUUUUAUCAAUGCUUCGUUGUUAAAAUUUCCCGUGAAGGACGUAUAAAUUGCUGCCAUGGUGAUCUUUGCAAAGGAUGUGACCAUUGCUGCGCUGGAUAAUACUGCUGGGGAUGUGAACAUUGCUGUGCUGGGUAUAAAAUGCAAGGGAUAUGAAUGUAAUUGGAGAUCGUUUUCAUUUUUGUUUGUCGUUUUCGCUUUUUCAAGGUUGGUAAAUGGAGAGUGAAGAAACAGCAGAUCAUCGAGGAGGAUUCACUAACUUUCGUGAAUUUAGAGAGGGGUUUCCUUGAGAUUAUGUGCUUGUUUGGUACGACUUAUUUAAUGGUCACAAGUGAAGUACUUAUUUAAUAUCAUCAGCUCUUAUUUUAAUUUUCGUUAUUGUUUAGUUGUUUAUUUAAUAGAGCAUUUGAAAUUUAAAUAAGUUAUUUUGUCUUUUUUAACAAAACCUCAAAUUUUUUUGGGCAUAGGACGAAUGAAAAACAUUUGUUCUUGGAACACCUUUUCCUAGUUUCAAAUAGAAGUGAGAGAGAGUUGAUGCUAAAAAGACCGCCAGACUUAUAUUUUUCCAUGAGAAUUAUGUGUUAUGUGGAACUAAUUUUAAUUUACUUUCGUGAUCUUGUUACAAUGUUAGCUCUUUGUUCAUGAAUUGAUUAAUACUUGUUUCUUUUUACUCAAAAGUCUUCAUCUUAUUAACUUGCAUCAUCUUUUUCUUCUUCUUUUUCUCCGCGUGGUCUUCAAUCACCUAGUUUCUCUCCUAUAGGAUGAGCAUUAAUACCCAUCCGAAAAUGCAUUGGUUUGUCGCUGUUUGAUAAAUGACAAGCGGAUUUCUCGUCCCACAAUUUUUUUGGUCCAAAUGAGAAAUAAUAUGGUAUCAACUACUGUAUCUUGACUGGUAUUAUUUUAAGAAAUAGCAUUUGCUUACUAUUUGACUUAACAAAACAAUAUCCAGUGCGCUUGUAUUAACCCUGCUGCGUUUUUUUCACAAUAUCUAUUUCUAUUCUUUGCUGAGGACUUUUGUGAAUCUGUGAUAUAAGCUGGCGGAAUCGCUGCAUCCAAAUUUAAUAUGAGAAAACAUAUCCUCAAGCUAGCCCGCUUAACGCGUAGCGGAUAUUAGUAAUAAGAAUGACCAUAGCACAGCCACAGAAACGGCGCAGCCCCAUUCUAUCAUUUUUGUGCCCCCUCCUCAAACUUUUUUGAUAUCACUCUUUAUUUCACCAUACUCUAUUUUGAUUAAUUCGAUUUAUUUCUCAAAUUACUCCCAUUAAAAAUAUUUUAUCUCUAUUGUUUCUCACUUGCUCUUCUCAUUAUAUUUCAACUAAUGGUACAACAAUCGAAAUGGAAAAUUUAGAAUCAAAAUCAAUGACAUGUUUACUUGCAAAAUUAAGGUUUGGGAUUGGAACUGAAGUAGUGUCGGACCCACAAAUUUGAGAAUCACUACCAUAGCUCUGAUUCCAAAGCGAGGGGUUUGGAAUCUGAAUUCGAUUUCUAUAACUACCCAUUUUACUCCCAUUAAACUUUUAUAAUCUCUAAAUUACUCUCAAGUAAGUUAUGUCAUUUUUUUCUUUUUGGUUCCCAUGGAAUUUAUCAAACAAACUCAAAUUUCUUGAAUUAUUUGCAAAUAGGUCCUUUAUUGUUUAUAAUAAUGUAAUAAUAAUAUUAUAUUAUUAUCAUUAUUAUAUUUAAAAUUUAUUUAUUUUAUUAUUUUAAUUAUUAUUAUUGUCAUUAAUUUCAUCAUCAUCAUCAUUUCAUCAUCAUUAUUAUUAAUUUUUUUUUUAUUUUUCUUUUAGGAAAACAUGGUACACAUAAAUAGCUAGACAAAGAGAAUCUCUUAUAUAUAUCAAGAGAUCUUACAAGUUAAAUUGAACCAAAUUGAGACCAUCAUACAAUUGACGGGUAAUAACAGUACCCAUACUUUUAUUUUCUUAAACAUAACAUAAGAGACUAAUACUGCAUAUUCUUAACCAGUGUGAUCAGGGUUUCUUCCAUAUUGCGGGACCACAAGAAGAUCAAUAUUUCCAUUAAUUUCAUCAUCAGCAAUAAGUGAAAAAGUUGUGGCUAUAAGCCCCUCCGACCAAUCGGUAUAACCUGAAAAAUUCAUGUUAUAAAACUUAAUCACAAAUACACAUAUUAAAAUAAGAAUUAUAAAUGACAUUUAUUUGAAAAUGGAUGGCCUAUGUAUAAACCUGCGCAAGGAGUUCCCAUAAUCUUCAAAUCAGGAAGGCAAACGAUUUCUGCUGGCUUCGACUGAACCGUAUUCAAAACUCAAAAGGUAAGUAGUUGUGCUUGAGCGAGUUCUUAUUUCUGGUUUGAUCUGAUAUAUAUAGAUCAAGUAGCCGACACUACGGUGCCAACGUGGCAAAGUAACAAGUUGUGCAUGGUAAAGAUAAUGGAUCAAUGGUUCUAAUUUAAUCGUACAAUAAGUAGGGAAGGUCAACAGCUCUAUAUGGUUAAGUUAGUGCAUGUGUGAUACAUGAUUCAAAAAAUAAAUAAUUCUAAAUACGAAGGACACGAGCAAAUAAAGUAAUAAAUGCAAUUACCAAAUAAUAGUGCGUGGUAUACUAUAGAUAAUGGAUCAACCAUUCAGAUUUCAUCAUACAAUAAGUAGGUAAGAUUAACGGUUAGUGUUAAAUCAUUGCAUGUGCGAAACAUGGUCCACAAAAUAAAUAGUAGUAAACAAGAAAGACGAAUAAAGUAAUCAAAUACCAUGUCAUCAGAUAAAAAGAAAAAAAGAAAGGUAUACAUACCAUUACGAAACAAUUGCUUGGUAAAGAUAACAGAUUUACCGCUGAAGUCUGAUAAUUGUAAGAUUAACGGCUAUAUAUGGUUCAACUGCAUGUGUAAAUAAAGUAUGAAUGAAUGGGUCCAGGAAAUAAAUAAGAAGACCACAAGCAUAGUGGUCUAAAAAAUAAAUAAGAAGCGAACUGACGAUACAUAUAGAUCAAGUAGAUCAAGUAGCCGACACUACGGUGCCACGUAUCAAAUAAACAAGUCGUGCAUGGUAAAGAUAAUGGAUCAACGGUUCUAAUUUAAUCGUACAAUAAGUAGGUAAGAUUAAGGGCUCUAUAUUGUUAAAUUAUUGCACGGGCGAAAUAUGGUCCAAAAAAUAAAUAGUUGUAAAUAAGAAAGACGAACAAAUUAAGUAAUUAGUACCACUACCGAACACAGUGCAUUGGAAGGACUGGCUUUCUUCCUUUUUAUGAGAGCAAAGAACGAAAUUUUGUAAUAGUUUUACUUAACAGCUGAAAGUUAAUUUCAUUUUUAUAUCUUUCUUUUCCUUCUUUAUUUUUUAUAUUUUUCUGUUAUUAUUAUAAUUUUUCUUUUAUGUCAGUACGAGAGGCGUGUAAUGUUUUUGGUUUACUAAACCCUUAAUUCUCUUUCUAUUCAACAUCAAAUCUAACUAUCCUUGUAAAGCUUUAAAAUAGUCGAUUAUAGUUAAUUAUUUGAAAAAUAAUAACUAAAGUAAAUAAGUAUUUUUUUUUUUUUGGUGUAUUAAACUAUCUGGUAUCUAAAGACUACAUUGGGCCCCGACUAAUUUAGAUUCGAGACAGGCAGGACCAUUGAGGCGCCAAAGCUCUCCCAACAAGUAUUUAACACAACUGUACUCCCAAGUCUCGAACUGAGGACUUUGGUUAAGUUAAAACAACUCUAUGCCAACUGAUUUACGCGCUUGUCAGAUGUAAAUAAGCAUUUUAGUUAUCACAAUUAAACUCUUCUUUAGCAUUUAAUAGAAGUAGUUCUAUGAGCAUGGGUUUCGAGAGAGCAUGGCGGUGCGAAAAUGUUCGUGCGUUUACAGUCCCUAUGUUUUUAGUCAUAAUUUAUUUAGAUAUAGACAAAGACCCCUAAUGUUUAAAAAAUAGACACACAAAUGGCCCUUUUGAUUAUUUCACUCUUUGGUUCUAUUUAGCCAACGAAAAUUAAUUUCAAUCUAUUGUUCUAUAAUAAAUAUAAAUAUAGUAUUUAAAUCAGUGUAAUAAAUAAAUACAUUUUACAAUACAUAAACGUUAUUUGAGUUCUUUGCAAGAAUUAGCUAACCACUAUGCGGAGUUUGUUUAAGAAAAAUAUUGAAGAAGAGACAGCAUAAUUAAGCUGAUAGUAGAUAUAUAGCUAGACAAAGUUAAUCGACGUUAACAAACUGAUACACAAUACUUUUUUUAUUUAUUUUCUUAAACCUCGUUCACAAACAGAAUAUGUUUUUACUUUCAAUGGUACAUCAAUUUCUUGGAAGUCUACAAAACAGACUCUCGUUGCAACAUCCUCCAACCAUUCUGAAAUUCUUGCACUACAUGAAGCAAGUCGAGAAUGCAUAUGGUUGCGAUCUGUAAUCCAUCAUAUUCAAAGUACCUGUAGAAUAUCUUCAAGUUCAGAUAUCCCAACAGUGAUAUAUGAAGAUAAUGCUGCAUGUAUAGCUCAACUCAGAGGAGGAUACAUUAAAGAGGACAGAACAAAACAUAUUUCGCCGAAAUUCUUCUACACUCAUGAGCUCCAAUAGAACAAGAAGAUUGAUAUCAAACAGAUACGCUCCACGGAAAAUUUAGCUGAUAUGUUUACAAAAGCUCUACCUACAUCUACAUUCGAAAAAAUCGUAUAUGGUAUCGGCAUGCGUCGUUUUAACAAACUGAUAAAUUAAUGCAUGUUGCCUUUAGGAAGAGCACUCAACAAAAGGAGCGUGAUCUUACAAGAGAAGAAUCAUAGUAAUAUUGGACACAUAUGUACCAUACUCUUUUUUCUUUUUGACCAGGUUUUUCCACUGGAUUUUUACUGGCAAAGGUUUUUAAUGAGGCAGUAUCCAAUGUCAUCAGGGGGAGCACAUCUAAUAAAUAAUUGGUGAAUUCAAGGGGGAGUGUUGUAAAUCAUGGUGGAUUCCACCAAAAUAAUGCCCUCCCACCAAAAUAAGGCUCUCACAUUAUCAUCUUAUUGCUCUUCCCAUUAUCCUUUUUUAUAAUUAAUAAUUAUGAAUAACUCCACCUUGUAAUGCCUAUAUAAACCCUUUCUUUGUUAAUGAAUAAAGACAAUUUCAAUUCCUCGCUCAAGGCAUUUUACUUGUUUUCUUCAAUCUUUAUUUGAGUAUUCCUUACUUACAUAUUCCCAAUUAAAUAAUUACUUACAUACAAUCCCUUUAAAUUAUAACAUCCAUUAUCUCCAAAUUUAUAACAAAAACUUUAUUUUAAGUAGUGGAAAAGAACAGUAUAUUUAAAUUGUUCUCGGAGAAUGGUAGGUGAACGAGGCCAAAUUAAAUUUCCAAGAGCAUGUGAGACUUGCUCAAUUAUUGUAUUGUGUCCUACGCUAUAAUUAAAGCAAAUGAAAUCCGCGACAAUAUACGACAAUAUAUAUAUAUAAUCAAGUAGCCGGUCCAAAGCGCAUCAAAAAAGAAAAAGGGUAGCUGGUCUAAGGGCAAGUUGUGAAUUAUUCCAAUAAAAAAAAGUUGGAUUGUGACAGACAGUACGUAUACUGAGAGGAUGGAUUAGGUCUUUUAACUGUUAUAAAAUUAUUUGAUUGUUAAUGACGUCUUUUAUUUAAAAUUAUAAAAUUAUUUUAAUAAAUAAAUAUACUAAAAAUAUAUUAUUAAAGAAAUGAAAUAAAUAAGAGCAUUUUAAAAAAAUUAAUUAAAAAAAACUCUACAACCUUAAAAGUCUAAAAAUUUAAACUUUUGUUAAUAAAAGUAAAAUAAUUUAUUUAGUCUCUAAAAACUCAACUCAAAAUACGAUCUAACAAUACCAAAAUUUUUGAAAAGAUCUUUAGAAACGAAAUAAAUAUUUUUAGGUAUUAGAUAAGUUAUAUCAAACAUGCACGUAUUACAUAUAUAGAUGGAUUAUAAUUUAAUAUCAACUCCCAUAAUUAUUAGAGUUAAGUCUUCUCUUAUACUAGUAACAUUACCCACCCCUUGGGGACUUGGAACUCAUAUCCUAAAUGUUGAGGGCAUGCGUUCUCACCUAUACCCUUAGAGGGAAGUCACCAUAAAUAUCUGUUUGCGGAAGAGCAAUAUUCACCAUACAAAGCCUCUAGUUGGAUAAGCCCUGUCCUUUUUAAGUUUUUCGUUUUUUUGAUUACCCACACACACACACAAAUCAUAAUUGAAGCGCCAUAGAUAUAACUAGGAGAACUUGCAACGAGAAGCUGCUGGCAUCUCCCACACAAGCUUGAAAAAGUAGCCAGUAAGAGUUGUGCACGGAGGGCAAAAAAAAAAAAAAGCAUGGGAAAUAAUAAUGUGAUGGGAUUGAGAGGUGGUGUCUUAGCAGCGAUCAUAGUUAUGAUGAUACUCUUCUUCUCCGCGAAUCAAUCUUGUGCUGCAGGCAACAUUACUAAUUUCCAUAUUGAUCCUGAUGUGUUGUUCUUUCAUGAUGAUCCAGAAUUGGAAUUGGCUGCUGCUCCGACUUCUAAUAAAGCAUUGGAUCCCAGUCAAGCAUUCGGUUGCGGAAGACCCGGAAGCAUUCGCUCUUGUCCCCCUCAUCCCAAUGCCCCCAAAAAGCCCGAUCAUUGCGCACCUCCCCCCGGCAGCACGUAUGCCCCAGCCAAACGAGAUUGCUAGCUAGUUUAUGAUACAUCUUUAAUCUGCAAUCUUCAUCUUUAUCCUCAACUAUGCCAUGAUGUGGGUUUAUUCUGCAUAUGCAUGUUGUAUUUAAUUUAUAUAAGUAGCUAUAAUUAAUUAAUAAUCUCUCUUUCCCAUCCCUUCUUAAUUCUAUCUGUCUAUAUAUUAUUAAUAAUUAAGCCUUAAGCUUGUACUGCUGCAUCCAUGCAUAAUUGCAUAUGCAUUAAUAAAUAAAUUAAUUGAAACUUGUAAUUUGUUUAGCACUAAUUAAUUCGUUGUUAAAUUAGCUAAGGUUACUCCAUCUUGAUGCCAUCGUUCAUGUUCACUCAUUUCAAUUCUACCAUACUCGUCCUGAAUUUAUUAACUUUCCAUGUGCGUGCGUGUUAACAGCCUGGAGAUGUAAUUAAUUAAUUGAUUAACCAUUGAUGGCAUUUUGCAUCGAGCUGGACCUACUCUUAAUUACCGGCCUCUCGAAGGGAAACCCGCUACGAUAUAAAUCAAACAACUGAACGUACACCUUCAUUAGAUUUCCUGCAAUAAUCCCUAACAUUCAAUGAUUUAUCUGCUCCCUCCCAUCAUGCCUUAAUUAAUUGUUACCACAACAUCAUCCCGAAUUUUGUAAUUACAAUUAAUUAUAUAUGUUAGCUAUUUUUCUUUUUAAUAAAUAAUUUUACAGACACAGACACAAUUAGCGUGGCAUAUGGGAGGAUGUUUAGUUGAAACUUGGAAGCGAUAUCAAUUAAUCCAUCAUGCUUUUGUCCAACUUCUACAGAUCUUCACGAUUAUGAAAUCUAUUAUUUCUUUUCCAUUCACUUCUUGUGAUACAUUGUCCGCCCCACGUGUUAGCCUUUAAUUAUGCCAUCUUGCAACAUAAAGCCCAUUGUUUGAGAAUUAAUCUCAGUUAAAGGGGCAGCUGAGACUUGAGCCAUGAACUUUGAUGGUCACGUAGGUGGUGUCGUCCAUGUGCCAAGUAUAAAUCAAUCAAGCUUUUAAGUAAUUAUUGGUUGGGCGAAAAUGAAAGCAAAGUGCAUAUUUAUGACUAGCUGUAGAAGAGAGCGAAAGGGCAGAACGAGCGUAUAUAGGGAGCUUUUGAUGACUUGGCUCAAAUAAAGGCAGUUUUAUAUUUAUACACGGAGAAAUUAUAAAAGUACAAGUCGUUUUGGGUCAUCUUGAUUUUUGCCCCAGAUCAACUUUUUUUCAAAUAGUUUUAUUUAAGUGGUCAUUCAAAUUCAAAUUCAUGGGGAGAUUAGUAAUAAGAAAAGAAAUUUAGACUUUACCCACCCCUUUAUUUUUAUCAGAAUGAGACUAAGUACAUUAAAACUUAUCAGAUAGAACAAAUUCAGAAUAUUUUGAAGAAUGGCAAUUACAAAGACCGCCAGACUUAUAUUUUUCCAUGAGAAUUAUGUGUUAUGUGGAACUAAUUUUAAUUUACUUUCGUGAUCUUGUUACAAUGUUAGCUCUUUGUUCAUGAAUUGAUUAAUACGUGUUUCUUUUUACUCAAAAGUCUUCAUCUUAUUAACUUGCAUCAUCUUUUUCUUCUUCUUUUUCUCCGCGUGGUCUUCAAUCACCUAGUUUCUCUCCUAUAGGAUGAGCAUUAAUACCCAUCCGAAAAUGCAUUGGUUUGUCGCUGUUUGAUAAAUGACAAGCGGAUUUCUCGUCCCACAAUUUUUUUGGUCCAAAUGAGAAAUAAUAUGGUAUCAACUACUGUAUCUUGACUGGUAUUAUUUUAAGAAAUAGCAUUUGCUUACUAUUUGACUUAACAAAACAAUAUCCAGUGCGCUUGUAUUAACCCUGCUGCGUUUUUUUCACAAUAUCUAUUUCUAUUCUUUGCUGAGGACUUUUGUGAAUCUGUGAUAUAAGCUGGCGGAAUCGCUGCAUCCAAAUUUAAUAUGAGAAAACAUAUCCUCAAGCUAGCCCGCUUAACGCGUAGCGGAUAUUAGUAAUAAGAAUGACCAUAGCACAGCCACAGAAACGGCGCAGCCCCAUUCUAUCAUUUUUGUGCCCCCUCCUCAAACUUUUUUGAUAAUAAUUUUUUAUAUCACUCUUUAUUUCACCAUACUCUAUUUUGAUUAAUUCGAUUUAUUUCUCAAAUUACUCCCAUUAAAAAUAUUUUAUCUCUGUUGUUUCUCACUUGCUCUUCUCAUUAUAUUUCAACUAAUGGUACAACAAUCGAAAUGGAAAAUUUGGAAUCAAAAUCAAUGACAUGUUUACUUGCAAAAUUAAGGUUUGGGAUUGGAACUGAAGUAGUGCCGGACCCACAAAUUUGAUAAUCACUACCAUAGUUCUGAUUCCAAAGCGAGGUGUUUGGAAUCUGAAUUCGAUUUCUAUAACUACCCAUUUUACUCCCAUUAAACUUUUAUAAUCUCUAAAUUACUCUCAAUUAAGUUCUAUCAUUUUUUUCUUUUUGGUUCCCAUGGAAUUUAUCAAAAAAAACUCAAAUUUUUUGAAUUAUUUGCAAAUAGGUCCUUUAUUGUUUAUAAUAAUGUAAUAAUAAUAUUAUAUUAUUAUCAUUAUUAUAUUUAAAAUUUAUUUAUUUUAUUAUUUUAAUUAUUAUUAUUGUCAUUAAUUUCAUCAUCAUCAUUAUUAUUAAAUUUUUUUAUUUAUUUUUCUUUUAGAAUAACAUGGUACACAUAAAUAGCUAGACAAAGAGAAUCUCUUGUAUAUAUCAAGAGAUCUUACAAAUUAAACUGAACCAAACUGAGACCAUCAUACAAUUGACGGGUAAUAACAAUACCCAUACUUUUAUUUUCUUAAACAUAACAUAAGAGACUAAUACUGCAUAUUCUUAACCAGUGUGAUCAAGAUUUCUUCCAUAUUGCGGGACCACAAGAAGAUCAAUAUUUCCAUUAAUUUCAUCAUCAGCAAUAAGUGAAAAAAAUGGGGGACCUACACCCUCCGACCAAUCGGUAUAACCUGAAAAAUUCAUUUUUUUUUUUUGGUUUUGACCAUGAGGUAUCCUGGGGAGGGCCCCAACUGUGGGAGGCACCUUUAAGCCUGUACCACAACCCAGACUAGAAGUCCCCGCUCGAACCGAGAGGCACAGGUUCUCCCAACAAAGGCGACUUCCCUGCUACUCGAACUGAAAAAUUCAUGUUAUAAAACUUAAUCACAAAUACACAUAUUAAAAUAAGAAUUAUAAAUGACAUAAGAAUUAUUUGAAAAUGCAUGGCCUAUGUAUAAACCUGCGCAAGGAGUUCCCAUAAUCUUCAAAUCAGGAAGGCAAAAGAUUUCUGCUGGCUUCGACUGAACCGUAUUCAAAACUCAAAAGGUAAGUAGUUGUGCUUGAGCGAGUUCUUAUUUCUGGUUUGAUCUGAUAUAUAUAGAUCAAGUAGCCGACACUACGGUGCCAACGUGGCAAAGUAACAAGUUGUGCAUGGUAAAGAUAAUGGAUCAGUGGUUCUAAUUUAAUCGUACAAUAAGUAGGGAAGGUCAACAGCUCUAUAUGGUUAAGUUAGUGCAUGUGUGAUACAUGAUUCAAAAAAUAAAUAAUUCUAAAUACGAAGGACGAGCAAAUUAAGUAAUAAAUGCCAUUACCAAAUAAUAGUGUGUGCUAUACUAUAGAUAACGGAUCAACGAUUCAAAUUUCAUCCUAAAAUAGUAGGUAAGAUUAGUGGCUAGUGUUAAAAAUCAUUGCAUGUGCGAAACAUGGUCCACAAAAUAAAUAAUAGUAAACAAGAAAGACGAACAAUGUAAUCAAAUACCAUGUCAUCAGAUAAAAAAAAAAAAAGGUAUAAAUAACAUUACCAAACAAUUGCUUGUUAAAGAUAACAGAUUUACCGCUGAAGUCUGAUAAUUGUAAGAUUAACCGCUGUAUAUGGCUCAACUGCGUGUGUAAAUAAAGUAUGAAUCAAUGGGUCCACGAAAUAAAUAAGAAGACCACAAGCAUAGUGGUCCAAAAAAUAAAUAAGAAGCGAAUAGACGAGCAAAUUAAGUAAUAAAUGCCUUGAUCUAUUAUGUAGAUGUUUAAUCUUUUGCUUUUGAUAUCGUUAUGCAUUCAAUGGCUAUACAUUUGGUGCCUGAAAUGUUUCGAAUAAAGAAGUUUCCUCAUAUAAAUAUAUUGUCUUAUUUAUUUAUUUAGUUUUUGGUCAAGUUUUCUAUUUUUAUGCAUAACGUUUUUAUGGUUCGUUUCCUUAAUUUGAAAUUUUUGUACCAUUCAUUGAAAAAAGAAAUGUAACUUAAGAUGAUCGACUUAAAUUUUCAUCCGUUUCAUUUCAUUUAAUCUAAAAGUGUAUAUUUUUUUGUCAAAAAGCUGCAAUGAGUCACCUUUAUUCUUCUAUUAUUGAAAUGAAUAGAUCAACCGAAUGAAAGUUUAAUUAAAAUAUUGAAUAGAUUAAAUGGAUGAAAAUUGAAGUAAAAUGUUGAAGUUAAGGAGCCCUAAAAAUAAUAGAAGAAACUCGAUAAGAGUAACGUUGAAAAUAUGUUAUCUCGUUUUUUAAUAAUUUAAGGAUUUUUAUAUUAGAAAAUUGCUUUAUAUAUAUAUAUAUGUGUGUGUGUGUUGAAAAUAUAUUAUUCCUUACUUAACAACUUAAGAGAUUUUUUAGAAAAUUACACACCCACUCCUUCUAAUAAGAGAAUUACUUAAUUUCAUGCAAAGUAAAGGAUAAAUUAAAAGUAAAAAACACAUAUUUUAAUAUACCAAAAAAUAAAAUAUACUGUUUUGGAGUGUGUUUUGUAAACUUUCAAUUUGUCUUUUACUUGAUUGAAGUAAGUGAUCCCUCAGUGUAAAAUUACUUCAUAUAUAUAAUAUAAUACACUAUAUUAGAGUGUGUAUUUUAAUUCUCUUUUAAUUUAUCCCUUAUCUUAAUGAUUUAAGAGAUCGUUUACUAGCUAAUGACUCGUAUAUUUUAUUUUGACUUAAAUUUUUUACAUAAAUAUUGAGUGAUUGGUUUUUCACAAUUUAAUCGUAGGUAAAUUGGUAUAAUUAGUGGUAGUUUAUAUGUGUGUUCAGUUUUUUUUUAAUGCGGGUGUCUUUAUUUUUCUUACUUAGACAUAUUUUUAAAUCAUGGGGUUUAAAAUCAUAUAGUUUAACCGCACUUGAAAAUAAUUAAAUAAAAGAGUAUGCAUGGAGUGGAAGGAUAAAAUUAUCAUAUCCUGAUUGAACAAACCACCAGGCCAGCUUGAUUCUUUCUGCUAACACUAAAUAAUUAAUUAAUCAUGUUUCAUUUUUAUUACGAUAAUUCCCAGUUUAUAAUCAAGCCGUUAAAUAAGAAAAAGUAUAUGGCGUGGCCUCAUAAAAAAAAAAAACUUUAUUUUAAGUAGUGGAAAAGAACAGUAUAUUUAAAUUGGUCACGGAGAAUGGUAGGUGAAUGAGGCCAAAUUAAAUUUGCGCGAAAAAUCCAAAAGCAUGUGAGACUUGCUCAAUUAUUGUAUUGUGUGUCCUACGCUAUAAUUAAAGCAAAUGAAAUCCGCGACAAUAUAUAUUGAAUUAUUCCAAUAAAAAAAAGUUGGAUUGUGACAGACACCACAUAUACUAAGAGGAUGGAUUAGGCCUUUUUAACUGUUAUAAAAUUAUUUGAUUGUUAAUGACGUCUUUUAUUUAAAAUUAUAAAAUUAUUUUAAUAAAUAAAUAUAUUAAAAAUAUAUUAUUAAAGAAAUGAAAUAAAUAAGAGUAUUUAAAAAAAAUCUAAUUUUUUUAAAAAACCUCUACAACCUUAAUGGCCUAAAAACUUAAACUUUCCUUAAUAAAAAUAAAAUAAUUUAUUUAAUUUCUAAAAAUUCAACUCAAAAUACCAUCUAACAAUACCAAAGUUUUUGAAAAGAUCUUUAAAAACGAAAUAAAUAUUUUUAGGCAUCAAACAUGCACUUAUUACAUAUAUAUAGAUGGAUUAUAAUUUAAUAUCAACUCCCAUAAUUAUUAAGGUUAAAUCUUCUCUUAUACUAGGAACAUUACCCACCAUAAAUAUCUGUUUGCGGAAGAGCAAUAUUCACCAUACAAAGCCUCUAGUUGGACAAGCCCUCUUCUUUUAAUUUUUUUUCGUUUUUUUUGAAUAUAUAUAUACAUACACGCACACACACAAAAAUCACAAUUGAAGCGCCAUAGAUAUAAUUAGGAGAACUUGCAACAAGAAGCUGCCGGCAUCUCCCACACAAGCUUGAAAAAGUAGCCAGUAAGAGUUGUGCACGGGGGAAAGAAAAAAAGGGAAAUAAUAAUGUGAUGGGAUUGGCAGGUGGUGUCUUAGCAGCGAUCAUAGUUAUGAUGAUACUCUUCUUCACCGCGGAUCAAUCUUGUGCAGCAGGCAACGGCACCACCAUUACUAAUUUCGAUAUUGAUCCUGAUGUGUUGUUCUUUUAUGAUGAUCCGGAAUCGGAAUUGGCUGCUGCUGCUGCAACAAACGUAUUGAAUAUGAAAUCCUUGAAGCGGCCUCCGGUGUUCAAUUGCGGAAGAGGCCGAAGCAAUCGCAAGUGUACCCCUCCUCCCCAGGGUUCCAAAAAGGGUGAACAUUGCCCACCUACGGUUUUGUACAAUCGAGGGUGCCAACAUUAAGCCUUAAGUUUGUACUGCUGCAUCCGUGCAUAUGCAUUAAUAAAUAAAUUAAUUGAAACUUGUAAUUUGAUUAGCACUAAUUAAUUCGUUGUUAAAUUAGCUAAGGUUACUCCAUCUUGAUGCUAUCGUUCAUGUUCACUCAUUUCAAUUCUACCAUACUCGUCCUGAAUUUAUUAACUUUCCAUGUGCGUGCGUGUUAACAGCCUGGAGAUGUAAUUAAUUAAUUGAUUAACCAUUGAUGGCGUUUUACAUCGAGCUGGACCUACUCUUAAUUACCGGCCUCUCGAAGGGAAACCCGCUACGAUAUAAAUCUAAAUUUCAAUGAUUUAUCUGCUCCCUCCCAUCAUGCCUUAAUUAAUUGUUACCACAACAUCAUCCCAAAUGUUGUAAUUACAAUUAAUUAUAUAUGUUAGCUAUUUUUCUUUUUAAUAAAUAAUUUUACAGACACAGAUACAAUUAGUGUGGCGCAUGGGAGGAUGUAAAAAAUAUAAGUUAUUUUCUCGAUUUAUAUUCAAACAUGUUUAAAUUUUAUAAAAAUAAAUUAAUGUCUUAGUUAAGCUUUCUAAUUUUUUUCCUGCUCGACGAAUUUAUAAAGACGUCGUUUUUAAGAAGGAAAUUAUUUCUCUUUAUCUUUUUACUGCUUGAUUGGAACUCUGGCAAUUUGAAAAAAAGGAAAGGAUUGAUGUUGAAGGAAAGAAUUGGGUAUGGAAAUAAAAUUGUGUGCCUUUAUAAUAAACUCAUUAAAAAUCAAAUUGAAUGAAUUUAAUUAUUAAUAAUUAGGUUACGAUAUAAAAUGAAAUCUUAACCAUUCAAUUUUUUUUUCUAGAAAUUAAUUUUAUGAUUAGAUUAUUGAAAGCUAAAGAAAAAUUAGGAGGGGGAAAACUAGUAGGGAAUCCAAAUCCUAUUCUUAUUAAUUAAUUAUAAGCUCUAUUUUUUUUUAAUCAAGUCCAAAAUUUUCCUUGUUUUUUUUUUCUUUUUAAAUACCCAAAACUAAAAACCAGGGCAUGCACUCUGUGUAUAUAUCUAUGAAAUCGUUGUUCAUUAAGCAAAUUUCUUCCUCUAAGUUCAGAUAAUUUCAUGAUUUGUCACUUUCUGCACCCAAUAAAAAGAUAAAGAAUCAAAAGGACAUCUUUUAUGUGUAAAUACACAUCAAAUCUCUUUUAUUAAUCAAUUAUUAUUAUUAUUAAUAAAAUAGGCUACGUAGCAUAUUCUAUUUUUUCUCCCUCAGCUAAAAUACUAAUAUAUUACCAAAUUAAAAAAAAGUUGGAACUAAUUUUAAUUUACUUCCGUCGUCUUGUUACAGUGUUAGCUCUUUGUUCAUGAAUCGAUUAAUACGUGCAUUUUUUUUACUCAAAAGUUUUCAUCUUAUUAGCUUGGAUCAUCUUUUUCCUUUUCUUUUUCUCCUCGUUGUCUUCUAUUACCUACUCUCUGUCCUCUAGGAUGAGCAAUAAUGCUAUCUGAAAAUUCAUUCAUUUGUCCGUGUUUGAUUUACGACAAGCGGAUUUCUCAUCCUACAACUUUUUUGGGAUGGGUCCAUCUCAUUGGGUGGCCCAACCCCAAGUUUCACUAAUUUUAAAAUUUAAAUAAUUAAAGAAAAUAAGUGGGGCUAAGUGAAAUUAGUCAACAGAAAUCAUUAGAUAAAGAAGGGCAAAAGCAAGGGACUGUUAGGGAUGGUAAUGGGUACAGUUUGCAACGGGUUUGUUAUUACUAAAUUCAUAUUCACUUAAAAUUUAAAUUAUUAAAUCAAACCCGCACUUUAUUAUAGGUUCUAAUUUUUUUAAAAAAAAUUCACCCCCUGCAGGUUUUGACAAUUACUAAACCUGUAAUGAUGUCCUACAAUAAUGAUUAAAAUUUAGGUUUUCACAUUUAAAAUUAUAAAUAUUCAAUAUGAAAAUUUAUAAUAAUAACGUAAAAUUCUACAUAAUAUACUCAGGGGUGGAUGCAGCAUGUAACCAGUGGGGGCUUGGGCCCCCAUUGGCCAAAAAAAAUUAUAAAAAUAAAAGAGAAAAAUAAUUUUAUUUUCUAAUUAGCCCUCAUUAAAUUUAUUAAAAUAGUCACUAUAAAUUAUAAACCCCAUAAAAUUUAAACUUUAACUUUUAAGAAUUAUAAAAACCUACAUUUUAAUUAAAAAUAAUGAUAGUCCACCACCCAAAAUAUUUUAUAUUCUCAAAAAUAUGAUUAAUUCUUCCAUUUUUUAUAAUAAUAGUAAAGAGAAUGUUUUCAGUAAUGAAAUUCAUGAAGAAUCAUCUUUGGAAUUGGAUGAGAUAAAUGAUAGUUUGGUUGUUUAUAUAGGAAAUAAUAAAUUUAAUAAUAUUGAUGGCGAGUCUAUCGCAUAACAUUUUUAAAAUAUGAAAUCCCGUAGAGAAUAAUUAUAAAUGUAUUAACAAAUAUUUUAUAUAUUCAAAAUUUUAGUUUUUUUUUAUAUUUUACUAUUAUCUAAUUUAGCCCCCGGUAAAUUAUUCUUAUAGAUCCGCCACUGAAUAUACUCAAUUCUAAAUUUAACCAAUGUAAAUUGAAAAUUAAAAUUUCAACAUCAAUCCAACAUAAAUUCUCAAUUUUAAGUAUGAAAUACACAAAUCAAUUAAAAAAAACCACAAAUCAGUAUCUAAAUAUAACAAUUAUCAUUUUAUAUUAUCAUUCAAGACAUGCUCCUAGAGAAGUUCUUCAUUUCAUUCACCACUAUUAGCACCCAUCGAACAUGAUUCCUACAAUAAUGAUUAAAAUUAAUAUUUUCUAAAAAAUAAUACAUUUUAGAUACUAAUCUAGAAAACAAAAUUGUUGUAAUGAAGUAAUCUAUUCAUCGAAUUGAAGAAUAAUAGUUCAUACAAAAUUAUAAUAAGUAGAAUUUAAAUAUGUAUAGAAUAAUUCAUGCAUUAAGUUUAAGAAAAUUCAAUCAAAAUUACAAUAAGUAUAAUUUUAGAUUUAAAUAUUUCUCUAUUAAAAUUAAAUUAAAAAAAUAAUGAAAAAAUCUGAGUGUUGGCGAAUAUCCAUGCGGGUAUUUGUUGGAUAUUUGACUAAUGCCAAACUCAGCCACAACCUACUGCGGGUUUCAAUUUAUAAUACCAAAUUGGCCCGCAACUCACAAAAUUACCCACAACAGAUGGGUUUAGGCGGGCGAGUUUAGGCGGAUUUGUGGGUUUUUGGGUACCAUUGCCAUCCCUAGUGUCAACCCUAGUUAGAAAACUAAAAAGGAAUAGAGGGGGAGUGAGAGAGAGAGAAGAGACAAUGGGGUGAGCUUGGACUGGGGUUAAGGGUUUCAAUCUUUGAUUGGACAAUCGGAAGAUGAUUUUAACUAUGUUUUCUCCCAAAUUUGAAAGGUAAGUUCCUGGUAUCAGCUUCUAUAAUCCUACUAGUUUUUAUUUUUAUUUUAUCCAAUCGUUAGUUAUUAUUUGAGAUACCUACUUAUUAGAGAGACAAUUAAUAGGAUGUUACGUUAACCAAGAUCAUUGAGAUUCUUGAUGUCAUUAAUCUCUAGUGUUAUUGAGAUAAGAAUUUUAUGCUGUAAUCCCAUCAAUAUAGUGAAAUAUUAUAUCAUACUGUAAUCCUAUGAUUUUUUCCACUUUGAGUUUUCCAUGUAAAAAUUUAUGUUUCUUGUGGUUAAUUUAUUACUUUAAAUUUUGUUGCUUUAUUUUUUUACCUAUUUAUUUUACAUACACACCCUAUUUUAAUCACACCUUAUUUUAAUCACACAAAAAAGAAAAAAAGUUUAUUUCUGAUCAAUUUGCAAUUAUUUGUUUGUGUCUCUUUCCCAGCAGGACCGAAUGAAAAAUGAUAUGGAAUUGACUACUCUAUCUUAACUGGUUGUGUUUUAAGAAAUUGCAUUUGCUAAUGAUUGGACUUAACAAAACAAUAUUCAGGGCGCUUGUAUUAACCCUGCUGUGUUUUUUCACAAUAUCCGUUUCUAUUAUUUAUUAAGGACUUUUGUGAAAUAUGUGAUAUAAGCUGAGAGAAUCGUUGCAUAUCCAAAUUUAAUAUGAGAAAACAGAUCCUCUAGCUAGUCCGCUUCACGCGUCGCGAAUAUUAAAAAUAAGAAUGAUUUUCCUUUUUAAACUUUUAUGUCAAAUUACACAUGCAAAAUACAUAAUAAGAAUAUCUUUUUUUUUUCCCAUAUGUACGCAUUUCGGAGCAGACACGUCAACCACAUUCUAUCAUUUUUGUACCCCCUUCUCAAACUUUUUGAUAAUAAUUUUUUAUAUCACUCUUUAUUUCACCAUACUCUAUUUUAAUUAAUUCGAUUUAUUUCUCAAAUUACUUCUAUUAAAACUAUUUUAUCUCUAUUGUCUCUUACUUGCUUUUCUCAACAUAUUUGAACACUAGUGGUGUGUUUACUUACUAUCAAUUGAAAUGAGAAUUUUCGAAUCGAAAUCAAUGACGCGUUUACUUGCAAAAUUUAAGGCUUAAAAUCGGAAUCGAAAUAGUAUCGGACCGACAAAUUUGAAAAUCACUACCAUAAUUCUAAUUCCCAAGCGAGGAGUUUGGAAUCAGAAUUUGAUUUCUCUAACUACCCUUUUUACUCAUUAAAUUUUCAUAAUCUCUAACUUACUCCCAGUUCUAUUAUUUAUUCUUUUUGGUUCCCAUGAUUUAUCAAAAAACUCAAAAUUUUAAAUUAUUUACAAAUAGGUCCUUUAUUGUUUAUAAUAAUAAUAAUAAUAAUUGCUUGGUAAAGAUAUCAAAGUUUCAUAAUCGCAAGAUUAACGGCUGUAUAUGGUUCAACUGCGUGUGUAAAUAAACGCAUGUGGGAGUAUGAAUCAAUGGGUCCACGAACUAAACAAGAAGACCACAAGCAUAGUGAGUCCCAUGAAUUUCUUUAUAAAAAUAAAAUACUGUGUCCCGUUAUACAUAUUAUUAAUUUUUCUUUUAUCUCUUCAUUUUAAACACCUAUCUCGUUUUAGUUGUCACAAUUAAACUCUUCUUUAGCACUUAAUAGAAGUACUUCUAUGAGUAUGGAUUUAGAGAGAGAGCGCGGCAGUAUUAACAGGUGGCAUAUUGUAAUAGGCUAAGAGCAAUAUCUGUAUAAAUAUUCUGAGUUCAUUCAUUAACUAAUAAGAUUCUUCUAGAUCCAUAAUCAAUUUUUCUCUCGUUUUCUCUUUAACCAAACAAGUCCUUCAAAUCUAAUAUCGUACAAUAAGUUGGCAGGUUUAAGGGCCAUGACUAAAUUAAUGCAUGUGCGAAGGGUGGCCCGAAAAGUAAAUAACUGUAGAUAAUAAGAAGACGAACUGACGAUCAAAGCAAUAAUACCAACCAGGCAAUAAUGCAUGGUGAGGAUAAGAUAACAUGUCUACGGCUGAAGUUUGAUUGUGAGAUUAUGGGCUAUAUAUAUAUUUCAAUGAUGGGUCCACGAAAUAAAUAAUUGUACAUAAUAAGUUAAGCAAAGUAAAUAUUCUUUCCGUGUCAACUGGUAAAAUGUGUUCCUAUGGACAAAAUUAAUGACUGAGAGUAAUUUGGUAGUAAUUAUGGGGGGAUAAGGAUAAUUACACUCCAUGGUUAAAACAUAAUCACAUAGAUGGCCCUUUUCACUAUUUUACUCUUUGACUCUAUUUAUCCAACAAAAAAUAGUACAUUUCAAUCCAAUAUUUUAUAACAAAUAAAAGUAUAAUAUUUAAAUCAAUGCAAAAAAAUAAAUAAAUGCAUUUUAAGUUAAAUUUAAUAUAAAUAACCUGUUAAACAUAUUUAUGCAAAUUCCUAUCCUAUUAGAGAUUCAUGGUACCCAAAAGCAAAAAAAAAAUAUAUUGAAAAAAGGGUUGGGGAUAUUUACACUCUAAUAUAUGUUUUGGACACUCUAAUUUUAAUAAAAUUUUAUACUACUAAAAUACUAUUUAGGACAUUAAUAUAUUUUAAGACAAUUUUAGCACUCUUAAAACUCACUAUUUUAGAAGAACUAAAUCUCAAUUGAUACACAAUACUUUUUUUUUCUUAAAAGGAAAAUAUGGUACACGUAAAUAGCUAGACAAAGAGAAUCUCUUGUAUAUAUAGAGAGAUCUUACGAGUUAAAUUGAACUUAACUGAGACCAUCAUACAAUUAACGAGUAAUAACAACAGUACCCAUACUUUUAUUUUCUUAAACAUAGCACAAGAGACUAAUAUUGCAUAUUCUUAACCAGUGUGAUCAGGGUUUCUUAACUUUCUUUCAUAUCGAGGGACUACAAAAAGAUCAAGAUUGUCGUUAGUUUCAUCAUUAGCAAUACCCAUUUCGGGAAUCGGAAUUCAUUUCGACCAAUCGUUAUGACCUGAAAAGUUCAUAUUACAAAACUUAAUUACAGAUACAUAUUAAAAUAAGAAUUAUAAUGAUAUUUAAUUGAAAAUGCAUGGCCUAUAUAUAAGCCUGCGCAAGGAGUUCCCGUAAUCUUCAAAUCAGAAAGGCAAAAGAUUUCUGCUGGCUUCGAUUGAACCGUAUUCAAAACUCAAAAGGUAAGUAGUUGCGCUUGAGCGAGUUCUUAUUUCUGGUUUGAUCUGAUAGAUAUAGAUCAAGUAGCCGACACUACAGUGAGAAUAUAGCAAAUAAGCAAGUCAUCACGCUAAAGAUGAUGGAUCAACAGUUCAAGU